GUGCUGCUUUGGAUGCUCAGCUUGGGAUAUCAAUAACCUGGUCUUUGGAGGGAGAUAACUGCAUCAUAUUCACCAUUAAACACACUGGGAUACAUUCUGAAGCUCUGGACCAAUGUCCCAUAUCCAGACACAGUGACACCAGUCUUUUAAACUAACUUGUCCUUUCUACUAUGACAUCACAGGGGAUAUGUGCUACUAACACAGGAGUAUUUUAAGCCAAAGCAGAUUUAUUGCAAACAGAAAAGGUAAGCAACUAUUUUGAAUGGAAGCAUCUUAAUACAAUUUUCUUUUUUAAAAAUCUGUAUUUUAUAUGAAGUUUGUGCUUUUUAUUUAUUUUUAUGUUGAAAAUAAAGUCUCAUAUGGGAGCUGUUGCCAUCAAACGUGCAGAUCUCCCAAGUUAUCUUUGGGAAAGUUGGAUCAAACUUUAAAGGCUAUCUAAGGGAUUUAUUCAUUAAAUUCUGGAUUGUAAGCAAUUUGGCAAACUUCAAGCUAAAAUAAAUGAAAUUAUCUAGUCUAGAUAGUCAUAGAAUCUUAGGCUAUUAUCACUUACAUUUUGAUUAUUUGUCCCCCUAGUUCUAACGUUUAGUGAACAAACCCCUGUGUGUGGUAGCCAAAUGCAAGAUCAGUAGGGCUAAAAAAGUUGUCAUUCUUAUUCACAUACCAGCGACAUUAAACAAGUGUAUGAGCUAUAUUUACAGAGAAAGCAGGGGGAAUAAAGUAUAUUGCUUGGAUUUUAUUAAUACUUGUCAGCUGAACUAUUCAGACCAUGAUCAAAACUUAAAUAAGUGCAGAUCACAAAUCAACUGAUUUAACCCCUUAAGGACCAAACUUCUGGAAUAAAAGGGAAUCAUGACAUGUCACACAUGUCAUGUGUCCUUAAGGGGUUAAAAAAAUCAGUUUCAAGCCUUUAUUAAAUUGUACUGGGUCUGUAUGUAGUCACUUAUAUAGUAUUAUUUGAUGCAAUGCUACACUGCCAAUAUAAAUAAAACAAGACAUGUCUACUUCCACUGGGAAUAUAGUCAUACAAUGUAUUUAUUUUGUAAUUCAAAACAUAUGUACAAAAGGGUUCAGGAGACAAUUUCACAAAUGAGAGAGUGGGGGUUUGACAAUUAUAAUGCUCCUUUUUUAGGUUGUUGCUUUAGCUACUGAUCAUACAAAUAGAAAUAUUUUCAUUCCCAAUGUCAUCUGUUUUUACAAUGCAUUUGCAGAUGUGCAUUACAUUUGAGAGGCAAAGCUUUCUUGUGCUGUGCAUAUCUGGGUAUUAAUGUCAGAUAUAUAAUCCAAAUACCCAGAUCUACAAUCAGCUAUGUACAUCUGAUAUUUAAUGUAUUUUAAUAAUGCUCAUUUUUUGCCUUAACCUAUUAGUCAAAACUGAUAGUUACCUCAGAUGCAGGUGAACAACAUUUUGCUUUUAAUCAUUGGUCCCCACUCCCUCUAUGGUAUCUUCACCUACCCCCAUGCCAGAGCUAGCACUUUUAUUCCACAAUAUUAUUAUUAUUAUUAUUUCUUUCCCUCCCUAAUCAUUCUCUAAUUGUGAGGUGUCUUUUAUCAAGGGAGGCCCCAGCAUUGUGUUAUGGGGGAGCACAUGGAACUGAGUCUCUCCUGCUCAGUUCAUUUGUGGUUCUUUUGCUCAAUGUAAUGAUGCAGGCUGUUGGCUUAGAACAUUUAAAGCAGUGUGAGGCAGAUUUUAAAGAGCUGUAUUGCAGCCAGUUCUUAACUUCUACAAGAUUCUUCACACCUACGCUAUAGCCAGAAGCACUGCCAUGUAUACCAAGUUUUCAUGGACUCACAAUACUACUUCAUGCUGAGAGGCAGCACAUGAGAAGUGCUACCUUGCAGUAUAAUAUACAUUCCCAAAUGGAACUGCCUUGAUCAGCUAAUUAAAUUAGUCCAUGUAGAGUAUAAAAUUCAGGGUUUAAAAAUUUCAUCUUGCGAUAGGUGAUUAGAAAUUCAGCCCAUGUAAUCUGAGUACUCCCACAAUGCUGAAGUGAAAUAAUUAUUUAACUAGGUUUCUGUAAAGGGUGAUGCGACUGUGUGACAUAACAACAUUGCAAAGGUUAAUCAGCAGAGGAGUACAUCACCUUCCAUUAAAUAUUUAAGAAAUUUGCUCCUCCCUGCCACCUGACACAACCAAGGAUGUCAAGCUUCAAAUAAAUCAGCCAGCAUUGGUUUAGAGACUAGAAGUCCUAAAUUCAGGAGAGAUCCACAUUCUGAUCUGCCAGGCGGGGAAGGGUUAAUUACAGUGAAGCUGGAUUAUCAGUGAAAUGUAUUAAUCUCAUAACCUCACUGUGACUACCUCUUCAAUCAUGUACUACAGUUUUCCAUUAUUUCCUCUGUAUGUCUUGCUUUUUUCCCAUAUCCUGACCCCUUAUUUUCAUUUUUUUAUCAACAGCUGCCCUUUCAGUAUGCUUUGUUUUAGUGAUUGCUUAUGCAUAUAUGUGUGACAUUUUGUGCUGGAGGUUUGAAAGGUAACAUUAUAGCUGUGGGGUGAAUUACAUUGUUAAAGUUGUCAAACCACCCUGUAUCCACCAUAUUUUUCAGAAUCCAUAAUACUUGUGCAUGUUGAUUUUAGAAUUUCAUAAAAUUGCUUACCUAUACCAUAUAUAAUUCAUUUAGCUAAUCAAGGCAGUUCCUUAGGGGUUCAAUUUUUAAUUUAAUUGAUUUCCCUACUUGUUUCACAUGAAUUCUGCAAAGAGCAGAUGAUUAUUCUUCAUGUGCUGCCCAUCUGCAUGCAGAAGUGAUAUGUAGCCAUAAAAACCUGAUUCAUCUGCUAACACUUCUAGUCCCUAGUCAAACUUGGGUAAAUGCAAAGAAACUUGUAGAAUACUCUUCUGUCGGAACAAUGCCAUUUACAUCGUAAUGACUUAAUCUGGGUUAGUAGCCUGCAUCAUUAAAUUGUACACCGAACUGUGCAAGAACUCUCAGAAUUAUAUAGGAAACACUGGAUUUUAGCAAAUAAUAUUGUAACAGCUUGGCUUUUUUUGCAUAGUACUCCCAGUUAGAGUCCUGGGCUUUGCUUCUGUGAGUAUUUGUGUGUGGUGGCUGUGAGAUGUAUGUGGGAGGAGUCUAAGUGUGCUUGUGUCUGUGUGUUGAGUGGUGUCUGUGUGUUUGCUACCGUCUUGCAUACCUUUCCUGGUUGUCUGGUGGAGGAGCAUUGUGGGAUAUAUCACUUUAAACAGUUCCCUUGUGCCACUUUAAACCGUUCCGCUCUGUUAAUGACUUAGAGUGCCAGGGGACUGAAAUGAGUGUAGACAACAAUGCUUCCUCAAUGAAGUGAGGAGACACCGGACUGAAUAAAGUAUAUUGUUUGGCUUUUAUUAAUACUUGUCAGCUAAACUAUUCAGAUGUUCAAAACUUUAAAUGCAGAUCACAUUUAUUUAAGUUUGAGAUCCUUGGUGUCUCAAGGGAGGACCUCUAACAGCCAGACCUCGGGCCCAGAUGGAGCCAAACAUGUCCCUUUUUGAGCCUGUGCUCUAGGCAUCCACCUAAUGAGUAAUCUGGCUUUGCUUAGGACAUUGAAGGGACACUAUAGUCACCAGAACAACUACAGCUUAAUGGAACACCUCCAGUGGCAGUCAAUCAGAUGGCCACUAGAGGUGCUUCGUGGGAAAGCAUUGGAUUUGCUGAGAUUGUCAAUUUUGAAGAUCUCAACCAGUGCCGGCAGAUACGUGAGGUGCUGGAAUUAAGUUAAGAUGUUACCCUAUUUAAGGGUUAAGUGGGGGAGCAGGAAGCUAAAUCGUGUUUUUAACAGUAUUAUGUCAUGAAUACACAUGUAUAUUCCUUACCCUAUAGUGUUCCUUUAAAUUUUGAGACAUGACACAGAGGGCUACUAUAACAUGAAUGCUGGGGAAGGAGGGACAAACCUACACUUCUGGGCCCCCUCACUGUCAGAUAUCUUUCUACUUAACAUUUGAUAGUAAGAAAUCGGGAUGGGAGUAUUGUGAAUGAUUGUAAGAAGACUAUGUGGAAGAAAAUGAACCAUGUUUGGAGGGAAAGACUUUCCAAGUCAACAUGUCUUCAGUUCAGUUGUCGGACUACAAUUUGAAAUUUCCUUUGUAUUUGAGACACACCACACCUUAGUGCUGGGGUGGUCACCCUUCAGGCACUCCAGAUGUUGUGGACUACAUCUCUAAUAGUGCUGGCAAAGAAUCAAGGGAUAUGUAGUCCACAACAUAUGGAGUCCCAAAGGUUUUCUACUUCUACUUUAGUGAUUAACCAUGUAAGGGCAGCUGAAUGUAUAAAGGGCAGUACUGAGAAGGCACAUAGACAUUUGCCAUGUGCCAUUGGCAUAAAGCAGAUGGUAAGGGAUGGGGUAUUGCACAUAGCCAGUGAAAGGAUAUUGGCUAUGGUAGAUUCUCUUGCUGCUAUGAGAUUGUGAAAAACAGCUAGCACGAAGCAGAAGAGAGGGGAUGGAGCUUCCCAACACAUUUUGGUCCAGUCUCAUAUAUAUAUAUAUAUAUAUAUAUAUAUAUAUAUAUAUGCACUAAACUGUGUGCAAUGCGAUGGGCACUUCAUUCACUCACAUUAACUUGUUGCAAAUGUGUCAGUUUUUUUGAUUGUAACCUGAAUAGUGCAUAGGUCCAGAAGAGCUGGCCCUUUGCCCUGUGGUAAAGAUGGCUUUGCUGCUACACAGAAUUGGACAGCAAAUUACAUGUAUCACCCGUGAACAUGCAAAAGAAACGUGUGCCCAGGAAAACUUGGUGAACGUUGCUUGCAAGCUCAGGGUUUGACAGAUUUCAAUUACAGUUAUUCCACACAGUUUUACUCUUUAAACUCUCAGCAACAACAUUUCACACACGUGUGUAUUUAUGACUAAAACUGACUUUGAGGAGACACAGCUGAUAAAAAUAAAGGAUCUGCAAAUGGAAAGUAAAAAGAUACAGACAUAGACAGAAAAAGAUAGGACAUAAAAAUGAGUUGGCAACAGUAGAGCAGGAUUAAACAGUAAUAUAAAGUUACAGGAUCAUACAUUUUACUUGUAACCUGAUUUGCUGAUUAACUCUUCACUAACCAGGAAACUAUUUCCCCUGGGCUACCUAAUUUAUUUGUAGCCUAUGAAGUGUGUGUGUGUGUCUGUCUUGGUGGUUGGCAACACUGAGGACACAGUUCUAUUCUAUUCUAAACUUUCUGUUUGAAUCUGCUGGGCUGUACGGCUGAGUUAACUUUUGCAGUACAGGGGUCUUAUGCAGUUGCAACUCCAGCUCAUCUCCAGGGACAUAUUUCUUCAAAAACAAAGCACAUCUCUCCAGAUACACUGACAGUAUGUAGCUCUGGUCCCCAUUCCUUCUUACAAGACUGUCUUCAGUAUUCUGCAGCUGUGAAUGGGAAUCUGAGCUCUGGUUUAUCUCAUAGCCGGCUGUAGAUACUAACAAUGCAAGCCACUUGCUUUAUUGAUUUGCCUCCUAGCAGCACCGAGGCAGGGCAUGCAGUGGAGGGGGGGCAACCGCACACUUGCAUGGGCUGUGCAUACUCUUUUUUUUUUUUUGUAUAAUGAGUGGAAAUUUUUAAACCAUUCUCAAAGACAGCAGUGCGUUUAAUGAAGUGAGUCUUUCUAAUGGCAAGUCCUGCUAACAAAUGCUCCCCCUGUUCUAGCGAUGUUUCAAAGGGAGGUUUCUCAUGAUCUGCAUUACUGAGUCCGUAUUGAAAAGCACAAUGUUUGUCCCUCAACAGUCUCCGUUAAUUUAUAUAUUCUGAUUAAUAUUCAGGAGGGGCUCUGUAUCACAUGUUGCCAUUUUAGACUUGGACUACACUGAAAGAGGUGUUUAUGUAGGUUUUUUUUUUUUUGUCUUUGUAAUAAUUUAGGACUAUAGUCGGAUCCCUUACAUCUGCAGAGAUCUAAGGACAAAUACAUCUUUAUCUUAGAACAAAGCAUUCCUUAUAUUAGUGCCAACAUAUUAGUGAAUUGAUGACGAAUCCUUGAGAUAAGUUGUCCUACACAUGCAUGUUAGCUGAAGUUUUCAAAUUAAGUUAUUGCUCAAGAUGACCUACGUAUAUCUGCAAUGGUAUGAUUGAACAUAUUAAACUUUUUUAUUUAUAUAUCUAUCUCAAUUGGCCUAGUCAAAUAUGUUUUUGUGGUGGAGCUCCUUGAUCUUAUUUUCUUUAUCUAUUUUGGGUAGUGCAGGAAAAUUGAGUACCUUUUCAGAUUUUUAAAUCUGUCAAUUUAAAUAGCAUUUUAAGUAACAUUUAUAAAACAUUAGCUGUUUCAGAUUAUUGCUAAAUGAAAAUAUCAAUGGCUGUAAAUUGCAAGCUCUCUGGCUCAAUUUACAGCACUAAAUUUUUUGUGUGCUUCUUUAAAAUCUUCUUGUAUGCAGUACUGAUGGACAUAUAUAAUUGCUGGCUUGAACAUAAUUACAACAAAACGCUGACAAUCCUCUAAUUGAAUUUAUCAACCAUGAAAUGUGAAAUAAACAUUGUACGGAGAUGUCAUUAUUGUUCUGACCUCAGGUGGUAUAAGACAAUGAAAUUAGCAGGCCUUAGCAAUAAUUAAAGGACUUGAAAGAAUGGGGAUUUCAAGGUCAUCUGUACAUACUCCUUGUGAAUUGACUUUUUGCCUCAAUAGUGUAUGUAGAGGUUCUAGUCUUUUAUCUUGUUUUAUAUGGAAUUGCUAAGUGCCCUCAUGCAGUACUUCGAAACCAAACAUAAGUUGAAGAGGGUUUUCAGACCACAUUAUUAAUGAGGUAGAAUGCUUAAGUGUAUAAUUUAGAGCAAAGUAAUAAGCUUGGGAGAGGAAGGUUAUGACAAACACAAAUGUAGAACUGUAACAGAAAAAUAUGCAGUGUCUAUUAAUAUUCACAUAUACAAUACUGAGUGGCAUCUGCAUAGAGUACUAAACAGGUAACUGUAAUCUAAUGACAACUGUUGAUUCACUUUUUUUUCCUUUUUUCUUUUUUUUUUAAAUAGAAUUCAACUGCUUUCAUCUCCCUUUAAGAUGUUGAGAAAAAAAUAAGUAAAAUUAUGCUAAUAAGUAUUAGUCACUUAAACAUAAACGAAUUACCCAUUCCAUUAUUAGAAUGCUUAGUUAUGCUAGCUACAAAGACGUUAUUCAGUUGUUAAAAUAUGAACUUUCAUGUAUAAAAACCUGUAAAAAUACCAUUUGGUAUUAAAAUCAAUAAAAUUUUAGGGGGACAGCCCAUAGUAAUACAGUAUUCUAAAAUGGAGUGCUGGUGGUAAUCCCCUUGGAACCCACCUUAAAAAUUAAAUUAAAAUUACUCCUGUUGGCUUUCAUUUUUUUUUUUUUUUUUUCCUUUUUUUUUUUUGCCUUGCCCUGCCUUUCCGGAGUCUUGCGGUCCAGAUGCAGUUGGGAUAGAGCAAUUACUUUUCCUGCACUGAAGGAUGAUUACUUGGUUUUCUAAGGAAAAAGUUAGUGGGCAUGGAUAAUUAUUAACCUACUUAUCCUUUACACCCUGAGAAGAACAAUGCUUUCCCACGUGUAUUAGCGUGACUGACCUUUUUCAGUGAUUGGGGAGAACUGCCUUAUCAACUUCUCCCAAUUGUGUCUGAGGAGGUAGCAGGCACAACAAGACUCAACCAUGCAAGGUGAAACUUCUACAAUGAAUGGCAUCUGCAAGAGUCAUUUUAAAAACAGGUGAUUUGUUUUAAAAAAAAAAUGGCAGGAAAAAGUGAAUGGACACUUGAUGACCCAUUCCAUUCCAUCCUUUCAUUUUUAUUUUAUUAAAUUAUUUAUUUCUAUAUAUCCCCUCCCCCCCCCCUCCUUUUUAGCCAGCAUUAACCAUCCACAGAGGGGGACUUAAAUGUCCACCAUAGCCUGUAAACUAGGUGCCACUGAGUACAUCAGUAAUAGACCCUUCAGGAAAGUGAGAUCUGCAAAAUUGAUAAGUACUUUCUAAUACAUAUUAUGGCUUUAUGCCUCUGAAUGUGGAACUUUUUGGCUUAGUGAAAGCAUUAUUUAUUUUUAUAGUUAACCAAUAUGGUUUCAAAGCAUAAUCUUGUGUAUAAUCAGUUCUGCAUCCCUGGAUAAAAUUAUUAAUCUUAGAUUGUAAGAUCAUUUGGGACCCACUUCACCUAUGUCUCUGUGUCAUUGUAAAGUGAUGUAGAAUAUAUUGGCACUAUGUAAUGAUAUUAUUAUGAAUAAGCUUGAGAUGGGCAAGUUAUCAGUUGCUGUUUAAUCAGGAUUGCCAAUGUGAGCCCAUUUUAACCAAUUUUAAGUGGAAAUAAAGCUCCUAUAUAAGUAAUUGAUUGUAUUAUCACAUUUUGUAAUCCUGCAAUUUAUAAUUGCAUAGCAAUUUAGUAAAAAAAAAAAAAAAAAGCUCUGUACAAUGGAGUAAACUGUUUGGUUUUAUAUUGUGUAUUUAUUUAUUUUUUAUUUAUUUUAUUUUUAAUAUCAAAACAAAAGAACAAUAUCAAACUCUUUUGGAAAAAAAAAAUCAUCAAAAAUUAUAUUGCAUUUUGCAAAAUUGUCUGGAAGAUUAGCAAGAUUCAAAUGCUACUUUGCCUGCUGGCAUACAAUAAUGUGCUAUUAUAUGAUUAUGCUGGCUUUUCUGCUAUUACUGGAAUGAUUUUUUCCACCUAAUCUACACUGUACUUUAGAUUGCUCUUCAAAAAAAUAAAAUAAAAAUUAUGUGAAAUAUUUUAGAACGGUUACGUUCAAAUCAUAUUUAGUCUCUCCUGUCACUGUUGGUUCAUCACAAACUGCUGUCUACAUCUUUUUACACUAGUAAAAUUACCAAAAAAGAAAAUAAAUAGCUUGCUACAGAUAUUCCAUUAUGUAUUUCUUGUGAGUAUUGUGCACUACCUCACAUUCAUAUCUGUUUUAUGCAACAUUGUUUGAAAAAACUAAUUUAUUUCUCAUCUGACAAAAAAUCUGAAGCAAGAGAAAGGUAUAUCCACUAAAGUGAAUUAAAAGAGAAUUUUAAAUUUAAGGCCAGAGCAGCCGAUCUGGAAGCAUACAUGACUUAAUGGGUAUUUUCAGUUCAGCUAUGUUUACAUUUAAACUUUAAAAUUCACCUCAAAUUCUCAAUUUUGUGAAUAACCCUGUUCGUUUCCUUUAAAUGGGGGCUAUUGCAGCCUGACAGAUAUUUGAUCACUGUUGGGCACAGGGACAUGCGGGGAGACCCUGCUGCAGUAUUUGCAAACCGGGGGAUCUCCCUCUGCUAGGGGAAUCAAAGUGUCUAAAUGUGAUCAUUUAGGGGCUAUAAUUUAAAGGUCUACAUGCGUUGCUCAGUUUGAGUGCUGCAUACAAGUGAUUUAUCAGUCUGGGGCCACUAAAUGUGGCAUAUCUGACAGGGGAGCCCUUGGAAACUUCCAGGGAGGUUUAUCAAUGUCACAAAUUGUUUUACACUGGGCAGGAUUUUCUGAAAUAGAUGUUUCUGUGAAAAAUGCCACAAUUUAGGUAGAUAAUAGAAUACAUAAUUAUUAUAAAUUUUUUUAACCAUUAAAUAUAAGCAGAUAAGACACUUGUUUCAAGUACUUUAAUAAAUCUCCCUCUUCUUCCAAACUAAUCUAUGUAAGAUGGUUUAGAAGUUGUGAAAAGAGAUAAUGCUUUAAGCAUUUUUGUUGACUGAUUAUUGAGAAACAUUGCCUUAAACUACUUAAUACAAUCAAGUCAUUUAUAAAUAACAUUUGUUUUUGUUCACUUUUGCUCAGAGUUGCUCAUAAACUUUAUGCUGUGUAAACUGAGAUUUAAUUUUAUAUAAAUCAAUCUCCCAAGUGAUAAAUUAUUACCUUUUUAUAACAGGUCUUCUUGAACAACAACAUGACUAGUCAUCCCGGUUAGUAGCAAUUUUCUGAUAAGCAUUAAAAAAAUAACUGUGCAUAAACAACUGAGCCUGAAAAGAGGACUUUGCCUAAAUAAAUUUUAAAGAGGACCUAUCAUGCCCCAAACAAUUUAUGCACCUUAGAUUAAGCAUAACAUUCAUUCUAUACAUCGUGCUAGCAAAUAUAUUGCUUAGGAGAAAAAUCUACUUUAACUUUUUUUUUCUUCCUCCCAGCUGUCAGUCAAUGCUCUAGCAUGCCAAGGUAAUGACUGAUCCGAAAGAUCAGAAAAGAUUCCCCCCCCCCACAGGAGGUCCCUCUGCUCUCCACCCACAGAAACCACAAUGCAUGGGCUGUGGUCACUAAGGGCGGAGAGCCACAAACCUCUUUUCUGCUCUCCACUCAUUGCUUGACAUGGGUAACCAAACCAGAUUGACAAGGCCACUGACAAGAUUUGCCUUGCUUGGGGUUGCGUCCCAAGCAGGGAAAAAUCUAAGAAAAUUCUAGGCGGAGCAGAGUAUGGCAGGGAAUAAAUCUCUAUAUUUUAAAUUAAAUACAUAAUGUACCUGUGUCAUAUAUGAUGUUUACAAUGUACCUGGAAGCAAUUUAAAGGGACACUAUAGUCAUCAGAACAACUACAACUUAAUGUCUAUUAAAUCUAUGCAGGCUUUUUCAGAGUAAAGGCAGUGUUUACAUUACAGCCAUAGGAACAUCUAUGGCCACUCCUGUAGACCACCACUAGAGGUGCUUCUUGGAGUAGUGACAUCCAGUGUCUCCACCCUCUGCAUGGAGACACUGAAGUUUCCUCAUAGAGACUCAAAGGAGGAGAUGCUGAUUGACCCACGCUCUGUUUGGUUUGUGCUGGAUCUGCCCCUGAUCUACCUCCCUGACACGUUUAGUCCAUCCAAUGCCUUCCUAUGUAAAAGCAUUGUGAUUCUUGAGAUCACCACUUCUGAUGCCAGCCAAGGAGGCCAAUCAGGGGCAGAGCCAGCAGCAGCAGACUGGAAUUUUACUAUAUUUAGGGGGCUAGCAGUACACUGGAAUUUACCUUUUUUUUUUUUUUUUUAUUGGGUUAGAUCGUGAUUUUAACACUAUAGGGUCAGGAAUGAUAUGUUUGUGUUCCUAAUCCUAUAGUGUUACUUUAAGGCAGGGUUGGUGAACCUUUGGCCCUCCAGAUGUUUUGGACUACAUCUCCCAUAAUGUUAGCAAAGCAUCAAGGGAGAUGUAGUCCACAACAUCUGGAGGGUCAAAGGUUCACCACCAGGGCCGGACUGGGGAUACAAAGCAGCCCUGGAAAGAAAAAUCUAUGCCAGCCCCAUAAGUCAUUGUGCCAUAUAUUGGCGCAUGUAAUAUGUAAGGCUAUGUCUUGCCACCACAGAUGAUUGAGUAAUAUAUAUAUAUAUAUAUAUAUAUAUAUAUAUAUAUAUAUAUAUAUAUAUAUAUAUAUAUAUAUAUAUAUAUAUAUAUAUAAUAUACACACACACACAUCUCAAAUAUAUAUUGCCUUUUCUAAUAUAAAAUAUUGAUCCUUUUUACAGUAAAACGUUUAAUUAUACAGUAAGCUUACUCACUGACAUACACCAACUCAUUGAUACACAGCCUCAUAGACAAACAAUCUCUCACUGAUAUACAUAAGCUCAUUGACAUAAAAACACAAGCUCACUCACUAGCAUGCACACACAUGCACACACGCGCAUACACGCGCGCACACACACACACAGCUUAAUGUAGUGGUUCUGGUUUCCAUAGCCUGUCCCUGCAGGCUUUUCAAUGUAAACACUGACUUUUCAGAGAAAAGGCAGUGUUUACAUUGCUUCCUAGUGACACCUCUAGUGACAGACACUCAGUCACUAGAGGCGCUUCCUGUGUCAGGGCGUAUUGGCUGAGAUCAUCAAGCUUGAUGAUCUCAGUCAUAGAGGCAGGGCCAGUCGAGGGGAGACCAGCACGACGUUGGGGGAAAAAAAAGGUGCGUAAAAACACUAUUUUUUAAAAACACACACCCAUGACACAUACAUAUACCAUGACAGACACACACAUAUACCAUGACAGACACACACACACCAUGACAGACACACCAUGACAGAGACACACACACCAUGAGACACACACCGUGACACAGACAGACACAUACACACCAUGACACACAGACACAUACACACCAUGACACAGACAGACACACACACGUACACUCCCACUGACUUGGGAUAAUUGUUGCUACCUGUGGACAGACAGAUGGGUGUGCUGGCGGCCGCCGGGGAAGCUGUGUGUUCUGUCUCUACUCCCCAACGCGCAGCUUAAUGAGACUGGGGCCGGAAUAUGACGUCAUACUCUGGCCCCGGUCUUAUUAAGUAGUGUGGGAGCAGAGACAGAACACACAGCUUCCCCUGCUGCCACCAUCCAAGCUCUCCCUGUGGCCGCAGGUCACCCAAAUGUCUCGCCGGCCCCAGGUGCCGACGGCUACUCUGGCCCUGUUCACCACCCCUACUUUAAGGUAAGGUGAACAUUUUCAUUACAGGAUCAUGUUAAGCUAUUCCUGUAUUACCUUUUUAAAAUGUUUUGCAGCUACUUUUGUUGGAAGCAACUCUAUAUAACAUUUGCAACUAAUUUCAGCUGCCUGGUUCAGGUUUAACAGCUAUACCUCAUGCAUAGAUAAAGUUGACAUCAUGUCAAAUUUUUUUAUUUUUUUUAUUUUAAGCCUCUCUUGCAAUUUCACUAUAGUAUCUAAUUUUAGGUCAAAGUAGCUGAGCUGGAAAAGUGGCUGGAUAAUUUUAUUCCAUCUCUGCUUUGUUCGCAUAAGAUUGGCUAUUCAGUUGUCCAUUUUCAAAAUGUCUCCAGCUUUUUGAGAGUGGAAAAAAAAUCUGUUGCUUUUUUAGGAAUUUUUUAAAAAUGUUGUAGAAGACAAUUACUGCUGUUUUGUCACAUUCAUAUCAGUAACUUUAGCUGGAGUAAAUUCAUCUUUGGGCUCUAAGUGCACCUAUUGAGAUCCCAUCACUACCUGCUUCUACCUGCUUCCUGAAAGUGCUUUACCCUGAUGCAAUCUUUAUUAACUUGUGUCACAAAAGAAAAUUGAGAGAGAUAUUCUGUCGCACUAGGAGACCCAGAUCAUUCUACUAGACAACAGAAGUUGGGACCGACCUUAGACCACUGCUCAAGCCUAAAUAACAUAUGGAAUAAAGCAGGCCCACCAACUGUCCCAAUUUUGGCAGGACCGUCCUGAUUUUGUAUCCUUUCCUACAAUCCUGAUUUUGUUCCCUGGUGUCUUGCAUUGGGGUAUAUCAGGGAACUGCCAUUGGAUAGCACUGGGCAAGAACUCUCUGUAAAGUCCAGUAAACUGAGGUUAGACCUGGCCCUCUUUUUUGCUUGGGCCCACUCAUUAUGCGCAUCACCAGUGACACGUUUUGUGUCACUGGUGACUCCCCUCAGGACCUGCCUAACCAUCCCAACUUCAUAACUAUUAAUUUUGGGAGGUAUGAAGAAAAGGAGAGCAUUACUGACCUAUACCUCUCCAUAUCCAUCGGCCCUUCUAUUUACCGAACAUAAAACACACUUGUUUUGCAUAUGUUAAGAGGAAUGGGAAGUUGGUUUUGCUCAACUACAGUAGUGAAAAUAACAAGUUAAGACUUGGAGAGCUUUGAUCAUGGUACUUUCAGAAGAAUACCCUAGUCAGGAAAAUGGAGCAACAUUAGCUGAAUUUUAAGUGACCAAGUUUGGUAGGACCCAAGAUCGCAGCUGUAUAAUGCAUUUUGGGGUAAGUGUUCUUAACUGACCUACAAGUCAAUUUGGCGUGCCUCACUUGUAAUGCUACAACACCAUUAACUCAACUGCUGUCAAUGACUUAUUCAUUUCUCAUUCCUUAAACUUACUGGCAUUCAACAUUUUAGACAUAUAUGUUGCUUACAAACGACAGUCUCACUUAGUACUGGAUAUAAAUACUUAGUCUCUUUAAUAUAAAACUGUCCAGUAACAUCAGAAUGCCCUGCAACUGUUUUGCUAGGUUUCCUGUCUGCCUGUAAUAGCUGUUGUGGCAUUGCAAGUGUAUCUUUUAUACUAUGCACAGCAAAAAUAAAGACAUUGGAAAAAAAACAAAAAAAAAAACUUAUUGGCAUUAACUGAAACAUGACUCAGACACUGCAAUCCCAGUUUCAUUAUACUCUGGUGUUCUUCAAUUAACUUACACCCCAAGACAUUCUGACAGUAGUGGUGGCAAGUUAGCGUUUCUGCUUUCACACCAUUGCUCCUUGAAACCUCUACCCACACCCCUUCCCUAUCUUUUUCCUCAAUUAAGGUUCAUUCAAUUUACUAGUUCGAACCUAUCUUUAAAGAACAUCAAUGUCCACAAAGUCCAAGGUGGUUAAUUGGAAUGUUGAAGUACCCAAGAAUUAAGGUUGGAAUAUUAUUUGAAAGGAAGAAAAUAGAAGGUGGUCACCACUAGCUCCUCUCUUAUUUUUUCUUUCAAGUUUUAUUUCAUCCUUGGGUACUUACACAUUCUAAUUAUCCCAUCUAUGACUUUAGUAGCCUCAACUUUUUUUCAAUCACUUCCUACCUUGGGCUAUCCCAGUGGUCAAAGUAUCCCACACAUGUAGUUGGCAAUACCCUUGACCUAAUUUUAUUUCAGAUGCAUGCACACUCUCUAAUAUUUAACACUCCAUUACCUCUCUCAGAUCACCACCUCUCAUAUGUUGAUCUCAAGACCCCUCUCAGCCAACGUCCUAAGACUAACCCUCCUCAGUACAGGAGAAACAUUCAUUCUCCUGACCUUCAGCAAGUUUACUUAGGAGGCCACAAACUAUUCCAAACUAUAAACAGUAAUACUACAGGGAAUAGAGGUAAAGAGAAAUACAAGUGAAAAAUAAGAAAUAGAUGAGUAAAAUAAGCAAGUCCGAUAUUCUUGAGUUGAUCUUCCAGAAGUACUCCCUUUGCAAAUGCCUCUGGCUGCACGACUGUAAUGAACUUUCAUCCAUCUAUACCUUCUCCUCGUACAACACUACCCUUAUCACUGCCUUGAACACUCUAGCUCUGCUCCAAGCAUACGCCUCAAGGCAGACACACCUCCAACCGUGUGCACCACACCUACAAGUUGUGCCCAUCAAGCUGAACAAUGCUGGAAGAAGGCUCACACCUUUUCAGCACUACCACCGGUGUGCUGAUAACACUCGAGUACAUCUCUUCUCCUCUGAUCUCUUUCAUGCUGUCCUUGAAAGUUUUACCAGUUUCCUCUCUUUAAACUCUGAUUGGAUGUCCUCCUGCUUUCUAAAACUAAAUCUUUAUAAAGCUGAAAUUCUUAUCUUCCCUCCUCAUAAUACUAAUCCACCUGUUUCACUCUCCCCUCAAGUUGAUAGAACUUGCAUCAGCCCAUCUGUGCAAGCUCACUGUCUUGGUGUUCUCUUAUGCAUGCCUCACAUCCAGUCUGUUGCUAAAUCCUGCCUAUUCCACCUUAAAACACAGAAUUCAUGUGUUCAUGCUUUUGCAGUUUUUCACAAUUAUUACUGUAAUUUGCUCUCCUCACUACAGUCCCUAAUAAAACCUGCUGCCGGACUUCUUUUUCUCUCCUGGCGCUCCUCAUCUCAUCUCUCUGUCAAUUCUUACACUGGUUUCCUGUACCCAAUCAAUCAGUUUCAACUCAAAAUACUAACACUUCUCUACAAAGAUCUCAAUCUACCCCCACUAAAUGUUUCCGCUAAUUCAUAGGUAGGCCACUUCUCGUUCACUGUGCUCUGCAAGUGACCUUGUCCUGUCCGUUGCUCUUAAUUGUACUUCUAACUUGCACUUGCAGGACUUCUCUCGUGGUGGCUCUAUCCCUUUUAAACGGCCUGGCUAUUCCCAUAAGACUCUCCCCUAGUCUUCAAUCAUUAAAGCCCCUCAAAACCCAUCCCUUUAGAAUUUCACAAACCUAUCUUACUUUCUCUUCGAGAGCUCCACUCUCACCUUUCAAUUCUGCUACUUUCCCACCCUGAAGGCAGCUAUCCCCCACACUGCCUUCAUAUUGUUUUUAUACCCCCACCUUCUCUAGAUUUUAAGCUCUUUUGAGCAGGGUCUUCAUCAAUAUACUAUCCUAUAACAAUUUGUAAAAGUCUCAUUUAUUGUUGGAUUCCCUCCGAUUAAAUUACUAGAAAGCACUGUGUAAUAAGUUGGGGCUGUAUAAAUGCCAAUAAUACAAUGUACAGAGAAAGGCAAGGGUGACAGCAAUGAAUGGACACAGAAAAUGUUUCUAGCAUAUCCCCCAAGAUUUCAAACAAACCGUACAUGACCUUUUUAAUUUUAGUGGCCUGAGUGCGCUUGUGGCCAGAAAUGUUUGGUGACUUACUAAUAACAAUUUAUGCAACUAGAUGCAAUUUUGAACAAGAACAAUGUAUCUUAUUUACACAGACUGAUUUCUAAAAGCGUUUUUUUUAUAUUUUAAAGACUCAUUACUCUGAGUAUUAUUGCUGUGGAGCUGUGUUAUACACUCAGACACAACAACAGUAUUGAGCUCUAAAAAAAAUAAAUCAAAAUAAAGUUAAAUUAGAAUUGAAAAUGGGCCUAAAAUAUGGACUGUCUGUCUUAAUUAGGGACCAUUGGGAGGUAUGUGCUAGGACACUGAUGUGUAAAACCCAAAAUGUUUGAACUGUUUCCAUGAUGCAUGUUCAUUUGGUGUGCUUUUAUUGUUAACCUGACCUGCAAAGCAUGGCCUUGAUUUAAUAAGCAUUGCAGAUGAUUCUAUACUGUACGAAAAACUUUCAAAAUGAUUUAUCGCUGCUGAUUUCUGUAGAUAAAUUUUCCUAAAGCUUUUUUUUUUUUUUUCUUCAUUUAAAUGAAAUAACUUGGAAAGCAUAUUAAAUCGAGGCAGAUGUCAGAAUAAAAACAACCAUUAUUUAACUCUUUGCCUGACUAGUGACAGUCUUGUUGGAGAAUUUGAGAUACCAGCCAUGACCGCUAACGCAAACCAUCAAAGACAAAAUGUUGUAUUGUGCUUUCUCAAUAUGUUGCUAGCCAAGACUAAGAUUUUCAAGUCUUUUGUAAAUAGCCAGGCUUAAAAAUUACUCCUCACUGAAAAUGAUUGUACAGUGUGGGGAAAAAAAAGUAUUUGAUUUUGAACAUUUGCCCAUUAACAAAGAAAUGAUAAGUCUAUAAUUUUAAUGGUAGGUGUAUUUUAACAAUGAGAGACAGAAUAACGAAAAUAAAAAAUCCAGACAUCUGUCUUAUUACUUUUGGUUUAUUUCUCCUGUUUAUGCAUAAGUAUUAUUCUGGAAGACUAUAUAUCUUCAUAUUUUAAACACGUGACCAUGUUUUUUUUUUUUUUUUCUUCUUUUCAGAGUUGUAUAGUUUAAAUUCUGGUUCUUUUUUUAAUUUGCAUGUUCCUAGAAAAGACUACUGAAUCCAUGUGUCUUGUAUACUGUGUAGAAUUUCUUUCACACCAUGCAUCAGCUCUAAACUGUGCCAGGCCACCUGCUAGAGUUCCUUAGAGUUUGAAACAUCUGGGAAAUAACGUUUUACAUAUAAAACAGCCUCCCUAUUCAGAAGAUACACUAUCCAAAUAAGCAAAUGUUUAAUAAGAUGUGCCCUUUGCAGCCUAAAGUAUAAUGCAAUCCGGGAGCUUGGAAACAAGACCUGUAUUCAGAAAUAAAUUGUGUAAUUACUUUGAUAACACAUUAGGUAGAAAUAAAUUGUAAUCAGUCUCUGCUACAAUCGUGAAUUUUAUUUAUUUAUUUAUUCAUGAAUUUCCAUAUAACUACUUCCUCGAUGGACCAUAAACUUAAUAUGAUUUUAUUUAAAUUUUUUUUUCCCUUGCCAAUUCCAUGUCACUAAGCAAGAUUGACAAGUAACAACCAGCAUUGUUGAAACUAUAUUUAAAAAAAAGUGUUUUGUGUUCUAUAGUAGUAGUGAUCUAUUACAAAAUCUCAUUCUAAAGUCAUUGUUUUUCUCUAACCAGUAAAACUGUUAUAUUUGGAUAUACAUUUAUACAUUCCUGUUAUAUAUGUAUAUUAUUAUUAUUUUUUUUUCUUCAAUAUACAUGAUGAACUAAUACUUGUUCUAUUAGUUCAAGUAUGUGGCAAAAAAGUAUGCAAUUCAAUGAACUUAUUUUAGAGUGAGGGGUUAAGCAAAUAACAUUGGCAAAAAAAAUACAUAUAACAACAUUUUCAGUGGAUUUCUUAAAACAAUUUAGUUGAUAUAUGCUCUCCCACCCCACAAAAAAAUGCAUGUGUUCUUUUUUUCUUUUUUUUUCUUUCUUUCUUUCUUUCUUUUUUUUUCUUUUUUCCCCUGCAUGUUUUAUUUCGGGUAUAUGGGGAAAAAAUUGUUUCAAAAAGGUACAUACCUGUUUUGUACAGCCGUUUUGCCAGGAACAUAUUUUCAGUCUGUGCUGGAGUAUACACCAAUCAAAGGCUUUUCAGUGAGAAACCUCUGUGCUGACGCUGUGCGUGCACAUGAGAUUGCAGCUCUUGUAUGCUUCUUAAUAAGCUGUAGUGCAGCUCUGGGGAAGAAGAAGAAAAGCUGAAGUGCUUUAUAUGUCUUGAGUGUUUAUUUUAAUGUAAUGGUUUUGGUGUAUACAUAGUAUCCCUUUUCUCUGUGUUUAUUUUAAUGUAAUGGUUUUGGUGUAUACAUAGUAUCCCUUUUCUCUGUCAAUGUUUAAAAAAAAUAAAAAAAAUAAUCCAUAGAACAUGCUGGGUUUCUACACCAAUGCCUACUGUAGCUUCAGUUUCCUGAAAGGAGUGGACCCUGGUGUUGUGAUCAGCUGCUACAGCUUAUCCAGUUCAAUGUUUAAUAUGAGUUGCACAUUUAGAUAGCAAUAUUGUAACCUAGGGUUCUUUUAGUGAUUGCCCACUGAACCAACACUAAUGUGUUUUUUUUUAUUUUUAUUUUUUAUUAUUAUUAUAUCUGUAAACUGCAAAGGCUUUUGUGUGAAAUAAUCUCAAGGGUUUAGCCAUUUCUAAGAUCCCUAAUCACACCAAACUGCAUAACCUAGCACCCCCCAAUGUAAGCAGUUAAACAGUAUUUGAACAGUUUAACUUUUUAUCUGGGGUCUGGUGUGAGAUGCUCCCUCUUUAACCCUUUAACCCUUUGCUGAUUGACUAUUUUCCAAGUUUUUGUCAUUUUGUGACAAAGACCUUUUUAGCAAUGUGUUUGUACCAUGGUAAUUUUCUGUACCCCUAUACAUAUUAUAGGAAAAAAUAAUAAAAUAAAUUUUAUAUAUAUAUAUAUAUAUAUAUAUAUAAUUAUUUUUUUUUUUUUAAAUAAUAAAACCCAGUUUAAAACGGUCUGCAUCACAGGUUUCUAUACAAGUGAUAUAUAUAUAUAUAUAUAUAUAUAUAUAUAUAUAUAUAUAUCCUUAUUGGUCCCAAUUUGUUAAAUUAUCUCAUGUCUAGGACUUAAAAAUAUGGCAAUGCUGUGAAUUGUGGUUUUAUAAUAAUAAUUUGCAAUUCUUUUAUAGCACUUUUCUACCUGUGAAACACCUUACAAGUAUACAAUAUAAAGACAUAAAAGUUAUGAGUUGUUGAAGGUCAACUAAGCGGACUGAAUGCCUGAUGGAAGAGGUGGGUCUUUAGCUUUUUUUAAAGAGUCUGUAAGGACGGUAUCUCUCGGUUUGCACAUGGUAAAGAGUUCCAGAAGGUAGGGGCAGGGUCGCUGAAUGCCCUGGAACCUGAGUCUGUCUUUAUUCUUGGCACUGACAGGAAGCGUUUGCUGGCUGACCGAAGUGAUCGGGAUGGAAUGUAGGGUGUCAGGAGCUCUUUCAUGUACCGUGGGCCUUGAUUGGUUAAGGCUUUGAAAGUUAGCAGGCCAAUUUUAAAAUAUCUUGGACAUUUAAUUGGAAGCCAAUGCAGGGAGUGGAGAACAGGUGUUAUGUGGUAAGAGUGAGCUUGAUUAGUCAGUAGUUUGGUUGCUGCAUUUUGUACAGUCUGAAAAUGAUAAAGUACUUUUCCUUGGAGGUCCAAGUAAAGUACAACUAUACCUUAGCCAAGUAGGGCAUGCUGACACUUUAAUAGCAAUCCCAUAAUUCAAAAGUGACACACAUACACACACAUUUUGAAAUUAGACCCAUGAAGGUAUUUAACAAUCAAUAUUUGUGACUGUUUUUGUUUAAUAGUUUCAACGCCACCCCAGUGAAAACUGUUGGGCAUACUAAUUUUCUCCCCUUCCUCAAAAUGUGUAAUUGUAAGGGUUUAUUUAACAUUCCAUGUUUAUCCCACUUUAGGACCACUGAUUUGUGUCAACUAGUGCCGCCAGGUAUAGCAAUACCCCCACAUGUAUAUUUUUGUCUGGCUUAGGUUCAGUUUAUAGGGUCACACUAGAGAAUUGCCUCAAUACUCCCAACAUAAACUUUGAUGCGAUUUCUAAUCUUCUUCUUUUAACCCGAGACAAAAAGUAUCUGGGAAGAAGGUUUCCAGUGAUUUGCAUGUGUGUGUGUUACUAUCCGCUGAUAUUUGAUUUUAAACAUACUGUACCAAAUUAUUCUCUCUCUUCCUUUUCAUUAUUUUGACUAUCCAUCUCUGUAAGAUAUUUAUCAUAUCAUUGCACAAAAAGUAACAGAGGUCUACAUGUUGAGAGCCUUUUAUUCUUACAAAAGGCUCAUCCAAAUGUGAGUGUUCUAUUACUCAUUUUUAUAUGUGAAAGUUUACAUCAUACAGAGUUUAACAAUUUUUGUUUUGUUUGUUUCCUAAUAUGUUUAUAUGCUGCCCCGGUGUAUAUACUAAGGGGUUAUUUAUCACUCCACUUGGUGUUUGCAACAAACUAGGGGAAAGCAGGGCCAGACUGACUAAAAAAUUAGGCCUGUGCAUUUUUUAAUCACAGCGAUCCAUUGGCAAGGGGGCAGGGCCAGAGAUUGAGUAUUCUGUCAUCAACAACAAGCGCGCCUCCCUGCUAAAGAGCUCUCGCACGAGAAAAAGGUCCUGUGCAGUGAAAGUGAAUUUAAUGACAUGCUUCCAGUGUGUUUGCUUGUGACUUGUCUCUUGGGACUCCUUAUGUGGGGUUCCAGAGGACAAAAGGGCCAGGAAAGAAUACGGUAACUGUGUUUGGAGGGUGCUUGUUGGAUUGCGUGUGUAGAGGGAAUUGAUUGUGGUGUGGUGUUUUAGUUUCAGCUGUAAUUUAUUUGUGGUAUUAUAUGUUUGGCUAGGAGCUGUAGAGGGUGUGUGUGUGUGUGUAUAUAGGGCUGUAGUGUGUGUGUGUGUAGAGGCCUUGGCAUGUGUAAAGGGGGCAUAGUGUGUGUACAGGGAAUGCAGCAAGUGUGUGCACAGGCGCUGCCAUGUGUGUUUGUAAAGGUGACGUAACAUGUGUAAGGGUUGUAGAGAGUGUGUGCUUAGGAAAAGUGUGUGUGUGUGUGUCUGUGAGGGGUUAGGUGUGUAAUGGUGCUGUGUCUGUGAGCGGUGCUGUGUGCAGUGUCGUGUGUAUGUGUGUGUGUUAGGGGGCCUAGGGUCUAUGUUGUGUGUGAGAUGCGAGAAAAUUGUUUUUUGGGGUUUUUUUUUUUAAAACUAUUUUUAUUAAAAAAAAAAGAAAGCUAUGUUUCCCCCCCGCCCCCAACUCUUCUUCUUACCUUUGGCCAGGGAGGAGGGAUAUAAUGCUGCAAGCUCUGGUGGUCCAGUGGUGGUGCGUGCACUUUAGCCUGCAGCUUCACUUUAGCCUGCAGUCCACAAGCACAGUGCUGAAUUGGAGUGUAGCCAUGGUAAUGUGCAGGACAGCCUGCUUUCAGGAGGAACUUACAGCCUCCCAGGUCCUUCCUCCCUCCCACUCCUGAAACAGAUUUCCAGGGAGCCGGUGAGGGAGAUCUUUGAUUGAAAAUUUGGUGCACAUUCAACUGUUAGUUGGGUAAUGUGACUGGAUUUGCGAUUUGCAUUUAAUAGCUGGUUGAGUAGAAUAUGCUUUUUUCCAGCUAUGCUUUUUUGAGAUCCAAGAGAGCAUCAGUCAGGAGGAGACAUAACACAGAAAGGCAGGAUAUGUCACCGCACAUCUACACCCCUCUGUUAGAGUAGAGGUAAUCAAGUUCCUGGUUGGCUUAAGACCUAGGUCUUUGGGAAACCUAGCAAUGCUUAUUUAUAUAGAGAACAUUUUGCAUGGAUCGUUCUAGAAGCAUAGAAUAAAGCAUCACUGAAUAAUUGUAUAUUUUUACUAAUUUUUGGCAUUCAAAAUCGUGUAUCAUUAUUAUUAUUAUUAUUAUUAUUUUUGUUUUAAUUCCAUAAAACUAAACAAUUUCCUUUUUCUUUUUGCUGUUCUAGCAACAUAACCCGCUAUCUCUUGCCAAGGCAAUCGUGCUUAUUAAUUGUCAAACUAUAUAGUUCUUAAAAUAAUCAUACUAAACCAGUCCAAUGCAAAGUGUUGUGAUGGAAUUGAACUUGCUAGUCUAAUUCUAUAAUCUUUUGCCAUUCUGUCUCACUUAACAUUAUUUUCAUUUGCCUGAGGUACUCAUGCCAAAUACAUUAAGCUCGAAACAAAUAUAAUAUAGAGGUCAGAAUAAAAUGGAAUGAUGGUCAUUAUUAUCUUGAAAUCAUGACUUGUCAUGAACACUACUAAUAUCUGAAAGAAUAUUCAGAAGUAAAGAGUGUAUAAGCACACACGCACACACUAUGAAGGUGUCAUGUUACAUUUUAUAUACAGAAUUUUCCAUUUAAAACUUAUUGUCAUGUAUAAAAAGGGGCAAUAAUGCUCUGGAUGAGAACAUAAUUUUUCCUCUUUAUAAAUCACUGGUAAGACCACAUCUUAAAUAUUGGAAAACCGAAAAGAAUAUAUACACUAAAGCAAACAAUACAUAUGUAGAAAACUAAGUGUUCCCAGGUGUACCUCACAAACUCCUAAUAAAUGAUAAACACAACAAAGAGUGGGGAAAAACACCUAGUAUACAUAUAAAAAUAAGAAAGCCACCUGGUAAUGUAGACCAGGAUAAGUAGAUCAGAUGAAAAGCUAUAAUAAUAAUUAAAAUAUAGUUAUGGUAAAGUUAAAAGUAUGAUGUUAGUAGAAAACUCAUAAACAUGUGACGAUUCAGGCUUUUCACCCCACCAGGGGUUAAAAUGGACCAAAAGCGAUCUCAGAUUAUGUGCACCCUUGUAUAUAUGGAAAGGAAAAAAAAAACUCAUAUAGUGAAGUAAAAUUAGAACAUGAAAAAGUUUUAUUUGAAUGCACUUACAGACUGGAGUAAAAUAUGGAAUAUAGCAGGAACGUUGUGGAUCUAAUAAAAUUGCCAACAGCAGCAAAAAAAACAUAAAAGAUAAAUAAAAUAACAAUAAGAGACAAAGUCAAAGAUGGUUAGAAUCCAACGUGUUUCGUCUGGCUGGGGACUUCCUCAGGGAUAUGUAAUUAUUUCUUGUGAUUGAGACUUCUUAUAAAAUGUUGUGUUUAUUAUUAAGUGUUCUUGCAUAGCAAGACCACUUAAUGUUAUCUCACAUAUAUAUUAAGUGUUCUUGCAUAGCAAGACCACUUAAUGUUAUCUCACAUAUAUAUUAUUAUUAUUAUUAAGUGUUCUUGCAAGAACACUUAUUGUUAUCUCACAUAUAUAUUAUUAUUCUUAUUCUUAUUAAGUGUUCUUGCAAGAACACUUAUUGUUAUCUCACAUAUAUAUUAUUAUUCUUAUUAAGUGUUCUUGCAAGACCACUUAAUGUUAUCUCACAUAUAUAUUAUUAAGUGUUCUUGCAUAGCAAGACCACUUAUUGUUAUCUCACAUAUAUAUUAUUCUUAUUAUAGCCAAAUUUGCCACCCUAACUCCUCCCACAGUUUUUACACUACAUAGACAAAAAUUUACCAAAACGUGCAGAUUGUUCCCGAUCGGAUUGCUAUUACUUUGUGGAACGUUUCGCCGAAUGGUUCACGGAAUAUCGUCGUUUUUGUGGCGCAAUUUGUCCCAUAGGAAUGAAUGGCAAAGCUAGAGUGGGAGCUGCCAAAAGCUGAAAAAUCAGGACAUGAUUUCUAAACUGCCACCACUCCCUCUGGGUAUUGUGAUUCUCACAAUAUAAAGCUCUUCGCUGUAGGAGUUAUAGGUUUUAAGAUACGACCGUUUGAAGAUGGCAACCACCAAAAUACUCUGACCUGUGUCAAGCUGCAGCAGCAAGUGAUGUCAUAGACAGGGGCUUUUGAACACCUNNNNNNNNNNNNNNNNNNNNNNNNNNNNNNNNNNNNNNNNNNNNNNNNNNNNNNNNNNNNNNNNNNNNNNNNNNNNNNNNNNNNNNNNNNNNNNNNNNNNCAAUACAUAUGUAGAAAACUAAGUGUUCCCAGGUGUACCUCACAAACUCCUAAUAAAUGAUAAACACAACAAAGAGUGGGGAAAAACACCUAGUAUACAUAUAAAAAUAAGAAAGCCACCUGGUAAUGUAGACCAGGAUAAGUAGAUCAGAUGAAAAGCUAUAAUAAUAAUAAUUAAACACAACAUAGUGUAAUAUAGUUAUGGUAAAGUUAAAAGUAUGAUGUUAGUAGAAAACUCAUAAACAUGUGACGAUUCAGGCUUUUCACCCCACCAGGGGUUAAAAUGGACCAAAAGCGAUCUCAGAUUAUGUGCACCCUUGUAUAUAUGGAAUGGAAAGGAAAAAAAAAACUCAUAUAGUGAAGUAAAAUUAGAACAUGAAAAAGUUUUAUUUGAAUGCACUUACAGACUGGAGUAAAAUAUGGAAUAUAGCAGGAACGUGGUGGAUCUAAUACAAUUGCCAACAGCAGCAAAAAAAACAUAAAAGAUAAAUAAAAUAAGAGACAAAGUCAAAGAUGGUUAGAAUCCAACGUGUUUCGUCUGGCUGGGGACUUCCUCAGGGAUAUGUAAUUAUUUCUUGUGAUUGAGACUUCUUAUAAAAUGUUGUGUUUAUUAUUAAGUGUUCUGGCAUAGCAAGACCACUUAAUGUUAUCUCACAUAUAUAUUAUUAUUAAGUGUUCUUGCAUAGCAAGACUAAAUGUUAUCUCACAUAUAUAUUAUUCUUAUUAUAGCCAAAUUUACCACCCUAACUCCUCCCACAGUUUUUACACUACAUAGACCGUAAUAUACCGAAAUGUGCGGAUUGUUCCCGAUUGGAUUUCUAUCACUCUGUGGAACGUUUCGCCGAAUGGUUCACAGAAUAUCGUCGUUCUUGUGGCGAAAUUGUUCCCAUAGGAAUGAAUGGCAAAAUGUUCAAAACUAGAGUUUUGAAAAAUCAGGACAUGAUUUCUAAACUCUCACCACUCCCUCAUUUUCAAGCCCACCUACACAAAUCUUAUAUCAAAACGUUCAGCUAUCCCCGCUGCCGCUAAACAUGGCUAAGCCAUAGUCCUGAUAGUUUUCACAAUAUGACCAUUUGUUUGCAACUCACGCCGUCCCUUGACAUUCAUCGAAACUCCACUCUAGCCAGCUCAAAUUUGAAGGGCAAUUUCUAAACUGCAACUGUGCCUUCAUUUUUAAUAUUUCAGAGACAUACUAUGCAAAAAUGUAGGUCUUGGUCUUGUGAUUCUCACAAUAUAAAGCUCUUUGCUGUAGGAUUUAUAGUUUUUAAAAUACGACCGUUUGAAGAUGGCAACCGCCAAAAAUACUCUGACCUGUGCCAGGCUGGAGCAGCAAGUGAUGUCAUAGACAGGGCCUUUUGUACACCUGCUAAUGUUUUUAUAAAUGUAUGUUUUAAUGUAACUGUGAAGCACUUUGGGCAACAACAUUGCAAUUAAAUGUGCUAUAUAAAUAAAUAAAAGUUGAAAUGCAUUUCUCACUCUAUCAAGCUUGCCAUGUGCACUUUUUAAAUUUUAACAAUCAAUUGGUUAGUGUAAUGUUUACUAUCUUUACUCUCUCCAAACACUCCACACAGUUACUCUGCCCAGUCCAACCUUUCCAAGCCCCUCCAACCACACAACAGUUACUCAAGCCACUCGACCCGGUUCCUCCACCCACUCCAGUUGUAGACUACUGAUGGAGGCAAGAACACUUCACACAAUUUCCCCAGAAAUUGUAGCUUUUCUAGUUAUUAUAGAUCUUCAUCUGAUCUACUUAUCCUGGUCUACAUUACCAGGUGAUUUUCUUAUUUUUACCCAUCUUAAAUAUGUUGUCAUGUUCCUGAGCAGGUCAGAGAGGAGACGAUUGCCAUGGUUAUUGGUUGAAACUUUAUUUGUCUUUUUAGACAUAACAAUUUACUGGGAAGAAAUAAUUAAGGCAAUAUGCCACAAAAAGGAUAUCUUGAAAGUAAAUGAAUAAAGUUUUUUUAUAUACAAGUAGGUUUGACGUUAUUUCCAAGUAGAUUACUAAUCUGUGGAAUGUCACACUAUAGCCAGGUUCAGGAUGAUACAGGGUUGAAAUGGUUAAAGCUGGUAAGUACUUUCAGUAUAAUAUAGUAUAGGUUGCUUACAGGAUUAUGCAGAGUUGCAGUAGUUGUAACAGGUAAAUAGAUUCCGGUAUAAUGUAAUACAGGUUGCUUACAGGAUCAUGCAGUGUUGCAGCAGUUGAAACAGGUAAGUAGAUUCAAUAUGGUAGAUCAAGCAGGUAAGUCACUUCAGAUUGAAAUAAUGCAGAUAAAUACAGGAUGUUUUCAGGAGCCAGGAUCAGAAGUUCUAUGUCAGAACACUGGCUUCAAUGUAAAGGUCAUGUGAAGAGUUGGGUGUGGCCUUUUAUAGCAGACUUGGAAGAUCAUAUGAGGCAGGUGAGAGCAACUGAGGAUUGACUAUGGCAAGGGAGGCAACUAGAGGCGAGAAACAGGAAAUGCAGCAAUAAAAUAAAACAAUUUCUUGAUUGUCUGGAUAGGAUUCUGACAUAUGUUGUGCAAUUGGGCAUCUGUAUAUUAUUUAUUAUAUGUAGGAUAUAAUGACCCUAGAAAAAGUGCAGAGGUGGGCUACAAAAUUAAUAAAAGGAAUAGAGCAUUUUAGCUAUGAAGAAAGUUUAACAAAAUGUAGGGUAAUAGCUUCUUGAUCCAAGGAUAAAUCGGGCUGCCAUUCUGGGGUCAAAAAAGCAUUUUAUUUCUAGUUUGUUGCAAUGUUGGAAGUGCUUCAAACUGGAUUUUUUUGCCUUCUUUUUGAUCAACAACAAAAACCAGACUAUGGUUCUUGAGCCUAUGUAACCCAUUUUCUAUUUUCUAUUUGUUUUGCUGGAAUGGCACUGUUUACAUUGCAUGGUUAAAAUUGUUCUAGUGUCUAUCAUACUGACCGCUACUCGAGUCGCUUCAGAUACCAUCUUGGAUCUGCCGUGAGACCUUAUCAUGGUAAGGUAAUAAGAUUCUGUAUGCCUCUUGAUGUUUAGGUAGCUUUUCCUUGGUGUAGAUUGUGAUACCUCCUAGUGGUCAAGAGGGGGAGAGAACCGCUGUAAUCUUUAAAAACUGCUGAGAGAUCAGUUGUUUCUUCUUACAAAGGAUCACUCCAAGCAUCUUGGCCACAAAUCCAUGUAGGGCCAUAGGUGGUACAAGAAUGCUUUAAACUGUUGUAGAAGCGCACCACAGUAGACAAGAGCAGGUAAGUAUGUGGUAGACCUACCUCUGAAGGUAGAUUUGGAGCAGAAAGUCAAGAUUUCCCACCUGUAUGUGAGGAGCCCACUUAAUGCCCAUCUAUCCACCAUGCUGGCCAGGCUUUGUUGUGGUCAUUGCUUAAAUAUGAAUAUUAAUCUUUUAAUUAAUAUACAUUAAUGAAGCAAUAAGUUGCAACAUUAAUAUUUUUUUACAUUUAUAGGUAUUCUGGUCGAAUAUAUGAAUAGAAUAUACAUAAAACGUAAUAUCUAAUGCCAAUUUACUACUGUAAUUAUAGCAAGUAACAGGCUAUAACAAAUGAUAGCAAUAACAAUGAAUAAUAAUUCAAUGCAGAACAUGAACAAACUACAACCUAUUACUUACAAAUGUCCCCAGCCCUUCCCUUGCACUAAAGAGUUAGAGCUGACGUGAGGCAGGGAAGUUUAAAAUUCAGGCUUGCUUAUUGCAUCUGGAUCAGCUGAAGGUGGACUAAGUGCUGUUCUCAUGUGGGGGCAAGGAAGUUUAAAUUCAGUUUUAAAUUGUAAAAAAUUCACAUAAAGAGAGAGUGAGUCUGAAUAUCUAUUGCCUCUGCUUUUUAUUGCCAGUGAAAUGAUUUAUGGGAGGUAACUUCCCUAUAGUAGGAUGGCCUAUGAUGUCACUGCCUGCCAUCAUCAAUGAUGGCUGCAGUGAAUUUGCUGUGUCAAUGGAGGAUCACACAGUCUUGUGAGAUUCUCCAUAGACCUAAAUUCUGUACUCUCACACAUGCAAGAGAGUAAAGCAGUGACAUCUGCUCCUGGCCCAGAAGUUCUAGGGGUUGAAGAGGAGUAGAAUGAUCAAAUUUGUGGCGCCUGUGAGGGACAGGUAUAGGAUGGUAAUUUCACCCUUACCUGCCCCCCAUGGCCACCGAACCACCAGCGGCCAUGUCAGUGUCGGGGUCUUUGCAAAUUCAGCAAGGGCCCCUGACCGUAACAGCGCUGUUUUAAAUUGCACCCUUGAACUUUAGCUGAUGGCUAACAUACUUGUCAUAAAUGGUAAUACAAAUAUACAGAUGUUAGCAUGUUAGCAUGGUUGGAACAGUAUGCAUGCACAGUAUCAAAUAAGAUUACGAAGCAGGUACAGUCAAGGAUGCAGCCAGAGAUUAGUCAGGAAUAGACCUGGUGAGCAACAAAUAUCAAUCUGGAACAGGCUGUCAAAUAGUAUGUGUAAUCAAGGACGAACUGGGAUAUACAUUGAAUCACUCAUGGGUAUUUGAAUUGGCUUUAGUAAAUUUGAGUCUUAACCUCUAGAUUAUCAGGGUACAUCAGUGUAUGGAAUAGCCUGCCUACCACCAGAUUCUCCCCUAGUCUUCAAUCAUUUAAGAAGUGCCUUAAAACUAUUUUCUUUAGUAAAGCCUAUGGCCUCCCAGACUAACCUCUACCUCACAUACCUGCCUCUUGCUCUCUCUGAAAGGGCAGCACUCUACUCUCUCCUCCAGCUCUGCUCCACUCCCACCUAAUUUGACUCAUAUUCCCUGUCCUAAUGUGUUUUAUACCCCACCUCCUAUAGACCUUAAGCUCAUUUGAGCAGUGCCCUCUUCAACCCUUCGUUUCUGUAAGUUUUCUUGUAAUUGUCCUAUUUAUAGUCAAAUCCCCCCUCUAAUAAUAUUGUAAAGUACUACGGAAUCUGUUGGCUCUAUAUAAAUCAUAAUAAUAAUACAUUUUAGUUGGGUAAAACGGGGUUUAGGAUGGUAGAAAUAAAUUAAUAUGGGUAAGGGUUUGGUAAACCAAUUGACAUGGACAUAUGGGCUGAAAGCAAAAGAACAUACACCAUGUCAUUGUAAGAAAUGCAGUCCUCUAGAAUGCAUAUAACUUGCAGUAUUUAUGAGUGCAAUAUGUUCUCUUAAAAUGUAUUGUGUAUUUUAUGCUAUACUCUCAAGCAACAUAGCAUAUGUAAUGAUCCUUGUCUAUUUUUGUACAUCAGAACAUAUGUGUUUGUGACCCGCUGUUGUGCAGUGUAAUCUAUUUGAUUUUCUGUGUACCUGCACAGCAUGUGUUGAUCAGGUAUUUGUUCUCUGCAAUACAAUAUACCUGACUUUCUUCCUAGCCGUAGAUGUGGGGUCAGUUAGUUUUCACAGCUUUUUGUAUGAAAUUUAUAUUCUCCAUAUUUACAGUCAUUGUGAUAAUCUUCAACUUCUGGCCCAAUUAUGGCUGUAAUAACUUGCUUACAUCUCUCAGAAUUCAACACGGUGAGUAGGUAUAUUUAAAUAUUAUAUAUUAAGCCAUUGCUACUUUAUCAGCCCGCAGAGAGCAUUAGUAGAAAAGAAAAAAUAAAGUUUAAUAAUUAGAAAUAAUAGAUUGUAAAGUUUUGUGUGCUGUAUUCUAGGUACCGCUUAUGAAUUAAAAUGCUUUUUUUUUCUGUCAGAUGUGCAAACCUCUCACACAAUGUUUCUAAUAGACAUAUUUUAAACUUUAUGUUAAACACUUUAAUGCAUGAUUAAGGAACUGCAAUCUUUGGACCUUUUUGUUGUCCAGGCGGGAAUAUUGUCAGAUCAGCAUAGGGCAGCUAGUCCAUAAAAUAAACACAAGAGAGACAAAUAAAAAACAAAAACACAAGACAGAUGCCAGAAAAACAAUAGGGCUAAUGUCAGUGGCGUACACAUGACCCAUGGGGCCCCGGUGCGAAAAUUGAUCCGUGGCUCCCCCCCCCGCACGCGGGCCGGGCCGCAACACAUGGCGGUGGGCACCUGGUCGCAGGGCUGCGACCGCGGUAUGUACGCCAGUGCAUGCAGAUGCACACACACUUGAAGGACCACUACAGACACCCAGAUCACAUCAGCUCAAUGAAGUUGUCUGGGUGUCAGGUCCCUCUAGUUUUAACCCUGCAGCUGAAAACAUAGCAGUUUCAGAGAAACUGCUAUGUUUCACUGAGGGUUAAUCCAGCCUCUAGUGGCUGUCUCACUGACAGCCGCUAGAGGAGCACACUGAAUGUCCAUGGGAAAGCAUUGAGUAAUACUUUCCUAUGGGCGGUUUGAAUGCGUGCGUGGUCGCAUUCGGAGCUGAGAGGCUGAGGGAUCCCCAGCGCCAAGGGAGUCCGGCGCUGGAGAAAGGUAAGUGCUGAAGACACACACACUCUCACUUACAGACGCAUACACACUAGCUAACAGACACACACAUUUACUGACAGAGACACAUUCAGCGACAGACAUACAUACACACUCACAAAACAUACACUCUCAUUGACAAACACAAACUCACUAACAGACAUCAAACAGACUCACUAACACACACACACACACUCAGUAAGACACACACAGUAACACUCACUGGCACUCACUAGCAGACACACACACUAACACUCACUCUAACACUCACUCACUCUAACACUCUCACUCUCACUCUCACUCUAACACUCUAACACUCUAACACUAACACAUGUUUGUUUUUAAAAAAAAUUUAAUCCCCCCCAGCCUCCUUACCUUUUGGAGUGCUGGGGGGGAUUCCCUGGGGUCCAGUAGUGCUGGCGGGCUGUCUGGCCGGCGCGCGAGGGAGCACUCAGUGCUUCCUCUUCAGCUCCCUUCAGCUCCCUUCAGCUCCCUUCAGCUCCCGAUAUCAGUGCGGUGCGCGAGGGAGCUGAAGAGGAAGCACUGAGUGCUCCCUCGUGCGCCCGCCUGCCCGACCGGCCACCUGCCUGCCGGGUGUCAGCAGGGCCAGCCUCGGGGGCCCUGGGGUGGUCGGCUCCUGGGCCCCCCCAGGGGAAGAGGCCGUCCCAGUGGGUACACACCGCAGGGGUCGCGGCUGCGACCAGGCCCGGCCGACCAGGGGGCCCGGCCGCCCCUGCGACCCUGCCACUGGCUAAUGACAUCAAAGAUUAGAGCGGAGAAACUUCACGACAAAAAAAUAAAAUAAAAUCCCUACAGUGAAACUGUACAAAAGGUCCCUAACAUUUCUUAUUGAUUUCCUUUCCUCGUUGUUUUUUUUGUUCCUGCACACAUAUAAAGUCAUGGGGAUACAGUAUAAUUGCAAAUUAAUGGUGUGAUUCCUAAAUCCUGUAAAUGCCCAUAAUUUCCAAAAAUGUGAACAUUGUGAUUUAGGUAUAUUUGAGAUGUUUGCUGAAAUUGUCUAGUACUCAAAUUGAUUAUUUUGUUAUGACACUGUCACAUCAAACUUAUUGCUAAAGUCUCUAGCAAUAUAGGCUUGACAUAAUUUAUAUCUAAUCAAUGAUAAUUGUGAUCACCGUCAUAGGCGUGCGCAGCCUAUUGCAUUAGGGUGUGCACCCUAAAGCACAAACACACGCCGCGCGCGCGUGUGUGUGUGUGUGUGUGUGUGUGUGUGUGUGUGUGUGUGUAUAUAUAUAUAUAUACAUAUAUAUAUUCACAGACACACACACUCACAGACACACACUCACACUCACAGAAACACACACACACUCACAGACACACACACUCACACACACUGACACACACAUACUCACACACUCACAGACACACACACACACACUCACUGACACACACACUCACAGACACAUACUCACACACUCACAGACACACACUGACACACACUCACAGACUCACACACACAUACUCACACUGACAGACACACACUGACACAUACUCACACACUCACAGACACAUACUCACACACUCACAGACACACACUGACACACACACACUCACACACUGACACAUACACACUCACUGACACACACACUCACAGACACAUACUCACACACUUACAGACACACACUCACAGACACAUACUCACACACUCACACACACUGACACACACAUACUCACACACUCUCAGACACAUACUCACACACUCACAGACACACACACUCACACUCAGACACACACAUACUCACACUCACACUCACAGACACACACUCACAGACACACACUCACACACACUGACACACACACACUGACACACACACACACACUCACUGACACACACACACACUGACACACUGACACAUACUCACACACUCACAGACACACACAAAUAAUUAUAUUUUAAUUUUUUUUUUUUAAAUGUCCACCCAGCCUCCUACCUGGAGUGCUGGUGGACUUGUCCCUGGGGUCCAGUGGGGGCGGGCGCCUCUCUGCAGCUCAGCGCGCGGCGAGGGAGCUCUCUGCUCUCUGUUCUCUGCUUCCUCUCGCCGCGCGGGCUGUCUGCUCGAGCUGGGAGCCGGAAUAUGACGUCAUAUUCCGGCUCCCGGCAUCAGCGCGCGGCGAGAGGAGCAGAGAGCAGAGAGCAGAGAGCUCCCUCGCCGCGGCUGAGCUGCAGGGUGGGGGGAAUCAUCACCUCUUGCCCUCCCAUGACAGGGGCAAGAGGUGAAACGGGGGGCACUGAGUGCCUGCAGGAACAGCGUUCCUGCUCAAAAGAGUGCAGGAACGCUGUUCCUGCAGGACUCAAACCAUAGGGGUGCGCACGGGGAUUAGGGUGUGCCCAGGCACACCCGGCACACCCCGUGCGCACGCCUAUGAUCACCGUAGAAACAAUGUGUGAUUGCUCAUUGUGUAAUGAACAUCUAAUGGCUUCUUGGUAGCCUUGAUUAAUUUUGAGUGGUAAUAUUAAGUGCACUCAUGAAGAGUUUUUACAAGAGGUCAUUUGUGGUGGGAGUGGAAGAGAAAAGGUUUGUAGAAAUCUCCAAUAGCAAUAAAAUAGCAACGCUAUAUUAAAAUACUCUUUCGAUAAAGACCACAGAAGGAAUAGUUAAUAAAUCCCACCCUGAAGUUUAUACGAGAGCGUUUACCCUACAAUAUAUUGACAAUUUUCAACAUUAGCACUUUUGAUUUGGGCUCUGAAAUUCUUAUAUUAAUGAUGUGAGGGCAAUUACCUAGCAUAUUACAACACUCCAGAAUGAUUUUUGAUAAACCACUCUCAUAUACAUUGUUCUACAAUUAUAAUGACAGCACUAUGCUGUAAGUUAUAUAGUCAAACAGUCAAUUAUACAGAUCAACGACCUUUUAAAUGUAUUAUCUUGGCUAAGGCAAUUCACUUUAUCUAUUCAUUACAAUGCAUUUUUUUAUUUUAAAUAAUUACAUUUUACUGUUGGUAAAACAAGAAAAUGUAAAUGUGUAAAUCCAAACACCUGCCACUUAAUCAUCACAUGAUUAAAUAUUUUUUUUUAUUACGCAGUCUAUGAAGAAAAUAGUUAAUUAACCUUCUCUUCUAAUUAUUCUGUGUUGUAAUGUCACUUCCCGAAUGCAAAAUAUUUUCACAAUUUCUAAUAUGAAAUUAAAAUGAUAUAUAUUGCUUGUCCCAAGUCUGACAUUUACUGACAGAGACACAUUCAGCGACAGACAUACAUACACACUCACAAAACAUACACUCUCAUUGACAAACACAAACUCACUAACAGACAUCAAACAGACUCACUAACACACACACACACACUCAGUAAGACACACACAGUAACACUCACUGGCACUCACUAGCAGACACACACACUAACACUCACUCUAACACUCACUCACUCUAACACUCUCACUCUCACUCUCACUCUAACACUCUAACACUCUAACACUAACACAUGUUUGUUUUUAAAAAAAAUUUAAUCCCCCCCAGCCUCCUUACCUUUUGGAGUGCUGGGGGGGAUUCCCUGGGGUCCAGUAGUGCUGGCGGGCUGUCUGGCCGGCGCGCGAGGGAGCACUCAGUGCUUCCUCUUCAGCUCCCUUCAGCUCCCUUCAGCUCCCUUCAGCUCCCUAUAUCAGUGCGGUGCGCGAGGGAGCUGAAGAGGAAGCACUGAGUGCUCCCUCGUGCGCCCGCCUGCCCGACCGGCCACCUGCCUGCCGGGUGUCAGCAGGGCCAGCCUCGGGGGCCCUGGGGUGGUCGGCUCCUGGGCCCCCCCAGGGGAAGAGGCCGUCCCAGUGGGUACACACCGCAGGGGUCGCGGCUGCGACCAGGCCCGGCCGACCAGGGGGCCCGGCCGCCCCUGCGACCCUGCCACUGGCUAAUGACAUCAAAGAUUAGAGCGGAGAAACUUCACGACAAAAAAAUAAAAUAAAAUCCCUACAGUGAAACUGUACAAAAGGUCCCUAACAUUUCUUAUUGAUUUCCUUUCCUCGUUGUUUUUUUUGUUUUUUUUGUUCCUGCACACAUAUAAAGUCAUGGGGAUACAGUAUAAUUGCAAAUUAAUGGUGUGAUUCCUAAAUCCUGUAAAUGCCCAUAAUUUCCAAAAAUGUGAACAUUGUGAUUUAGGUAUAUUUGAGAUGUUUGCUGAAAUUGUCUAGUACUCAAAUUGAUUAUUUUGUUAUGACACUGUCACAUCAAACUUAUUGCUAAAGUCUCUAGCAAUAUAGGCUUGACAUAAUUUAUAUCUAAUCAAUGAUAAUUGUGAUCACCGUAGAAACAAUGUGUGAUUGCUCAUUGUGUAAUGAACAUCUAAUGGCUUCUUGGUAGCCUUGAUUAAUUUUGAGUGGUAAUAUUAAGUGCACUCAUGAAGAGUUUUUACAAGAGGUCAUUUGUGGUGGGAGUGGAAGAGAAAAGGUUUGUAGAAAUCUCCAAUAGCAAUAAAAUAGCAACGCUAUAUUAAAAUACUCUUUCGAUAAAGACCACAGAAGGAAUAGUUAAUAAAUCCCACCCUGAAGUUUAUACGAGAGCGUUUACCCUACAAUAUAUUGACAAUUUUCAACAUUAGCACUUUUGAUUUGGGCUCUGAAAUUCUUAUAUUAAUGAUGUGAGGGCAAUUACCUAGCAUAUUACAACACUCCAGAAUGAUUUUUGAUAAACCACUCUCAUAUACAUUGUUCUACAAUUAUAAUGACAGCACUAUGCUGUAAGUUAUAUAGUCAAACAGUCAAUUAUACAGAUCAACGACCUUUUAAAUGUAUUAUCUUGGCUAAGGCAAUUCACUUUAUCUAUUCAUUACAAUGCAUUUUUUUAUUUUAAAUAAUUACAUUUUACUGUUGGUAAAACAAGAAAAUGUAAAUGUGUAAAUCCAAACACCUGCCACUUAAUCAUCACAUGAUUAAAUAUUUUUUUUUAUUACGCAGUCUAUGAAGAAAAUAGUUAAUUAACCUUCUCUUCUAAUUAUUCUGUGUUGUAAUGUCACUUCCCGAAUGCAAAAUAUUUUCACAAUUUCUAAUAUGAAAUUAAAAUGAUAUAUAUUGCUUGUCCCAAGUCUAUUUUUUCUUCAAUGUAUAGAAGACCUGUUUUUAUGCUUGCAUCAUGUAUCUCAUAUGUGCAUGAGACCUAAUUUUAAAGACUAAAGGCACUUCUUCUUGUAAAAAAAUAAAUAUCUGAACAACUGAGUUUUACCAAUUUUAUAAUAAAAGAAAAUUCAAGGAUUCCAAAGAAAUUAACCACUUUUUUUUCCUUUCUUCUCCAAACUGUCAUGCUUUAAAUCCCUCAAUCUCUUCCCAGCUCAGAAAAAAAGACAAAGGGAUAAACACUUAUCUCUGCAGUAAUCCCUAAAACUCUUUUGGUAAACAAGUUUAAACUCUAGAUUAUAUGUCUAGAAAAUAUUGUUUAUCUGAGAGACUAUCAAAAAUGAUCAGACAUUGUAAUGUGUGAUUUAUGUAAGUACUUCAUGCCUCUAUUCUGCAAACAGUCUGCUCUCCCAGAUUAACAUUUAAUAAACAAAUACAAUCAUUUGGUGUGUGCAUUAACAUCUAGGAUAUAACAAAAUGUUUAGUGCUUUCAGCAUUACGCUAUUCGGAUAUAGGUUCUAAAAUAUGGUUACCGUAUUCUGGAAAGCGGACACCUUCAGUAAUAGAUUCAUGCAGACUGGAAUUUAGUCAAAGGAGUGUGAUGAAGGCCAAGGUGCCACCACUCUGGGUUAAAGCUGCCUGUAGGGAAUAGUUUUUUCACUGGAAUGAUGCACCACAUCCAUGAAAAACACUGAGCACCUGGCCGGUAGUGCUUAUAUUACUGUUCUCAACUUUUUGUGCCCAACUACACUUUUCUGAAAAUUUAAUGUGUUUGAUCAAUUUUUUUUAUUGCUUUUUAAGUAACUAUGAAAAUGUUGACACACCUUAGGAAUUAUAUUGGACAUUAAUAGGAUGAAUUGUAGGGAGAAGUUAUACGGAAUAAUUGGAGUUAUAGGUAGAGGUUAUGUAGAGUAAUAGGAGGAGUUAUGGGGUGAGGUUAUAUGGCAUAACGUGAGGAGUUACAGAGAGAUUAUCUGGAGUAAUGAGAAGGUCAGGGGAAGGCUGGCAGCCUUAGGCCUGGGGGGCAAAUCCAGUCAAGUGGCCCAUUGCACCAAGAGAAGAGUAAAAACACCUUUCCCAUGUGAUUGAAAGGGUGGAGGGGCAGAGACACUGACGGGCACACACCCACUUGCUGAUUUGACAAACACUAACAAACACACACUCACUGACAGGCACACACACCAACACCAACAGAGACACACUGUUACAGGCACUGAUUCACACAUACAGGCAUACUGGCUAACACACACAGACUAACUGGCAGCUGGCAACAGAAAGAAGCAGCGACGUGGGACAUGUCGCUGCCUCUGGUAAGUUUCUGAAGGGGUUUUCACCCCUUCAGCAACUGGGGAUUGGUGGGUGGGUGGGAGGGAGAGGGCACUUGCAGUGCCAGGAAAACAUACUGUUUUCCUGGCACUGGAGUUUCCCUUUAAUGGUCUAUACUAUAAUAGGCAUGUCUUUAAAAACUAAACUUUAUUUUUAUGACUAGUAAAUGUGGUGAAGGAAGGGGUAUCAAUAGGUAGUGUGGGGACAUUGACAAGAGAGGAGCGAUGAUGCAGCAGGCGUAGCUGCGUCCUCAUGGAACACGGCUGAGGGGGCGAUCGAGGGAGCCAACAGAGUGAGGAGAGGAUUGCCCGGUGUGCUAUGCAACUCUGAGGGAAACAGAUAGGCAGGGAGUGGGAGAGCGACCACCAGAUGUUUGCUAAACAAACAACGUUAUUACAGCCAGGGCCGGCCUUAGGUGAUCAGACCCUUGCACGAGCCCAACAUAUGGCGCCUCCCCCUUCAGCAAAAUCCCUGCCCCUUCUACAAUAGCCUUGUUCUGCCUACUACAAAACCCUUCCACAAAACCCCUGCCCCCUUUCUACAAAAACCCUGCCCCCCUUUUUACAAAACCCCUACCCCUUCUACAAAACCCCUGCUCUCCCUUUAAUAAAACCCCUGCCCACCCUUCUACAAAGUUUUUUUUUCUCCCCCUUUAACAAAACACAUGCUAUCAUAUUAUAUAUAUCAACUAUACCGCAAUGUACACAUAAUAUCACUAAAAACCUUCCCCCUCCACCAAAACCACUGCCACCCUCUACAAAAGCCCUGUACUCAUGCUACAGAAACCUCUGCUACUCUUCUACAUAAAACCCUGCUCCCCUUCUAAAAAACCACUGCUCCCCUUCUAUAAAACCCCUGCUCCCCUUCUAUAAAACCCCUGCCCCCCUUAUACUAAACUCCUGCUCCCCUUAUACUAAACUCCUGCACUCUUUACAAACCCCCUGCUCCCCCUUCAACAAAACCCAUGCCCCCUCCACAAAAUCCUUUACCCUGCCACUUACCAGAAAUGCCUGCACCCUCUUCUACAAAACCUCUCCUCUACACCAAAACCCCUAUCCCCUUUUUUUACAAAACCCCUACUCCUUCCUAAACCAAAACCCCUCCCCUUCUACAAAACCCCUUCCCCAAAAUCCCAGCUAGAAAACCUCUGCUCCCCCUUCUGCAAACCCCCCAUCACACAAAAACAACAAUCUAUUUAAUACAAAAAAGCAAUAGUUAAAACAAGAAUAAGCAGACUCCCAUUAAAGCUGGCUGCUCCCUGGACCCUCCUGACAGUGUCCUAGUCUGCUGACCUUGAUACCAAAGCACUGACCUCCUCCCUCACAGUCACUGUGCGGAUCCUUCCGCGAAUGACUUUGGAGGCGGAGCACACUCUUCCUCCGUGCUCUUGACCUCCUCUCUCUCCCGGCCUCUGCUCUCUUCAUAAUUUGCAUGUCAAGUGCACAGCACAAUGCACUUGACUUGCUCUGCACAUGACUUGGGCCGGCCUGUGAGUGACUGAGUGCGAGCUGCUUCAGCCGCCCGGCGCCCCUGUUGCCAUGGUGCCCUGUGUGGCCGCACAUCUCGCACACCCCUAAGGCCGGCCCUUACAUUACAGCUGAUUGUCAGGCAAAGAGCAACGGAGGGAGAACAAACAGAGAACGCCCAUACUACUGGUAGACAGGGAAAAUUUCCAAGCUGCACCUAUACUGGAGUUUAACCUCCCCUCCCCCUUCUCUCCUAGCUUGGUUUUCUUCUCUCUGUUUUGCUUUCUGUUGUCUUGCAAUACGCCUAUUGUGUUACUGACUUCAAGGUGAAGUAGAUAAAGAGAAUAAGAGCGAUACAUAAUAGUAGUGUAUUAAAGCAAAGAGGAAAAACGAGGAAGGGUAGAGUCUAAGAAGAAUAACCCCAAAGACAUCACCAUUUUUAAGGAGCUUAUAAUCUCUAGAGAGAGAUUAAAUAAACUAAGAAACAAAAUGGCCACUACAAAGACACAAAAUGGUAAACCUUUGAAAAAAAGAAAAAAACUAAAAACAAAACAGAAAAGCGCCUUUCCUUUUACUCACCACAUCCCCCAGAUAAUAAGUAAAACCUGGAGGAAUCUCUCCUCUAAAAUAUCUCACUAGAGGGAGAUAUUCACAGAGGACAUAUGGAGGAGAAUCAAGAGUUAAGAGAAGGAAGAAACAAAUAUGACCACCUACUCAGACAUCUAGAUACACAAUUUAGGAAACUGAGAGAAUAAAUCCAAGUCAAUACUCUGGACAUUAAGAAAGAACCGUUGACUCUCAAUCUAUGAAUACAAGAGAUAGAAGAAAAACUAAAUGGAAUGGAACACAAGGAAAAGUCCACAAAAAGGAACACCUGGCACUGGAAAUGAAAAUAGCUGAUAUGGAGAACAAAUUGAUAGACUUGGAAGACCAGUCAAGACAGAACAACUUAAGAAUUAGAGGAGUAUCAGAACAAAUAAAUGCAAAAAACCUGGAGUCCUAUUUAGAGGACUUUAUCAAACAUCUGGAGGUGGAAUGGGACUCCAGAACCCCUAUAACGGAGCUAUGCCAUAGAGUGAAUAAACCUAAAGGGGUCCCAGACCACCUUCCAAGAGAUGUACUGAAAUGCUUCACGUCUUUCAAACUUAAGACGCAAAUACUGAGAGCCAUAAGAAGCAACAAAUGCGCAGAAGAAUAGGAAACCCUGAAAAUAUUUGGCCAACCAGACAAAAGAGAAUAACCUUUUUUUAAUGGUACAUCAAUUCUGAGACAAAGCAGUAUUAAUUUUUGUGGGGAACCCCCAUCGGUAUUUAUCAUAUCACAUGAAGGAAAGUGUAUUCCCUUAAAUCAACCUGAAGAUCUACAAAAAAGCUGGCUAACUGCAAACAAAAUUGGAAGUAGCUCCAAUCACCAGUCAACAAACAGCAAGGUCCCAACUAUUUCAAAUAAAUUGGCACUAGCGACACUCAACUCCUCAAGUAGGGAAGACGAAAGAGAAGAAUAUAUGAAAAUAAGAACUAUGGAUGGAUAUAUAUAUAUAUACACACACACGUAUCUAUUUUUAUUUUUUAUUUAUUUUUUUGGGAGGUGACUAAGAGCACAAGGGGAUAAUGGGAAAACACAAGCAGAUAAGUAAUAAGGAAAACUAGGAACCAAGGGGAAAUAAAACCAAGGAACAAGGAAAAUGUAUAAAUGUAGAUUAUGAUUAGGAGUUGCUCAAGCACAUAUUUAACAUAAGUGUAGCGGAGAGCUGGUAUUUCACAGAUAAACUCCACUAAAGAUCCCAGGGAGGCUCAGGAACAAGUUAUUCAAACACUAUAGAAUAAUAAUAAUCCCAGCAAGCAAGGUAAUCCACGAAUAUUCCCAUAUAGAUCCCAAUGACUGGACGACACAUAGCAUCAAGAGCAGAACUGACUUUUAAUCCGCACAACCUCCUUAUAAAGCUUUCUCCCAUGCAAGGGAGGGAUUCACAUUAAUCAGUACAGUAUCCAAUAGUGUAACAGUUACCUCCCACACAUCUCCUCCCCUCAGUGUGACACAUAAUCCCAUUAAUCAUGCUGUAGUUUUCCCCAAGUUCUGGAUGUACCCCAAAACAAGCAGUUCAAAUAAUACUUGUGGUACCCCCUGGUAGCCCUGAUCUGGGUGACUAACAUAUCCAAAAUACACCCAGGUCGGACCAGGGGUUCGGGAGUUAGGUGGAGGGUGUAAUUUGACCAACCGCACACGAGGUGGUAUUCGAAAAAGGCUCCAUGUGUUUUGGCCUUGCGGUCGGUCUCUGUUCAGGAGUUAAAAGACAUAGAAAUACCUACCAUCCACAGCUAAUCUUCCAUUCGCAUCAAUCCCCUUGUUCGGGACAUUGAUUUUACCAAACGGAGGGCUGACUAGUCCCUCCGUUCUUGAGUUAUAGAACUCUGGAGGUCUCAGCGGUGUUCGGUUGUUUGAGUGUCUGAUUUAAGUUCCAGACACUCGACGACCAAACACUGCUGAGAUUUUUAUGCGUAAGAUGGCCGCCGCACGUGGUUUGUAUGCCGAACGGCGACCACACAGGCACAUACAAUGUAUCAAUUAUGCUGCGGUUUGCAGAGUGUGAACACUACUACUACUCAAUACACCAUGUAAAAGGUCUAUAACUUUUUAGAUUUCUUGAUAAAAAAUCAGGUACAAUUUGUGCCCUUCAAGAAUCUCACUAGAUACAAUCCAAUAAGUUCAACAAAAUACCCCAUCAUUAUAAAUAUGGCUUUGGAAAAUAAAAAAAGAAGCGUGGCAUUUGUUUGCUAAAAAUGUGUUCCUAAAUAUAAACAUAAAAACACUAGACCCAGAGGGCCGCUACGUUAUUUUAGUAUGUGAAAUACUGGUUUAUUAGAUAUGCCAAAAAUUCUACCCAACCAAUUAAAACUAAACCAGCCCAUAACAGAAGUAGAGGGUAAUAAAUCAAUAUAGAAGCUCAAAAUAAACACUGCCCAAACUGCUUUACAAAUCCAUUUUAUAAACUGAUAAAAGACCAAUUAAAAGGAAACUUAUUAUCGUUAAUUACAUAAUGAGAACAGGAGGCUGUCCUGGAGAGUUGAGCGAAUAUUGUUCCCAUCCCCAAAGCAGAUAACAAUCCAGAAUUGAUUAACAACUAUAGACCCAUUUCGUUAAUCAAUACUGGCGUUAAAAUAUUUUCUUCUAUUCUUGAAGAAAAAUUUAAAAUACAGGGAGUGCAGAAUUAUUAGGCAAAUGAGUAUUUUGACCACAUCAUCCUCUUUAUGCAUGUUGUCUUACUCCAAGCUGUAUAGGCUCGAAAGCCUACUACCAAUUAAGCAUAUUAGGUGAUGUGCAUCUCUGUAAUGAGAAGGGGUGUGGUCUAAUGACAUCAACACCCUAUAUCAGGUGUGCAUAAUUAUUAGGCAACUUCCUUUCCUUUGGCAAAAUGGGUCAAAAGAAGGACUUGACAGGCUCAGAAAAGUCAAAAAUAGUGAGAUAUCUUGCAGAGGGAUGCAGCACUCUUAAAAUUGCAAAGCUUCUGAAGCGUGAUCAUCGAACAAUCAAGCGUUUCAUUCAAAAUAGUCAACAGGGUCGCAAGAAGCGUGUGGAAAAACCAAGGCGCAAAAUAACUGCCCAUGAACUGAGAAAAGUCAAGCGUGCAGCUGCCACGAUGCCACUUGCCACCAGUUUGGCCAUAUUUCAGAGCUGCAACAUCACUGGAGUGCCCAAAAGCACAAGGUGUGCAAUACUCAGAGACAUGGCCAAGGUAAGAAAGGCUGAAAGACGACCACCACUGAACAAGACACACAAGCUGAAACGUCAAGACUGGGCCAAGAAAUAUCUCAAGACUGAUUUUUCUAAGGUUUUAUGGACUGAUGAAAUGAGAGUGAGUCUUGAUGGGCCAGAUGGAUUGGCCCGUGGCUGGAUUGGUAAAGGGCAGAGAGCUCCAGUCCGACUCAGACGCCAGCAAGGUGGAGGUGGAGUACUGGUUUGGGCUGGUAUCAUCAAAGAUGAGCUUUUCGGGUUGAGGAUGGAGUCAAGCUCAACUCCCAGUCCUACUGCCAGUUCCUGGAAGACACCUUCUUCAAGCAGUGGUACAGGAAGAAGUCUGCAUCCUUCAAGAAAAACAUGAUUUUCAUGCAGGACAAUGCUCCAUCACACGCGUCCAAGUACUCCACAGCGUGGCUGGCAAGAAAGGGUAUAAAAGAAGAAAAUCUAAUGACAUGGCCUCCUUGUUCACCUGAUCUGAACCCCAUUGAGAACCUGUGGUCCAUCAUCAAAUGUGAGAUUUACAAGGAGGGAAAACAGUACACCUCUCUGAACAGUGUCUGGGAGGCUGUGGUUGCUGCUGCACGCAAUGUUGAUGGUGAACAGAUCAAAACACUGACAGAAUCCAUGGGUGGCAGGCUUUUGAGUGUCCUUGCAAAGAAAGGUGGCUAUAUUGGUCACUGAUUUGUUUUUGUUUUGUUUUUGAAUGUCAGAAAUGUAUAUUUGUGAAUGUUGAGAUGUUAUAUUGGUUUCACUGGUAAUAAUAAAUAAUUGAAAUGGGUAUAUAUUUGUUUUUUGUUAAGUUGCCUAAUAAUUAUGCACAGUAAUAGUCACCUGCACACACAGAUAUCCCCCUAACAUUGCUAUAACUAAAAACAAACUAAAAACUACUUCCAAAAAUAUUCAGCUUUGAUAUUAAUGAGUUUUUUGGGUUCAUUGAGAACAUGGUUGUUGUUCAAUAAUAAAAUUAAUCCUCAAAAAUACAACUUGCCUAAUAAUUCUGCACUCCCUGUAGUUAUACCACAAUUAAUCAACAAUGAUCAAGUAGGAUUCAUACCAAGGAGGUCCUCCAUCAAUAAUCUUAGAAAAAUAAUAAACAUAUUAGAAGAAACAGAGAACAAUUAAACCCCUCUAAUGUUACUGUCAAUAGAUGCAGAGAAAGCGUUUGACAGGGUUGGUUUCAUGUUCGCUACCCUAAAACAAUUUGGAAUUACUGGUUCAAUACUACAAGUUAUAUUCGCUCUCUAGAAUUCUCCAUCAGAAAAAGUUACAGGGUCAGGAUUUACUUCACAAAACUUUAAUAUUAAAAACGGGACAAGGCAAGGGUGCCCCAUUUCUCCUUUAUUGUACAUAAUGUUGUUAAAACCCCUAACGAUUUUAAUAAGACAAUACAAAAAAAUUCAAGGUUUCACUAACGCGUUAAGACAAAUAAAAUUUAAAUAUCUAUGCAGACGAUAUUUUAUUAACAUUAGAAGAACCUAGAGUUAAUGAAGGAGAUAAAUAAAAAAUACUCUAAAGUCUCAGGAUACAAAAUGAAUGAAAGAGAAAUCACUAUUCAUUGCCAAAAUUGAUUUAUUUAGGCAUAGGCAUAACCUCAGAGCUAAAAGACCUAAUAGAAGCCAACUUCUUACCCUUAUUAAAACAAACCAAUAAAAACUUAAGGGACUGGAAAGGUUUGUGUUUCUCUUGGUUGGGUAGACUAUAUAUCUUAAAAGCAUAUAUUUUACCAAAAUGGCUGUAAUUAUGGAGAAUGAUCCCUCUCAACUUCCCCAAAAAUUGGCUUUCUCUACUACACUCAUCCUUCUUUAACUUUGUAUGGGAUGACAAGAAAGCAAGGGUUAAAAUGAAAAAUGUGGCUAGGUCAAGGCAAGAUGGAGGUUUGGGGUGCCCAGAAAUUCUACAAUGUUAUCUGACUAGUAGACUGUUUCAUAUAUUGCUUUCACAAAACAAUGCAUCAACCCAAGAAACAUGGUACAAAAUAGAAAAAGCAAAAACUGGAGAAGGAAACCUAUCCUCACUAUUCUGGGUCUUAGACGUGAAUUAAAAAAAUCAUUAAAGAGGCAUGAACAAAAUCAGAUCUUUCAAAGAAUUAACGAGUUGGUGGGAUAAACUCACAACUGAAAUAGGACUUAGAAUAAUGAAUGUGCUUCCUUUCUGUACCAUUCCAUAUAUGUUAGAUAAUAUAAAAAUAGAUACCUGGAAGAAUGAGGGGAUAAGGGAAUUCAAAGACAUAGUAGCGGAACACAAAAUUAAGCUCUUCAUUUAAAUUAUGGAGGAAUUUAAUAUUCCCUCUAAAGAAACUUUUAAUUAUCUGCAAAUCAAAGGUUUUAUGGCAGACUAUCUCCUUAAAAACAAGGGGGAGAAAAUCAUAAAUCUUAUACACCUUCUCGAACUAAAGAACUACAAAAAUCUACUGGCAAAUGGAUGGAGACAUGACAAACCUAUAGGACUGAUUAAAAAUGGGAAAAUGAAGAAGUGGAUGAGUUCUCUAACUAAAGUAUAUAAACCUAUACAUUGCCUAAACCUCACUGAAAUACAAAUCAAGCUUUCAAAUAGAUGGUAUUUAACACCAAAACAUCUUUAAAAAAAAAAAAAAAAAAUCUACCCAGAGUUGUCAGAUAGGUGUUGGAAAUGUAAUGUUAAUGAAGGCAAUCUGAUCCACAUUUGGUGUCAUUGCGUACCCAUCAAUACAUUUUGGAAAAGAUUAUAAUUAACGUAAUUACUAAAUAACGUAAAUGAAACUAGUCUUUAACCCAUUAAGGACCAAACUUCUGGAAUAAAAGGGAAUCAUGACAUGUCACACAUGUCAUGUGUCCUUAAGGAGUUUAAGCCUGAAGUGGUUUUGUUAAACCUGAAAUGGCCAAAAUGACAAAGUAUUAAUCCAAUGCAACAUAUUAUUAGGACGGAUAAAUUACUUCUAGCACGAAGCUGGAAAACAGGGAAAAUCCCAUGUACUCAAGAAGUAAUAACAAAAGUCAUGUGGCAGGCAAAAAUGGCAAGAGGUAUUUUGGUGAACGUAGGAAGCAAAUACACUCAGAAGACUGGUUUUUAUGGAUAAAGAAAAUGGAAACUAUAAUUUAACAAUUACAAUGGAGUUAAGUCUCCUUUGUUUUUUUUUUCUCUUUUUCUGGCUUUUUUUUUUCUUAGUUCUCUUUCGGUCAAAUAUCAAUAAACCAAGGCCAGAAGUAAUAUUGUUUUUCUCCUCUCUUCUACACUCUUUGCUCAAUACUUAGUGUGUGUAAAGGCCUAUUUCCUGCUACAUAUUUAUGAUGAGAAGAGUACCAAUGCCUUAACUAUAUAAGCAACAGCUAAAAUUGCACAUGGCAGGUACUCAUCUGAAAUAUAAAAAAAUAAAAAAUAAAAAAUGUGGUGAAGGAAAGUAUGGCCUUUUAUGAGGACAAUAUAAUCUGCAUAAGUGCCAACAGUCCAGAAUUUGUUGAGACAGUCUUGCAUUUUGGGAUACUGUCCCAGCAAAUCUAGGUCCCACAUUUUGCAAAUGGCAAAUUUCAAAAUGCAGGAGAAACUGGCCACUAGGGCCAUGCAUCAACCUUUUCAACAGUGUACAUGGUCUGCUUGAGGGGGCAACCCUCUUUACAAAUGGGUACACCACUUUGACAGGCAGGUUAGCUGUCCAUCUCCAUCCCAGAAGGUGUGAAGGAAAUGUUAGCAGUUAUGCACAGGACUACUAUAUCUCAUUAGACUGGUUGAUUAAAAUUUGCACUUCCUGCUGCUUAUUGUAUAGAAUAAUGCUUCUCAGAAUGGUCUAGGGAGUUCUAAAGUAUAUUGUUCCGAAGUACACUUAAUAAAAAGCAUGUUAUUUAAGAGAUUUGUUAGUUUCCCCAAACAAUGACAGCGCAAAAUAAACAUGUAAGUGUUGCUUGGUGUAAUGUAGAGGGAGCACUCAAAUUUUCCACUUUAAUUAUUCAGUGUUCAUUAAAUAAUUAACUAUUGUUUGUAGAUGAGGUUAUAUGCAUUACACAAUGAAGGGUGUGUAUUAUGUCCUUUAGAAACAAUUGUAGCAUAGUAAUCAUGUCCCCUGGUCUGCUUGUACUGUAAAUAUAGUGAGCUUCUUAGAAUUUUAGCCAUUAAAGAGAGAGUUAAAAGGAAUAGCAGCAGUGUUUCCUCUGAGCUUAAAAUUUCAGCCACCUUUUCUAACUCUGACAUUAUAGCCUACAGGUUAUUAUGUGGUCAUCAACUUGGCUUAGAUUGUCUCUUUAUAUUUCGAAUAUAUAUAAAGUGUGUGUCUGUGUAGGUUUAUAAAAGCAGUACAUGACCUAUUUAAGUCCUCGCUGCCCAUAAUGUUUAUUAGUAAAGUAUAUACUGUGACAGAUCCAUCUGUAUGGACUAAGAUUGCUGGAUUCGUCUGUUUUGCCUUUUUCAUGAAUUUACCCGUUCGUAUGCCUUUUGUUUAAGUGAAUGGACUUUUCUGCCGAACGGAACUGCCGAACGGACGGCCACCCAGAAGAGAAGUGUGCUGCUGGUUAACCUAUUGAUCCCAAUUAGAACGUUGCGGUUAACCACAGACACUUCUCAAUUAACCCCUUAAGGACCAAACUUCUGGAAUAAAAGGGAAUCAUGACAUGUCACACAUGUCAUGUGUCCUUAAGGGGUUAAAACCGAAUACAGGGUGGUCGUCGUUCGUAUGUCGACCACGAGGCGGCAGCCAUUUUAAACAAUGCGAAAGACCAGUGGUGUUCGACAUUUAUUUCAUGGAACUGAAAACUGACACUUUUUCAAGCAAACACCGCUGAAGCCACCGACCUCCCUUCUCAAUCGACAGAAGUGUGCGAACACCGGCCAUUCGGGAGGUUUAAAGGCACGAAUGGACUUACCCCAGAUAGCCUUCCCAUGGAGUCAAUCGCAUACCGAAGAACUGUAAUAGACUUUGACUCCAUGGCGUUUGAACUAUGCGUAUGGGAUCUGAGCGCUAUUAGCCAAUAAUAUGCACUCAGAUCCAGGCUAUCUCUGGAUAUGUGAUACGAAUGGGUAGCAUUCGACAAAUGUAAAGUUAUAUAUUUUUGUGUUUUUAUGUGUUGAAUGUAAAAUGGCGAUUUGCCUCUGUCCUGGAGAUAAUUGAAUUACUUCUCAAUUAUCUCCAGGGCAGAGGGGAGGAAUUAUUAUUGCAUGCUAGGAAUAUUUUGUGUCUGUGGGUCCUGAACUGCCAUAUGUCUAUCUGUUGUUACAGUCUCCCAUUUGGUCCCCUAGGGGAGUGUCCACCAAGUGGGAGACCUGCAUAAAUACGGGCAGGUAGCCCACAGUAAAGCCAGUUCAUGUUUUACCCUCAAUGCAGAGCUUGGUCUCGUUAUUGGGGGAGAUUUAUUACCGACGACUAGAGACUGCUGGAUGGGAUUAUUAGCCGCUUGGGAGAUACCUACGUUCGGCUGCUAUUGGCGAUUCGUGAGUUUGGAGCUCGUGAAGUGCCCGUACGGACCCCGUUCGUGAGUUUACAGCGUUCCCUUGCUUGCGGUUCGUAUGAUUAUACUGGAUACACAUGCAGCCUAGGUUAUUGCGAACGGGGAGCGUUCACUAAAUGGUGGUUUGUGCAUUUCAUGCUGAGGGUACCGUAACAUAUACGUGUACUGCAGUUUGCUUUAUUUCCAUUGUCAUAGACUUAAUGUACAGAGGAAAGAGCUUGUACUAACCAUACUAUAAGGCUUCUGGAAAGCACAGAGGAUGUGUCACUCUAUGCUUUUGCAUUUAGUCAGACAUUCAAUGAACACUCUAGUGUUAAUAAUAAAAACACAAUGCUUUCCUGUGGGGAUUUCGGUGAUGCUGGAGGUCCUCACAUAGCGUGAGGAUGUCCAGCGUCAUUUUAAAACACUUAGACAGCCACCAGAGGAGGACUUAACCCUGCAAUGUAAAUAUUGCAGUUUAAUAAAACUGCAAUAGUUACACUUGCAGGGUUAAGGGUAGUAGGAGUUGGCACCCAGACCACUCCAAUGGGCAGAAGUGGUCUGGGUGCCUGGAGUAUCCCUUUAACUCUUAUGGACCAAACUUUUGGAAUAAAAGGGAAUCAUGACAUGUCACACAUAUCAUGUGUCCUUAAGGGGUUAAGUAUACAGGACCACUGCACUCAGGCUACAGAUGAAAUAGUCUGGGGUCACCUUUGCUAUCCUUUUAAUCAUGUAAUUUAUUAAUGUAAAAUUAUCCUUCAGUUCUGCAGCUAGAACUGCAAGGUAUUUCUUAUUAACUGGUGCUGAAAUAUUUUCAUACCAUAAAAACCUACAUUUUUACAAAAUGUUAUCAGUGCAGUUGACUAAUUGCACUUUGUAUGUCACUUUCAUUUUAAUGCUUCUGAAGACCACAGAAUGUUUCACUGAUUGUUUUUUUUUUUUCUUUUUUUUUUAAUGUUUUAAAGAGUGAAAUUAUGUUGCACUCCUACUUUUUGAGGAAUGUCUAAAAAUCCAGUAAGAUCAUGUGUUGGUUGUGAAAAUGUUUAUUUAUCUCUUCUUUAGUAUUAAUUUAUAAAGAAACAAAGCCACAUGGUCAAAUUGAAGUCAAAGAAGACUGUGAAUUUCUUGUCAAAAUGAUACUCUUCACCAGAUAUGCUACAAAGUGUUCAAUCUCUAAAUAGCACUAGACUCUUUCAAACAUUCUGGGAAAACCAGCUGGUAACUUAGAGUGGGGAACUAUUGUAUUGCAACAAUUAUUUGAAACAAUUCUCCUAUAAUAGGUUAGAGGUUCACACACUGCCACAUGAUCUCAAACAUAUUUAGAUAAUCUGCCUCCAUAAAGGAGUAUUCGUUUUUCCUAUUUAUGUGGUGACAACAAAAUGUACCUAUUUGUAUAAUGUAAAUCCUGCUUUAGUGAGGUAAUGCAGCUGUUUGUAGUCAUUGUUCUAUAAAAUGGGUCAAUUAUAUGUGCAGACAUUGCAGCAAUGGAUCUGUAUCAACACAUGGAUUCAAAGGGAUAAGCUUUGAAUUAAGGGCGAUCUGUACAUUGUCAAUACACCUCUAGUAAAAGUUUCUAUAUAAAGCCAUCCAUAUUUGUUGGGAAGUUCUGAUGUUGGUAACAAGGGACAACAAGGGACUGCUUGACAUUUCAGUGAGAAAAUUUAAGCUUGGACUAUGAGUACCAAAAUUAUACCCUAAUAUAACAUUGCACUUAAUGUGUGAUAUUCCAAAACCACUCAAAAUCUCCAAAAAUCUAUAUAGUCUGCGUAGAUAGUUAAAAAUAUCCUUUUAACUUGUGGCCUGCAAUUUUAAUUUCCUUUGCAAAUAUUCCACAAUCCCUGCUGUAUAAGCCUUCAUUUACCAGGAUUCUAAAUUUAUGUAAAAUUUAUGACACCAGUGAAUAUACUUAGCCAUUAAUUCUCAAUUUUGUACAUUUACUUUGGAUAUAUCUCCCUAACUAAAUAAAAUACAUGUUGCAUAUAUUACCAGGAAUUGUCAAUGUUUGAGUCAGAUGUUAAAACAUUCUGAGGACUUUAAGGUGAUUGAAUAGGUUCCUAAAGUCAAGUAUGCAAGUAAGCAAAUGAUUAAAUCAAUAUACAAUAUCAAAAGAUCAGUAUUGUGGCCAUUAACACAAAUGCUGUGUGUGCAUUAUAUCGUUGCAAUCUGCUUGAAUUCAAAUAAUCAUUUAAGAUUAAACGCUGUAACACUUUUUUUUUUGCAUCUUUGCCAAAAAUUAUCCUGGAGAGAACACUUUCUUUCCAUCAUGGCUUAUAACUGCCAUGAUUUACCUUUGGUGCUCAGGUGUACAAAGUGGAAUUGUACCAUACCAUGUGAACUGGUGUGUGAAUGAACUGAUAGCAGCUUUGUUAUGACUGCUAUUUGCUUAUUGGGCAGAACUUCUGAACUGUGACUGGAGGUGAAAAGUCCUAAAAACUCCUGCUGGACAGAUUUCUUUCAGAAAUAAGCAGAAAAUGACUGAAUUGAACAGAAUGAAGACAGGAUGUGGAUUGGCGAUCUCUGUUGAUCAAAUUUUUAUUUUUUUUAAAUGUAUAAUCUUUAUGGAUUUGCUUUUUUUAUACAUUGUUUAUUUCAAAAAAUGUAAGUGUAAAAGGAGGUUACAUUGUAUUUCAACAGCAUUUUAACAUCAGAGAAUGAUAAAUUAUUAUAGUACUGUGAUGAGAGCAAUCUCGCCACAUUGCAUUGGAGAAGCCUGGGUGCUCGCCUGCUGCCUUUAGACUAUGGCCCCAUGUUAAAACGCUUGAUUUUACCCUGCGGAGACACGAAAGCUGGGUCAUUCGGUGCUGGCCCUGUUUGAGCAGUGAUACCCCAGAUAGCUAUGCCAUGGAGCCCAUUCGUAUAAUGAAAGACUAUGGGAAAGACUUUGGCUCCAUGGCAAUUGAACUGUAUGUGUGUGCUCUGACCGCCAUUCAAUAAUAAUGUGCGCUCAGAUCUGAGCUCUCUGGGGAUAUGUUGAAUGUACCUGUUUUGUGCAAUGACUGCACAGUUAUAUGUUUUUAUGUGUUUUAUUGUCUUUUGCUGACAUGUGUUCAAUGGAGUUUUGCCUCUGUCCUUGGAGAUAAUUGGAUUACUUCACAAUUAUCUCCAGGAUAGAAGACUCUGUGGAACUGGUUUUGGGCAGAAAAGCCAUGCUUCCUUUGGUCACAAAGGACUACGAUCGAACCUUUUUUUGCUGAGGGUGCCGUUACAAGCAGUGGUGUAUCCUGGUUUUGUGCUGCCCUAGGCAGGACAAAAUUCAGGCCCCACGCACCAGUCCCCCAACCCUUCCCCCCGCCCCGCCUUCUAAAUACACACACACACACACAUUCACUGACAGAUCCGCAUACACUCGCUAACAGAAACACACACACACACUAAGACACACACUCACUGACACACAAACUCACACUAACAGACACACACACACAGUCAGACACACACUCACUGACACACAGUCAGACACACACAUACACACUAACAGACAAACAGUCAGACACACACACUAACAGACACACACUCUCUAGCAGACACACACACAAACUCACACACAUUAACAGACACACACUCACUGACACACACACUCACUAGCACACACACACAUUCACUGACAGAUCCGCAUACACUCGCUAACAGAAACACACACACACACACUAACAGACACACACUCACUGACAGACACACACAGUCAGACACAUACACACACACACUCACUGACACACAGUCAGACACACACAUACACACUAACAGACAAACAGUCAGACACACACACUAACAGACACACACUCACUAGCAGACACACACACAAACUCACACACACUAACAAACACACAUUAACAGACACACUCACUGACACACACACUCACUAGCAGGCACACACACACUCACUGACACACAGUCAGACACACACAUACACACUAACACUCACUAGCAGACACACACACACAAACUCACACACACACACUAACAAACACACACUCACUGACACACACACUCACACUAACAGACACACACACACUAACAGACACACACACACACUCACAGGCUAACACACACUCACUGACAGUCAGACACACACUCACUCACUAGCAGACACACACACUCACACAGUCAGACACACACACACACACAUUAACAGACACACACUCACUCACAUUAACACUUUUUUUUUUUUUAUUCACUCCCCCCCCCCACCUCCUUACCUCUGGGAGUGCUGGGGGGGAAGGGGUUCAUUACCUCCCUGGUGGUCCAGUGGCUGCUGUGCGGGCGGCGCUGGGCAGGCGGUCAGCGCUGGCGAGGGAGCACUUCCCCUGAGCGGUCCGCUCAGCUCCCUCACGCGCCGCAGAGUGAGGCUGGGAGCCGGGAUAUGACGUCAUCUUCCGGCUCCCAGCCUCACUUUGCGGCGCGCGAGGGAGCUGAGCAGAGCGCUCAGGGGAAGAGCUCCCUCGCCAGCCGCCUGCCCAGCGCCGCCCGCACAGCCCAGCAUGUCAAUUAGCCGCCAGGCUAACAAGACAUUUGCCCUGGGCAUUUGGGGGGCGGCGUUUCUUGCCGCCCCCUGAAAAAUGCCGCCCAAGGCAAAUGCCUUGUUUGCCUCGCGGCUAAAACGCCCCUGGUUACAAGUACAUAUAAUCUUUUUUUCAGGAAAAUCUUUCAUUUAUAAUGUAGCACCAGAUCAAUUUCUAGCAAUGUUUCAUUGUUGUUAUCUUGGAGGUACAAAAGUACAUAUUAUGUGAUAAUUUCUCUUUUGAGUAAACUACAUCAUGUGCCAACUCUCAACUGAUUUCCACUGUUUCACAAUAUUAUUUUUUGUUUUGACAGUGAGCCUGGCAAAAUAUCUAGGAGGUAUACUUGGGGUAGAAAUAUUAAGGUUGUUGUUAGCAAUUGUUCUGCAAAAUAUCUGAAAUAUUUGACCAGUAUUUCUUUAAUUUCUGGCAGCUCCAGAAUAUAUGAAGCAUAGAGCCAUCCUUAAUCCUGGCAUCUCCAACAUUCACUCAUUAUUGUGGGAUAUAUGUGGCAUAUUCUUUUGGGUGUUAAGUACCAGCAAAUUAAUAAUUUUCUACUUGUUUGCCAAUGGGAGAUAAAUUUGACUUGGCUGCAAAUUCUUUAUCCCAGUCUGAUGUCUGAAAUGAUUGCUGUAGUUCUUUUUCAUAUAGGCAAGUUAAGGAUCGUUUCUGAUUGGAAUCAGAGUUUAUCAAUAGUUGGUAGCAUGUAGUGAGUAGUUUCACUUGUACUGAAUUGAUAAAGAUUGGAGUGAUGAAAGAUUAUGGCCAUUAGGAAUGUUGAGUACAUAUGGUUGGAGAAUUAAUUUAAUUUGGAGAUAAGUAAAUAUUUCUCUUCCCGGAAGAGUGUAUUUGUUCUUGAUUUUUCAGAAAGGAAUACAUUUGAUCAUUCUAUAAUAAGUUGUGAAGAUUGAGAAUGCCAGAUUGAUGCCAAUGUUUUAGGUUGAGGUCAGGUGUGUAGAAUUGUAACAUAUAAAGUGGUGCUAAAUAUAGCUGAAAAUAUAGUUUAAGAAAAUUGAAUACCCAGUCUCCAGAUCUUAAGGGCAAAGCACGAAGUUGUCAACAUAUUUCAUACAACACAUCGGCUUCAGUAUUUGGAGUUAAAUGUGCUCUUUCUAAGUAUCACCUUAAAGCAGUGUUUCCCAACCCAGUCCUCAAGGCACACCUACCAGUCCAUGAUUUAGGGAUUACCCAGUUGUGUCUAAGGUGUUUUUACAAAGAAGAAAAAAAACACCUUAGACACAACUGGGUAAUCCCUAAAUCAUGGACUGGUAGGUGUGCCUUGAGGACUGGGUUGGGAAACACUGCCUUAAAGGAACCUUGUUUGUGGUUGUAGUAGCAAAUGUUUGAUGCCACAUGGUAAGCCACGAUAUCUAGAAAUCCCAUACCCCCCAUCUUAGGAGCUCUUUCUAAAUCACCAUGGCUACUCUAGGAGAAUGUUUGUUUGAAUGUCCACAUUUGAAAAAAAGAGUGUGAAUAAAUAGAAGAUCAGUGGUAAUGCAUUACCACUGAUCUUCUAUUUAUUCACACUCUUUUUUUGGGAUCUUGAUUGAGUUACUACAACCAACACAUGAUAAAUUGUGUAUUGUCCAGUUUUUGAGCUGGGUCUUCAGUUCAGUGAUUCAUUUCUUAUGGUUUUCUUGAAUAAGGCGAGAUAAGAGAUGAAGGCCCUGCUCAAACAAGUUUAUAAUCUUACAUGCACACUACAGCCCCUAGCUGUGAACACACCAACAAAUACAAAUACAACCUCAAUACACAUAUGCUCACACAUUCUGAAGCCCCUAGGUGUUCACAUGCACAAAUACAACCCCUUCAAACACACAUAAUUUCUACAGCCCCUAUACAUUCACAUACGCGCACACAUACACUACAACCCAUAGCUACACACAGUAUAACACAAACAGCCUAUCCUACACAUCAGCCCUGUACCAUUUUGUCCUCUAGCAUUCCACUUAUAGGGACACCAGCAAAUUUAGUGNNNNNNNNNNNNNNNNNNNNNNNNNNNNNNNNNNNNNNNNNNNNNNNNNNNNNNNNNNNNNNNNNNNNNNNNNNNNNNNNNNNNNNNNNNNNNNNNNNNNUAAACCUGAAAUGGCCAAAAUGACAAAGUAUUAAUCCAAUGCAACAUAUUAUUAGGACGGCUAAAUUACUUCUAGCACGAAGCUGGAAAACAGGGAAAAUCCCAUGUACUCAAGAAGUAAUAACAAAAGUCAUGUGGCAGGCAAAAAUGGCAAGAGGUAUUUUGGUGAACGUAGGAAGCAGAUACAUUCAGAAGACUGUUUUUUUAUGGAUAAAGAAAAUGGAAACUAUAAUUUAACAAUUACAACGGCGUUAAGUCUCCUUUGUUUUUUUUUCUCUUUUUCUGGCUUUUUUUUUUUUCUUAGUUCUCUUUUGGUCAAAUAUCAAUAAACCAAGGCCAGAAGUAAUAUUGUUUUUCUCCUCUCUUCUACACUCUUUGCUCAAUACUUAAUGUGUGUACAGGCCUAUUUCCUGCUACAUAUUUAUGAUGAGAAGAGUACCAAUGCCUUAACUAUAUAAGCUAUAUGUGCUAAAAUUGCACAUGGCAGGUACUCAUCUGAAAUAUAUAAAAAAAAAAAAAUAUGUGGUGAAGGAAAGUAUGGCCUUUUAUGAGGACAAUAUAAUCUGCAUAAGUGCCAACAGUCCAGAAUUUGUUGAGACAGUCUAACAUUUUGGGAUACUGUCCCAGCAAAUCUAGGUCCCACAUUUUGCAAAUGGCAAAUUUCAAAAUGCAGGAGAAACUGGGCACUAGGGCCAUGCAUCGACCUUUUCAACAGUGUACAUGGUCUGCUUGAGGAGGCAACCUUCUUUACAAAUGGGUACACCACUUUGACAGGCAGGUUAGCUUCCUGCAAAGAGCCUGCUCUCUUCCCUGUCCAUCUCCAUCCCGGAAGGUGUGAAGGAAAUGCACAGGACUACUAUAUCUCAUUAGACUGGUUGAUUUAAAUUUGCACUUCCUGCUGCUUAUUGUAUAGAAUAAUGCUUCUCAGAAUGGUCUAGGGAGUUCUAAAGUAUAUUGUUCCAAAGUACACUUAAUAAAAAGCAUGUUAUUUCAGAGAUUUGUUAGUUUCCCCAAACAAUGACAGCUCAAAAUAAACAUGUAAGUGUUGCUUGGUGUAAUGUAGAGGGAGCACUCAAAUUUUCCACUUUAAUUAUUCAGUGUUCAUUAAAUAAUUAACUAUUGUUUGUAGAUGAGGUUAUAUGCAUUACACAAUGAAGGGUGUGUAUUAUGUCCUUUUAGAAACAAUUGUAGCAUAGUAAUCAUGUCCCCUGGUCUGCUUGUACUGUAAAUAUAGUGAGCUUCUUAGAAUUUUAGCCAUUAAACAGAGAGUUAAAAGGAAUAGCAGCAGUGUUUCCGCUGAGCUUAAAAUUUCAGCCACCUUUUCUAACUCUGACAUUAUAGCCUAAAGGUUAUUAUUUGGUCAUCAACUUGGCUUAGAUUGUCUCUUUAUAUUUCAAAUAUAUAUAAGGUGUGUGUCUGUGUAGGUUUAUAAAAGCAGUACAUGACCUAUUUAAGUCCUCGCUGCCCAUAAUGUUUAUUAGUAAAGUACAUACUGUGACAGAUCCAUCUGUAUGGACUAAGAUUGCUGGAUUCGUCUGUUUUGCCUUUUUCAUGAAUUUACCCGUUCGUAUGCCUUUGUUUAAGUGAAUAGACCUUUCUGCCGAAUGGAACUGCCGAACGGACGGCCACCCAGAAGAGAAUUGUGCUGCUGGUUAACCUAUUGAUCCCAAUUAGAACGUUGCGAUUAACCACAGACACUUCUCAAUUAAAACCGAAUACAGGGUGGUCGUCGUUCGUAUGUCGACCACGAGGCGGCAGCCAUUUUAAACAAUGCGAAAGACCAGCGGUGAUCGACAUUUAUUUCAUGGAACUGAAAACGGACAUUUUUUGAACCGAACACCGCUGAAGCCGCCGACCUCCCUUCUCAAUCGACAGAAGUGUGCGAACACCGGCCGUUCGGGAGGUUUAAAGGCACGAAUGGACUUACCCCAGAUAGCCUUCCCAUGGAGUCCAUCGCAUACCGAAGAACUGUAAUAGACUUUGACUCCAUGGCGAUUGAACUAUGCAUAUGGGAUCUGAGUGCUAUUCGCCAAUAAUAUGCACUCAGAUCCAGGCUAUCUGGGGGUAUGUGAUACGAAUGGGUAGCAUUCGACAAAUGUAAAGUUAUAUAUUUGUAUGUGUUUUUAUGUGUUGAAUGUAAAAUGGCGAUUUGCCUCUGUCCUGGAGAUAAUUGAAUUACUUCUCAAUUAUCUCCAGGGCAGAGGGGAGGAAUUAUUAUUGCAUGCUAGGAAUAUUUUGUGUCUGUGGGUCCUGAACUGCCAUAUGUCUAUCUGUUGUCACAGUCUCCCAUUUGGUCCCCUAGGGGAGUGUCCACCAAGUGGGAGACCUGCAUAAAUACGGUCAGGUAGCCCACAGUAAAGCCAGUUCUUGUCUUACCCUCAAUGCGGAGCUUGGUCUCGUUAUUGGGGGAGAUUUAUUACCGACGACUAGAGACUGCUGGAUGGGAUUAUUAGCCGCUUGGGAGAUACCUGCGUUCGGCUGCUAUUGGUGAUUCGUGAGUUUGGAGCUCGUGAAGUGCCCGUACGGACCCCAUUCGUGAGUUUACAGCGUUCCCUUGCUUGCGGUUCGUAUGAUUAUACUGGAUACACAUGCAGCCUAGGUUAUUGCGAACGGGGAGCAUUCACUAAACGGCGGUUUGUGCAUUUCAUGCUGAGGGUACCGUAACAUAUACGUGUACUGCAGUUUGCUUUAUUUCCAUUGUCAUAAACUUAACGUACAGAGGAAAGAGCUUGUACUAACCAUACUAUAAAGCUUCUGGAAAGCACAGAGGAUGUGUCACUCUAUGCUUUUGCAUUUAGUCAGACAUUCAAUGAACACUCUAGUGUUAAUAAUAAAAAAGCUGUGUUCCUAACGCUAAAGUGUCCCUCUGCAGUGGCCACGCACGCGCAUUAGACUUCCCCAUAGGAAAGCAUUAUAUAAUGCUUUCCUGUGGGGAUUUCGGCGACGCUGUAGGUCCUCACACAGUGUGAGGACGUCCAGCGUCAUUUUAAAACACUUUUCGUGUUCUAUGAACACGGAAGUCUCCUAGUGGCUGUCUGGUAGACAGCCACCAGAGGAGGACUUAACCCUGCAAUGUAAAUAUUGCAGUUUAUGAAAACUGCAAUAGUUACACUUGCAGGGUUAAGGGUAGUAGGAGUUGGCACCCAGACCACUCAAAUGGGCAGAAGUGGUCUGGGUGCCUGGAGUAUCCCUUUAACUCUUAAGGACCAAACUUUUGGAAUAAAAGGGAAUCAUGACAUGUCACACAUAUCAUGUGUCCUUAAGUGUUAAGUAUACAGGACCACUGCACUCAGACUACAGAUGAAAUAGUCUGGGUCACCUUUGCUAUCCUUUUAAUCAUGUAAUUUAUUCAUGUAAAAUUAUCCUUCAGUUCUGCAGCUAGAACUGCAAGGUAUUUCUUAUUAACUGGUGCUGAAAUAUUUUCAUACCAUAAAAACCUACAUUUUUACAAAAUGUUAUCAGUGCAGUUGACUAAUUGCACUUUGUAUGUCACUUUCAUUUUAAUGCUUCUGAAGACCACAGAAUGUUUCACUGAUUGUUUUUUUUCUUUUUUUUAUGUUUUAAAGAGUGAAAUUUUGUUGCACUCCUACUUUUUGAGGAAUGUCUAAAAAUCCAGUAAGAUCAUGUGUUGGUUGUGAAAAUGUGUAUUCAUCUCUUCUUUAGUAUUAAUUUAUAAAUAAACAAAGCCACAUGGUCAAAUUGUAGUCAAAGAAGACUGUAAAUUUCUUGUCAAAAUGAUACUCUUCACCAGAUAUGCUACAAUCUCUAAAUAGCACUAGACUCUUUCACCAGAUAUGCUACAAUCUCUAAAUAGCACUAGACUCUUUCAAACAUUCUGGGAAAAUCAGCAGGCAACUUAGAGUGGGGAACUAUUGUAUUGCAACAAUUAUUUGAAACAAUUCUCCUAUACUAGGUUAGAGGUUCACACACUGACACGUGAUCUCAAACAUAUUUAGAUAAUCUACCUCCAUAAAGAGUAUCCGUUUUUCCUAUUUAUUUGGUGAAAACAAAAUGUACCUAUUUGUAUAAUGUAAAUCCUGCUUUAGUGAGGUAAUGCAGCUGUUUGUAGUCAUUGUUCUAUAAAAUGGGUCAAUUAUAUUGCAGCAAUGCAUCUGUAUCAACACAUGGAUUCAAAGGGAUAAGCUUUGAAUUAAGGGCGAUCUGUACAUUGUCAAUACACCUCUAGUAAAAGUUUCUAUAUAAAGCCAUCCAUAUUUGUUGGGAAGUUCUUAUGUUGGUAACAAGGGGCAACAAGGGACUGCUUGACAUUUCAGUGAGAAAAUUUAAGCUUGGACUAUGAGUACCAAAAUUAUACCCUAAUAUAACAUAGCACUUAAUGUGUGAUAUUCCAAAACCACUCAAAAUCUCCAAAAAUCUAUAUUGUCUGCAUAGAUAGUUAAAAAUAUCCUUUUAACUUGUGGCCUGCAAUUUUAAUUUCCUUUGCAAAUAUUCCACAAUCCGUGCCAGGGCCGGACUGGGGAUACAAAGCAGCCCUGGAAAAAAAAUUUGUGCCAGCCCCAUAAGUCACUGCGCCAUAUAUUGUCGCGUGUAAUAUGUAAGGCUAUGUCUUGCCAGGACAGAUGAUUGAGUAAUAUAUAUAUAUAUAUAUAUUUAUAUAUAUAUAUAUAUAUUGCUUUUUCUAAUAUAAAAUAUUGGUCCUUUCAGGGUAAAACGUUUAAUUAGACAGUAAGCAUACGCACAUGCAGACACAGGCAAUUUCACUGACAUUUCAGUGACACACACAAGCUCAUUGAUACACACACAGCUUAAUGUGGUGGUACUGGUGUCUAUAGCAUGUCCCUACAGGCUUUUCAACGUAAACACUGACUUUUCAGAUAAAAGGCAGUGUUUACAUUGCUUCAAAGUGACACUGCUAGUGACAGUCACUCAGACGGUCACUAGAGGUGCUUCCUGUGUUAGUGCCCUCCCGCGCUGCUGAAUAAGACUGGCGCCGGGAUAUGACGUCAUAUUCCGGCGCCGGUCUCAUUCAGCUGCGUGCUGGGGAGCAGAGCCAGCGCAGCUUGCGCAGCUCCCUCAGCAGCCGCCAGGACAAGUCCGCCAGCGGCCGCCAAAAGACCUCCCCAGGGGAGGGCUGGCAGCCUUAGGCCUGGGGGGCAAAACCAGCCAAGUAGACUGGUGCACCUGCCCAGGAUCAGAGCCGGUGCAAGGAUUUUUGCCGCCCUAGACAAAAUAAAAAUUUGCUGCCCCCACAUGUCACAUCACAAUACCCAUAUGACCUGCCAUAUGAACUAACGCCAGUGCUGCACACAGUGUGUGUUUACAUUAAAAAGCCUGCAGGGACCAGCUAUAGACACCAGAACCACUUCAUUAAGCUAUAGUGUCCCUUUAAUUUGAGGUAAAUUAUAGAUUAGUGUCACUAAUAAUAUACUAGAUUGCCUACUUACAAGCAGAUGAGGAUGAUGAUGGGCUGCAGUUUGGCUCCACUGGUCUGGUGUAGAACAGGAUCUCUGGAGGCUGUUUGCAACUGUGGUCACAAAAUUCAAUGUUCUGGGAGAAUUGGAAGCAGCUCAAUUUUUGGGGGACCCCUUACACAGCUCAAGGUCUGGGCCCCAGGGCCUGACGGUGAGUAUGCCCAUAAGGCCCACUCAUAAGUUCCACCCACCCAUGAGUUCGCUCACAGGGAGAGGAGAGUGUAGGGGAUGUGUUAUGUGUUAUUGUAGAGGAUCUAAUAUGUGUGCUUAUGGUAUGUAGUGUUUAGGGUUACCAGUUUGUGCAGGUGAUGCAGUGUGUUUGUGUGUAGUGGAAGCAGUGUGUGUUUGUGUAUAAGGGAUGUAUUAUGUGUUUCUGGUUGUGUGUAAGGGAUUACAUUGUGUGAAUCUGUGUUUGUAUGCAUAAGGGAUGCAAGGUGUGUGUCUGUAUGUGUGUGCAUGAGAUGCAUUGUGUUUCUGUGUGUAUGUAAGAAAAGAAGUGUGUGUGUUUGCAUGCGUGUGUACGGGUUUGCAUUGUCUGCUUCUGUGUAUGUGUGCAAAGGAUGCAUUGUCUUUGUGUGUAAGGGUUGCAUUGUGUGUGUGUGUGUAAUGGAUGCAUUGUGUGUUUCUCUGUGUGUAAGGGAAGCAUGUUGUGUUUCUGUGUAUGCAUAGGGAUGCAUUGUGUGUGUGUGCGCGCGUAGUGUGAAAGAGCUCCCUGUCUUGGCCCCUGUCCUAUAGAGCUGCCCCUUCUUCUUAUCCCCCCCCUCCCCUCCCCUCUUCUUAUUCCCCUCCCUCCCCUCUUCUUAUUCCCCCCUCCCCUCUUUUUAUUCCCUCCCUCCCCUCUUCUUAUNNNNNNNNNNNNNNNNNNNNNNNNNNNNNNNNNNNNNNNNNNNNNNNNNNNNNNNNNNNNNNNNNNNNNNNNNNNNNNNNNNNNNNNNNNNNNNNNNNNNAGAAGCUGCAGCCGCCUGAGCCUCUUAACAGAGCGCUCGGGCGGCUGCAGUAUUUAAAGGGCCGGCCCCAGGAACGCGGCCGGCCCCCUGGUGCCGCGGCCCACCGGGAAAUUUCCCGGUAUCCCGGUGGGCCAGUCCGGCCCUGAUCCGUGCUGUAUAAGCCUUCAUUUACCAGGAUUCUAAAUUUAUGUAAAAUAUAUGACACCAGUAAAUAUACUUAGCCAUUAAUUCUCAGUUUUGUACAUUUACUUUGGAUAUAUCUCCCUAACUAAAUAAAAUACAUGUUGCAUAUAUUACCAGGAAUUGUCAAUGUUUGAGUCAGAUGUUAAAACAUUCUGAGGACUUUAAGGUGAUUGAAUAGGUUUCUAAAGUCAAGUAUGCAAGUAAGCAAAUGAUUAAAUCAAUAUACAAUAUCAAAAGAUCAGUAUUGUGGCCAUUAACACAAAUGCUGUGUGUGCAUUAUAUCGUUGCAAUCUGCUUGAAUUCAAAUAAUCAUUUAAGAUUAAACGCUGUAACACUUUUCUUUUUUGCAUCUUUGCCAAAAAUUAUCCUGGAGAGAACACUUUCUUUCCAUCAUGGCUUAUAACUGCCAUGAUUUACCUUUGGUGCUCAGGUGUACAAAGUGGAAUUGUACCAUACCAUGUGAACUGGUGUGUGAAUGAACUGAUAGCAGCUUUGUUAUGACUGCUAUUUGCUUAUUGGGCAGAACUUCUGAACUGUGACUGGAGGUGAAAAGUCCUAAAAACUCCUGCUGGACAGAUUUCUUGGAGAAAUAAGCAGAAAAUGACUGAAUUGAACAGAAUGAAGACAGGAUGUGGAUUGGCGAUCUCUGUUGAUCAUUUUUUUUUUAUUUUUUUUUUAAAUGUAUAAUCUUUAUUGAUGUGCUUUUUUUUAUACAUUAUUUCAAAAAAUGUAAGUGUAAAAGGAGGUUACAUUGUAUUUCAACAGCAUUUUAACAUCAGAGAAUGAUAAAUUAUUAUAGUACUGUGAUGAGAGCAAUCUCGCCACAUUGCAUUGGAGAAGCCUGGGUGCUUGCCUGCUGCCUUUAGACUAUGGCCCCAUGUUGAAACGCUUGAUUUUACCCUGCGGAGACACGAAAGCCGGGUCAUUCGGUGCUGGCCCUGUUUGAGCAGUGAUACCCCAGAUAGCUAUGCCAUGGAGCCCAUUCGUAUAAUGAAAGACUUUGGCUCCAUGGCAAUUGAACUGUAUGUGUGUGCUCUGAGCGCCAUUCAGUAAUAAUGUGCGCUCAGAUCUGAGCUCUCUGGGGAUAUGUUGAAUGUACCUGUUUUGUGCAAUGGCUGCACAGUUAUAUGUUUUUAUGUGUUUUAUUGUCUUAUGCUGCCAUGUGUUCAAUGGAGUUUUGCCUCUGUCCUUGGAGAUAAUUGGAUUACUUCACAAUUAUCUCCAGGAUAGAAGACUCUGUGGAACUGGUUUUGGGCAGAAAAACCAUGCUUCCUUUGGUCACAAAGGACUACAAUCUAUCUUUUGAACCAUUGGACCAAUUUGUAUGAAUUUGACAUAUGUUUGUAUUUGGAGUAUGCUGAUUCUGAAUGUGAUGCAUACUUUUCAAGUUAUGAAUAAUGUGGAAAAAUUGUAUUUCUCUGCUUGUGCUAAUAACAUUACCCAUUGUGUAAGGUAAUUGAAUCACAGGCAGAGGGGAGGAAUGUGUGUGGGAGUGUCUGAGUGUAUUGUAUGUGUUUAUUGGUUGUGUUCCAAAACCCUGUGGGUGGUACUAAUGUGUAAGAAUGUGUACAUAAGCAUAAUAAACCCACAGCUCUGUCUGUUCACUGCUUGACCCUCAACACGGAGCUUUGUCUUGUUCUUGGGGGGAUUUAUUGUAUGCUGUUCCAGUUUGACUGCUAGGAGUGUAAACCUAUUCGUAUGGUUUUUCCUAUUCGGCUGUUUACAGCAUUCAUAUGGUUUCCUGUUCGGCGGAUUGGUGUUCUGCAGUAGCUGUGCCUGUGUCUCUGGAAGGGGAAGAUCUCCUAAACGGCAGUUUAACCUUUUUUUUUGCUGAGGGUGCCGUUACAAGUACAUAUAAUUUUUUUUUCAGGACAAUCUUUCAUUUAUAAUGUAGCACCAGAUCAAUUUCUAGCAAUGUUUCAUUGUUGCUAUCUUUGAGGUACAAAAGUACAUAUUAUGUGAUAAUUUCUCUUUUGAGUAAACUUUAUCAUGUGCCAACUCUCAACUGAUUUCCACUGUUUCACAAUAUUAUUUUUUGUUUUGNNNNNNNNNNNNNNNNNNNNNNNNNNNNNNNNNNNNNNNNNNNNNNNNNNNNNNNNNNNNNNNNNNNNNNNNNNNNNNNNNNNNNNNNNNNNNNNNNNNNACAGUGAGCCUGGCAAAAUAUCUAGGAGGUAUACUUGGGGUAGAAAUAUUAAGGUAGUUGUUAGCAAUUGUUCUGCAAAAUAUCUGAAAUAUUUGACCAGUAUUUCUUUAAUUUCUGGCAGCUCCAGAAUAUAUGAAGCGUAGAGCCAUCCUUAAUCCUGGCAUCUCCAACAUUCACUCAUUAUUGUGGGAUAUAUGUGGCAUAUUCUUUUGGGUGUUAAGUACCAGCAAAUUAAUAAUUUUCUACUUGUUUGCCAAUGGGAGAUAAAUUUGACUUGGCUGCAAAUGCUUUAUCCCAGUCUGAUGUUGGAAAUGAUUGCUGUAGUUCUUUUUCAUAUAGGCAAGUUAAGGAUCGUUUCUGAUUGGAAUCAGAGUUUAUCAAUAGUUGGUAGCAUGUAGUGAGUAGUUUCACUUGUACUGAAAUGAUAAAGAUUGGAGUGAUGAAAGAUUAUGGCCAUUAGGAAUGUUGAGUACAUAUGGUUGGAGAAUUAAUUUAAUUUGGAGAUAAGUAAAUAUUUAUUUUCCCGGAAGAGUGUAUUUGUUCUUCAUUUUUCAGAAAGGAAUACAUUUGAUCAUUCUAUAAUAAGUUGUGAAGAUUGAGAAUGCCAGAUUGAUGCCAAUGUUUUAGGUUAAGGUCAGGUGUGUAGAAUUGUAACAUAUAAAGUGGUGCUAAAUAUAGCUGAAAAUAUAGUUUGAGAAAAUUGAAUACCCAGUCUCCAGAUCUUAAGGGCAAAGCACGAAGUUGUCAACAUAUUUCAUACAACACAUCAGCUUCAGUAUUUGGAGUUAAAUGUGCUCUUUCUAAGUAACACCUUAAAGGAACCUUGUUUGUGGUUGUAGUAGCAAAUGUUUGAUGCCACAUGGUAAGCCACGAUAUCUAGAAAUCCCAUACCCCCCAUCUUAGGAGCUCUUUCUAAAUCACCAUGGCUACUCUAGGAGAAUGUUUGUUUGAAUGUCCACAUUUGAAAAAAAGAGUGUGAAUAAAUAGAAGAUCAGUGGUAAUGCACUCAUCUUUAUUGAGUUACUACAACCAACCCAUGAUAAAUUGUGUAUUGUCCAGUUUUUGAGCUGGGUAUUCAGUUCAGUGAUUCAUUUCUUAUGGUUUUCUUGAAUAAGGCGAGAUAAGAGAUGAAGGCCCUGCUCAAACAAGCUUAUAAUCUUACAUGCACACUACAGCCCCUAGCUGUGAACACACCAACAAAUACAAAUACAACCUCAAUACACAUAUGCUCACACAUUCUGAAGCCCCUAGGUGUUCACAUGCACAAAUACAACCCCUUCAAACACACAUAAUUUCUACAGCCCCUAUACAUUCACAUACGCGCACACAUACACUACAACCCAUAGCUACACACAGUAUAACACAAUCAGCCUAUCCUACACAUCAGCCCUGUACCAUUUUUUCCUCUAGUAUUCCACUUAUAGGGACACCAGCAAAUUUAGUGCAAGCAUGUAAUUAAAUGUACUUGUAUUGUGUGAAACAAACAGAUUUUCCCCAUCUGAGAGCACCUCAGCAGGACUCUGUGCAUGGGUUGUUUUGGAGGGCUAUCAAACGGACAUAACAUGCUCCUCCUAUUGGGCUGUUCUGCUUUUGUCCUGGGCCACCCUGUAUCUUAGAUUAUCAUGAUCAGAAUCUUUCAUCUUCUUACUGCAAAUGUUUGUGAGCCCUAUUUCCAAAAAUAAGUUAAGUUUAAAUACUGUUUACACAUUUUGGAGAAAAGUAAUGCACGAACCUCUACAACCACAAAGUUAGCUAUUUUUCCACUAUAUAUUAUCCCCAACAAAACAAGAUUUGCAAACCUCGCAAAUUAGAGCAAGGCACUUUCAAUCCUGUAACUUUUUCUAAUAAAUACGCCAUUCCAUUUGUUAUAAUGCAACAUGUCAUGUAAAAAUGAAAAUCAAAUCACUUUAUAGUGCCUAAAAUUCUAUCUAUGCAAACUUAUUUCUCAAGCUUUAAUUAUAUUGUAAAUCUAGAGUUUAUAUUCCUAUGCUAUUGAUAAAGGAACAAUAUCUGAAGAGUUUACACACCUCUGCCCGUGAUAAUGCGAAGUAAGGCUUUACCCAAACCAAAGCAUACAUUCACAGGCAAUCGAGAAGAGCUGCAUAGUGCUUCUGGGGUGCGGGUUGAGGCAUGUCCAUCUUCUCAUUCACUGGACCAUACUUACACACGCACACAUCAACUUCAAGUCUACAUUUUAAAUGUCUAAGUUUGUUGGCAAUUUUGCUUAAACCCCUUAAGGACACAUGACAUGUGUGACAUGUCAUGAUUCCCUUUUAUUCCAGAAGUUUGGUCCUUCACAUUGUGAAGAUUAAAUAUUAAUACCUACACAAAAUGCAAUUAAUUGGACGGCAGAUAAAUUUUACUGGUUGAUAUAUUUAUAAAUAAGACUUUUUUUAUUUAUACCUAUAUUACUUUCAUCUAAAAGUUAAACUUUGUUUAAAAUUUUGGCACACUCUUAUACAAAUAGAUCUUAUACUAUGAAUGCAAAGUGAUUUUGACUUGGACAUUUAUGAAUCAUAAAUCAAAAUAUAUACUACUAAAGGUGAUAAAUGUGCGUUUUGUCUGAUUAUAUAAAUCAGCUGGAUUCUAUUCUUUUAUCUUUUAUGCCCUAAUUAUUAUUCAUACUCAAUAAGCAACUUCACAGCUUGCAAAAUCCCAUGUGCCAUGUCUUUCACAGCGAGAUGACAAACCCAAGGCUUCUCUUGUCCGUAAGUUUCAAGAAUGGAAAAGCAACUGGCUUUCUAAAUGCAUUAUCUUAAAGAUUUGUCUUCUCUAAAAUUCAAUUUAUCAAGGGAUGUGGAAGGACAAGAUGAGAGAUAAGUUUAGAUAUGUUACAGAACUUGAUGUGUGAUUACAGCCACAGUACUGACAUCUCUUUCUAUUUUUGGAUUUCAUUUACUUUAAUGUUUAACAUUUACACAAGAAGGUGUUGCUGAUUAUUUCACAUUCAUGGCAUUUAAAGUAAAUUAUCCUAUUAACAUUGUAGGCACACUGGUAUACUUAUACUUUUUUAUACCAUAAAGACCUAACCUAAUAACUUGUAUAUACACUAUAUAUUUAAUUGGUGUUCUACAAUGUAUGACCAUAUACUGUAGCUAAAUUCAUAAGUUAAAAAGCUAUUAGUUUGUGAGCUUUGAAGUUGGUGCUUAGUGAAUCGUCUGGAACAAGUGUGUAUAUAUGGAUUAAAAUCACUGAUUAGUGAAGUGAAUUACUGAUUAUAUUAUUACAAAGGCCUCUGUCAAGGGGUGGCAUAUAUUGUGCAGCACGUGAAAUAUCAGCUCUUGAAUUUCAUGUGUUGGAAGGAGAAAAAUGGGGGAGUUAAAAGAUCUGAGUGACUUAAAUAGUGAUGGCUAGAUGACUUGGUCAGAGAAUCUGCAAAAUCUCAAGUCUUGUGGGGUGUUCCUAGGAUACUGUGGUUGGUACCUACCAAAAGUGGUGCAAGGAAGGACAAACAGUGAACCUGCAUCAAGGUCAUGGACUCACUGAGGCAUGUAGACAGCAAAGACUAGCCCGUCUGGUCCAAUCACACAGAAGAGCUACUGGAGCUCAGAUUGCUGAACCACUUAAUGAAAGCCAUGAUAGAAAGGUGUCAGAACACACAGUGCAUUAAUUUGCUGAAUAUGUGGCAAACAACCAUACUGUACUAUUUUUCAGGAAUGGUUUGAGGAACAUGACAAAGAGUUCAAGGCAUUGCCUUGACUUCCAAAUACCCCAGAUCACAAUUCUAUUGAGCACUCGUGGAAUGUUCUGGACCAACAAAUCCGAUCCAUAGAGGCCCCACCUUGCAACUUUCAGUACUUAAAGGAUCUGCUACUAGAGUGUUCAUUCCAGAUGCCACAGGACACAUUCAGAGGUUUUGUGGAGUCCAUGCCUUGAUGCAUCAGAGCUGUUUUAGCAGCACAAGUGGCACCUACAGGAUAUUAGGCAAGCAUAUUUAAAGGUGUGACUGAUCAGUGGAAGUACAUGAGUACAAAUUGAUCUGGUUAAAAGUCUGUCUGUUUUCAAAUUGGAUAAGUCUUGCCAGACUAAUUAUUGAAAAUGUAUUUAAAUCUAAUCAUUAAGUGCAAAAAUAAAUUUAAGUUUUCAUGCAUUUCACCUAUGGUGGUGGUGAUUAGUGUAUAAAAGUAAAGCAUCACUGUUUUCUUUUUCACUGUUUUGCAAUAAAACUACUGUGUGAAAAGCACAUAAAAUGGUGUUAGGAGUUUUUUUCUGACAUACUAACCCCUUAAAUACACCGCUUCAGAAGUAUAAGGCCAGCAUCAUGGAAAAUUACCAUCAUGUGUUUUUUUUAAGAGGUUAGAAAUAAGGAUAUUUGAUAUCCUAUAUACAUAUUGGGGGGGGGGGGAGGCUUUACAUUAUUAUGUAUGUAUUAUUAUUAUGUAUUCCAAUGCUCAAGGAUAUACAGUGAAACAUUGGAAUUUCUAUAUUUUCAUUUCCAUUGUAUCCACUUUCAACAAGGUUAGCAGAUGCAGUCAGUUCUUAUGCUAUUCACUGUUUGGGAAAUUGGAAAAAAAAUACCACUUUAAGCAUAUGUAAAAGGAAAAAUUUAUAGAUUUAUAGUCUUGUUGAUGUUGACUGCCUCAUACGUAAAGUCCUUUUCCUACUACUUAUGAGACAGUAGCUUAUCUUGUCUUCUUGCAGAAUGAAGGAUACAGCUUGUUUUAGCAGACCACGUCUUCUAUUUUAUGCUCACCAGGUCACUUCCUCAACAUACACCCAAGAAAGUUGGUUCUUUCUCCCUGGAGACAAAAUAGAUGCAGUCCCUAUUAAUGAAGCCUGAUUUGUAUAACUUCUAGUGUCAGGAGGUGUGACAUAACUUCCUCCACUGUAAUGAGAUCUGGAUGGAAUCAUUCCUACAAGUAUAGCCAGGGCCGGAUUAACAUAGGGGCUGAUGGAACUGCAGCUCCAGGCCCAUGGAAUAGGCCCAUUGACUUAUAUAAAAAAAAAAAAAAAGUUUAAAAUUUUUUUUUCCCCCACACACUACUCUUAGGGAUUCCACCUGGCUUUUAUUUUAUUGGCACAGCCAGUAUUUGAGGCUGCCUGGCUGGUGCCAAUAUUACAGUGAUACUGGCAAUACAAAUGCUGGUAGUUUAUCUCAGUAUAAACAAGAGAUUACUAUGCAAUACCAGCACUGGCCAGUAGGGGUCGCUGUGUAUGGAGACAGGCAGGGAUAGGAAGUUCCAGCAUAUCUCUCCCUGCCUAUCUAUACUCACUGAUCUGCAGGGGUGCAGCUACAGAGAGUCCAGACCGCAACUCCCACCCUCCAGAGACAGCCUACAGCUCAGGGAAGUAAGGGAUGGGGGGGAAAGGCUGCAAGGAGACAUGGGGACACUGAGACACUAAGGGACAUUGGGAAACAUUAUGACACAGACACAUGGGGACACAUUGUCCCCAUGUCUCCCAGUGCCCCCAGUCUGCCAGUGUCUCACUGUCCCCAUGUCUCCUAGUGCCUCCAUGUCUCCCAGUGCCUCAAGUGUCUCAAUGUCUCCAUCCAAGUUAGUGUCCCUAUUGUCUGUGGCCCUGGUGUCUUCUUGUCCCCAUGUCUCCCAGUGCUCCCAUGUCUCAAUGUCCCCAUGUCCCCCAGCCAGUGUCUCUAGUGUCUGUGUCCUUGGUGUCUGUGUCCCCAUGCGUCACAGCCAGAGUCCCCUAGUCUCCCAGUGUCACUGGUGUUUCCGUGUCCCUAGGUCUCCCCAUGUCCCCAGGUCUUCCCAUCUUCCUAGUGACAUGGGGACCCUGGGAUACAUGGGGACACAGGGAGACAUGGGGCAUUGAGACACUGUGAUACAUAGGAUCACUGGGAGACCUGGGGACACUGGGAGACAUGGGGCACUGAGACACUGAUAUAUAGAAACACUGAGACCUGGAAUAAUCGACACAUGGGGCACUGGGAGACAUGGGGCCACUGGGAGGAAUCCAUCUAUACAGCAGAAUCAAACUAAGUACUUUUUGGUGAUUUUACAGCAUUUUCUCUCAUGUCACUCCUUGUGAUUUACAUCAUGUGAUGUCACCCAUACAUAUUUAAUUAUGCAAAUUAGCAAGGCCGGUAUGUUUUUCCAAGAAAGGUGGCAACCCUAACUACUUUUCACAUACUCUUACUUAAGUAUGGAAACUUAAGAGGUAUGUAUGGGAACAAAACUUGUGUGGACUGGCUGACAAUGAAUAUAGUUAAAGGGACACUAGAGUCACCAGAACAACUACAGCUUGUUGAAUUUGUUCUGGUGAGCAGAAUCAUUACCGUCAGGCUUUUUGCUGUAAACACUGUCUUUUCAGAGAAAAUGGAGUCUUUACAUUACAGCCUAGUGAUAACUUCACUGGCCACUCCUUAGAUGGCUGUUAGAGAUCCUUCCUGGGUCAUGGCUGCCUAAAAUGCAUCCAAACAUUCAGUGUCUCCUCCCUCUGCAUGCAGAUACUGAACUUUCCUAAUAGAGAUUCAUUGAUUCAAUUCAUCUCUAUGAGGAGAUGCUGAUUGGCCAGGGCUGUGUUUGAAUCAUGCUCCUCCUUGUCAGUCUCAGCCAAUCCUAUGGGGAAGCACUGUGAUUGGAUUAGGCCACCACUUCUAAUGAUGUCAGCAGACUGCUUGUUUUUCUAACAGCAGUCUAACAGCAUGCAGAGUUACAGCUUUAGGCUUGAAUACAGUAAGAUUUUGCUAUAUUUAUGGAGGCAUGGGGGGCCCAGGGGGGCUAGAUGGUGGUGUUAACACUAUAGGGUCAUGAAUUCAUGUUUGUGCUCCUGACCCUAUAGUGAUCCUUUAAAGGACCACUAUAGUGCCAGGAAAACAUACUUGCUUUCCUGGCACUAUAGUGCCCUGAGGGUGCCCCCAUCCUCAGGGACAUCCUCCUGCUGGGCUCUGGGGAGAGGAAAAGGGUUAAACUUACCUUUAUUUCCAUCGCCGGGCGGGGAGCUCUCCGCCUCCCAUCCUCCUCUUCGGGUGAAUGCGCAUGCGCAGCAGGAGCUGUGCGCGCAUUCAGCCUGUCUCAUAGGAAAGCAUUUAUAAUGCUUUCCUAUGGACGCUGGCAUCUUCUCACUGUGAUUUUCACAGUGAGAAGCACGCAAAUGCCUCUAGCGGCUGUCAAUGAGACAGCCACUAGAGGCUGGAUUAAACCAUUUAUAAACAUAGCAGUUUCUCUGAAAGUGCUAUGUUUAUAAAAAAAAAGGGUUAAUCCUAGAGGGACCUGGCACCCAGACCACUUCAUUAAGCUGAAGUGGUCUGGGUGCCUAGAGUGGUCAUUUAAGGUAAUGCUGACUUUGGUCUCUCUAACACUGUGGCAUCUUCCCUUUCUUCUACACUCACUACAUACAGCUUUUCUCUGUCCCAAACUAUAUACCAGGAGCUUCUGCCUGCUAGUAAGAAGGUAAGGAGACAAGUGGACCAGCGAGUGCUAGGUGACAGUCCUUAGAAAGCGUUGAGCUUGUGCAUCAUUAGAUGCAUUUAUGCCAAGCUCAGGGUGCUGUCUGCAUAGUAUGCCCUUAGUUUGCCAGCUGCAUGAUUGUCAGGCAGCAUGAAAUGCAUUCAUGCCAGGCUGGCCUUCUAAUUCUUUGAGCAGACAUGUCUUCUUUUUGGGCAUGUUCGCCCCUUUUGGCAGGUUACGUGAUUUGUGUCAGUGGCAUACCCUUUUACCGUGCCCAUUGACUUCCUGCUUGACUGGACACUGCUGUUAGGGGUUAUGGAUUUACUUGAAAGAUGAAAACAUAAAUUAGUGAGAGAUUAGCCUAGGGUAUGUGUUUUCUUUUAGCUGCUGUUUUCUUUCUCUCCAGCACCAUCUCCAUCAGAUACAUGACGCUUGGGAGUGUUUUACUGUUUUUGGUCGAUAUGAUUCUGUAAUUAGGCCCGUCAUAAUUGUCAGCACCAGGCACACUGGGCUCUUAAUCUAGCCCUGAGUAUAGCCCAUUGUAAAUGUGUGAUUUAAAUUACCUACACGUUGGGAUGAUAUGUUUAAAAUUUCGUCCACAUAUGGUUUUGAAUAUAUGCAUUUCUACAAACAAACUAAAUUAUCUGUUUUUUUAAAAUGAACUCCCUUUUUGGUCAUUGUUACAUUAUUUCUUGACAUGACUGGUGUGUAAAUUUCUCAGAACUUCCCUUUAAAUUGUUUCACAUGGGUUUACUUUCUAAAAGCAGGAACAGUUGUAUUGUUUUUCUUUAUAAAUAAACUUGAUAAUAGAUCAAAUUGUCUAUUUGAGGUUGGUGAUGGAUUUUUUAACAUGCUCUUAAGGCCACAUGGUUCAUCAGAAUCUCCAAGCAGGUUUAGGUUUCUGAAAAAAAUCAAGGCAAUCUAUGUAUAUUAAGUUAUCGCACCGGUCUUUGUUCACUAUUUAUUUUUAAUUUUAUUACAGCAGCCCACUAUCUGGAAUACCCUUUAUCUGUGUUUUAUUUUGUUACUUUCUGUCUCCUGGACCAAAGAUUUGGCUAUUCAUAUAAAAAAAAAAAAAGUACACGUUCUGCAACAGAAGCCUAGAUCAAGUAGAUAAGUCACAGAAAAAAAGAAAAAGAAAGUCAUUCUAGUUAAUUGAGCACUGUAGACCCAUAAGGUACUUCAGCUUAUGCCCAUAUAUUAAGAGUAUGGUUCUAAAACUUGUGCUUUAGAUCUCCAUUUAUUAUUAUAAAUUUGUCUUGCGACUUUUGAAUACUUAUACUGACAUCAGUGCUCGUGCUACUGUGUGUAGGUAAUUUAUAUAUAGAGCCGUGUUUCUGCUCUAAAGUCGAACACUCAGUAAUGUAUAUGGUGGUCAAUCUUCAUAUAAGUUGAAAUAGUAAGGUCUCAAUGAGAGAUGCAUGAUAGCUCCCAGGGAUACAAGCAGCUUAUCAAAAAGUAUGGAGCCACUAAAACUGGUCCCAAUACAUUAAGGGAGCCCAUUGACUUAACCCUGCUUAAACCAGGAAUUUUUAAAAGGGAUUUAAUUAUCUCAUCUGAAUAUCUGGGGCCCCAGCAGACAUAGGAGAGCCCCAGGUAUACAUUGAUACCUGAGGAGGCUCCCUGUUGUGAGCAAGGCUUUAACCCUGCACACACUAUAUAUGCAGGGUGUUCUAUGUCGUCCUAAAAGCAUUAAAUCCCACUUUGUGUAAAACGACAUAGAAUGCCCUAAUGUCAUCAAAAUGUUAAAGAGAAACCCUUAAAUUAUGGUGGAAUACGCACAUAAUGCAAGUAUUGGGUUUUGCUCUGUUUCAGAACUUGAAAAAUUAUGUUUUCAUUUUUAGUUUUGUAGUCUUAUUAUUCUGGGUAUAAAUGCAUGAUACAUAAAACACAAAGAAAUGACCAAUGGAUAUAAAAUGCAGAGGACAAAGUAAAGUCCAUAUAUGAAUAUAAUAUAAUUAAAACUAAAUGUAUUUAUAUAUGUUUAAAAAGGAUCAAAAAGACAAAAAUAAACAUAAAGGGGAGCUCCUAAGCUCUAAGUAAGAAAUGGAGCAUACAGGGUUAAGGAGCAAUGGAGGCUGCUUGUUAAAGGAAUGAUAAGAUAGAGACAAUUCACAGAUUUUACUAUUUCCAUGACGUAAAGAAUUUUUUUAAAAACAUAACCAGUACAUAACAUUAGCAGUCUGAGAGUUGAGAGUAGUAUCUCCUUAGAAACAGGAACAGCCAAUCAGGUUCCUCUCUCAAGCAUAAUAGGUUCUGUCAACCAAUCCUAUUCCUCUUUAUUUGCGAUCCCGAAUAAUAAUAACCAUCCAACCGAAAAAAGGGGUCGAGUACAAAGGGAAUAUCUGUAACGAUCUGGAGUAGAUUAGGCUGUAAAAGAGGAAAGAUAUGGUAAUAUUCUAGUAUAAAACUGGGUGUAUGCAUAAAUCACGGGUCAUAUUGAAUAGAAUUUAUUUACUUAAGCCAUAAUGGUUAGGUUUUAAGUAUUGAGAAACAUACCAUAACCGGAGGAAAAAACUCCAUGAUAUCAGGACUUACCGUGAAAUCAACGUAUUCAUAUUCCCUCCCUUGUGGUUAAGUUAGAGUAAUUCCAAACAUAGUAUUGCGGCUCCCUGCCCGCCGCAUGGCACAGCCAUGCCCGACCGGCACGACCUCGCCAAUCUAGCGAGCUUACCUGCUCGUUGGCGAGCCGGGAACCGCUCCUCCGUGUCUUCUGGGCAGUGCGCCCAAAUCAAAGAUGGCGAUGACCACGUGGUCGCGCACAUCACAGGCUCCGCCCCUCAAAUUUAUACUGACCAAUUAGAGCCCAGAGAGGGAUAUUUAAACCCCUAAUUCACUCCAGUUCCUUGCCCUGUCGUGGUUUCCUGUUCCUGGUUCCCGAGAGUGCGUGUACCCUUGUGAUUCUGAUUUCCUGGUAUUCUGAUCUUGGCUCUUCCCUGGUUAUUCCGAUUUCUGGUUCCCCUGACUUUGGCUUGUCUAAACGGUAUUUGAGUAUUUCUGGCUUCCUUGACCUUGGCUUUCCCUUUGACCAUUCUUUAUCUCUAGCGUAUUAGUCCAGCCAUUCUAAGGUCUGGUUUACGCUCUGCCCUUUUAUUUCCUUUCUUUUUAUAUGUAUAUGUUUACAUAGUUUCUGCGUGUUGGACCACACUAGCAGUCAUGACACAUAGCAUGAAGAGCAAGCUCCAUGAUAUCAGGACUUUCCGUGAAAUCAACUUACCCAUAUUCCAUCCUUCUUCGGGAUGGGAGGGAGGGAUAAUACUCGCCUCUGUGUCGUUAAUAAAAUCAUGACUUUACGUCAUGGUAAUAGUAAAAUUUUAUUAAGACACAGAGGCUCCUAUUAUGCUGGUUUAAAGCUGGGAGAUUACCGUUCCCCUGAAGUGUUGAAUGGGUCUAAAGUAGAAGUCACAAAGGGUAGAUCCUGAGGACCAAUCGGCCGCCUUCAAAAUGUCUUCAAGGCGACAACCAAUCGAGGAAGCCUUGGAGGCCAUUGCUCCUUGUACCGAAAGAGGUGAGAAUAGUGAGGUGUCGAUGCCCGCUAGGGCCAUAAUCCAUUUAACCCAGUGAGUCAGGGUAGGGGUAGACACUGGUAAGUGCGGGUUCUGGAAGGAGAUUAAAAAUUUGUGUUUUGCUGGACCUCUUAAAGUGGAAGUGCGAAGUUCAUAAAUUUGUAGGCAUUUGACUGGACAUAAGUACGGUCUGUCAGGGAAUGAUGGGUAUAAGACCUUUUUGAUGACGUCUUCGUUCUUCGAGAUAUAUCGAACGUGAUCCCUUCCAGGCCUCUGACAUCGGAAACCCUCUUGCAGGAUCAAUAUCAAUAUUGCUGAGAUCAGACUCUGAAUCUAAUUGGGCUAGCCGAAUUUGCCCGGCUAGUGGCUCUUUUGCGCCCUCUGUGACCGGUGCAUCGCUUUUGGGUUCAACCUUUUUUCUACUCACCACAACUAUCUGAUAACAGACGGAUGUACUUAAUACUUGUCACUGUUUUACAAUCAACCUAGCUUUUUGCCUUCAUUACAAUAUUAUUUUUUCAGACAGCGACAUUGAAGUCGAUUCAGUGUUUAGCAAGUUCAAUGAAGACUUGGCUAUAUAAUGUUUUUCAGAGACAUUAUCCCUCUGCUAUCCUUUGGUUAUAUGAUUUAAUUGCUACAUUGUAUAUAUUUCCUUGCUGUACUAUCCUAUAGGUAUUAUAUUGUUCAAACUCUCUGUGAGUAUGUUUUUUACUCAACACAACUACCUUGUAACCUAUAUACGAUUUAGAAUUCAUAAUUGUCUCUAUCUUAUCAUUCCUUUAACAAGCAGCCUCCAUUGCUCCUUAAUCCUUUCUACACUAUUUCUACCCCUUUAUUUUGUGUUCAUAAGUUUCCUUUUUUUUUUUAUUUUUUUUUUUUUUGUAUUUUUGGUUCAAUUACUGUUCCUUUUUAAACAUAUAUAUAUAUAUAUAAAUACAUUUAGUUUUAAUUACAUUAUAUUCAUAUAGGGACUUUACUUUGUCCUCUGGAUUUUAUGUCCAUUGGUCAUUUCUUUGUGUUUUAUGUAUUCCAUUUCUACGGUUACCCCCUAUUAAGUUCCCUUUACACACUCUAGACCCAUCAGGGGGUCGCCCCCCUUUUUUCUUUGGGUGUAAAUGUUUAAUGCAGCAGCUACCACUCUUGUGGUAAAUAUUUUUUUUUUUUGCGUUCUCUAGCUAGUGCUGCCUAUCAGGUUGAGAGUUAUACACUGCUUAGACAUAGCGAGUGGUUUGUUUAUUCUAUUUCUUACUUUCUACACACACUUUGUAGAAUCCAGUUACUUUCAAUGUAUGAUUCUAAAUGUUAUGUACCUUCUUUUCAAAAAGUUUUUCUAUCAAAACCCUUUUAGGUUGACCUUUGGUAUUACCCAUUACUUAAUUCUACUACUAUAUAUCAUGAUUAAAUCGGAAACCUUUUACUAUAUUUAUGAUAACCGUUAUUAUCCACAAAGUGAAUUCUACAUUUCAGGCAUGUAUAGUCCUCAUGAUGCAUAAAUAAUAGUUAGAAAAUGUUUGCAAACUUGUUAGAGAUGGCAAGCGUGUGCCAUCGUUAUGAAAAAUCUACAAGUUAUGUUUUUAGUAACUACCGAUCUGAGUAAAAAAGUCUAAAUUUACGUAGACUGUUUGCUACAUUUGACACUGCAGCGUUCUUUCAAUAAAUCUUUAUUUACGCAGGAGUUGGCAUACACAGAAAAAAAAACCCCAGAAUAUUAAAUAUGAAUAUUACAUCCAACACAAAUGUUAUAGAACAUUACAACCCUGAACCACACCGUCAACCCAUGAAACAUGCAUGGACACCCACUGAACCUUCUUCAUAGAAUACUGUUACGGCACCCCUAGGCAUAAAAAGGGGUUAAAAGCCAUUUAGUAGAUCUUCCCCUUCCAGAAACACAGGCACAGCUACUGUAGACACCAAUCCACCGAACCAGAGAAGCAUUUGAAUGCUCUCAAACAUAUGAAUGCUGUAGACAGCUGAAUAGGAAAAACCAUACGAAUAGGUUUACACUCCUAGCAGUCAAACUGGAACAGCAUACAAUAAAUCCCCCCAAGUAUGAGACAAGGCUCCGUUUUGAGGGUCAAGCAGGAACAGACACAGCUGUGGGUUUAUUGUUCUUAUAUACACAUUAGUACCACCCACAGGGUUUUGGAACACAACCAAUAAACACAUACAAUACACUCAGACACUCCCACACAAAAUCCUCCCCUCUGCCUGUGAUACAAUUACCUUACACAAUGGGUAAUGUAAUUAGCACAAGCAGAGAAAUACAAUAUUUCCACAUUAUUCAUAACUUGAAAAGUAUGCAUCACAUUCACAUAAAACUUACAUUUUCAGAAUCAACAUACUCCAAAAUCAUCCAAAUUGGUCCAGUGGUUCAAACGAUAAAUCGUAGUCCUUUGUGACCAAAGGAAGCAUGGCUUUUCUGCCCAAAACCAGUUCCACAGAGUCUUCGAGCCUGCAGAUAAUUGUGAAGUAAUCCAAUUAUCUCCAAGGACAGAGGCAAAACUCCAUUGAACACAUGGCAGCAAAAGACUAUAAAACACAUAAAAACAUAUAACUGUGCAGCCAUUGCACAAAUAGGUACAUGCAACAUAUCCCCAGAUAGCUCCGAUCUGAGCGCACAUUAUUACUGAAUGGCGCUCAGAGCACACACAUACAGUUCAAUUGCCAUGGAGCCAAAGUCUUUCCCAUAGUCUUUCAUUAUAUGAAUGGGCUCCAUGACAUAGCUAUCUGGGGUAUCACCGCUCAAACAGGACACUCACCGAAUGGCCCGGCUUUCGUGUCUUCGCAGGGAAAAAUCAAGCAUUUCAACAUGGGGCCAUAGUCUAAAGGCAGCAGGCGGGCAACCAGGCUCCUCCAAUGCACAGUGGCGAGAUUGGUCUCAUCACAUCUCUCCCCUUUUCCAAACAGACUAACAGGGUAUCUGACCUCCUGCCGGUCAGUGCCCUUGUUAGUCCAGCAGCCCACCCACAAAACACAAUCAGUAAUACAGCCCACCCACAAUAACUGGUUACUACACCUGGGUAGAGGAGAACUUUGUCCAUGUCCAGGUGCCUCACCAUGGCUGUGUGGGGUACUGGUAAGCUGCCUUGGUGGGUUGCUGAGUGGGCAGAGACCACCGAAUGACAUCAACAUGCAAAAGGAAAAGAAGAAUGAGUGAAGACACUACAAAUGAAGCAAAGUAAAGGAAUUAGAGGAAGAGAAGUGGUAAUGAUGUGUUUCUCAUUAAGAACCUUAACCAGAGUAUUUUAUGGAUAUUGAUGGCUAAAAUCAAUCCAGGAAUCCCAUGUUUUUUAAGCAUUAGAUAGGAUAUGGUGGACCAUGGCAGAUAACCAUGGGCGUCUGCAGAAAUGUUUCUGGGGGGUGGGGGGAGGCAGUGGGGGGCAAUUGUAAUGACAUCCAUGCUUUGCCUCUUUGUGACAAUGUCAUGAAGGGGAGGCACACAGUCAUCUUUACCUAAAGUGCAGCCGUGCAAAGGGUUGAAAAACCUGAUGCAAAAGUUUAAUAGAAGAAUCAAGUUGCCAUUUUCUAAAUUUGAUGCACACACUGACACAUACAAAUGCACAGAGACACAGAUACACAUACAUACAAAACACUGACAUUUAUACAGAUACAGACACACAUAUAGAUACAAACACUGCCACAAAUGCAGAUGCACAGACACAAGUAAAAACACUGGCGCACAUGCAGAUGCACAAACACAGGUACAAACACUGACACACAUGCAGAUAAACAGACACACAGAAGCAAACACUGAGACCAGACACACACUGAUACACAUGCAGAUUCACACACUCAUAUGCAAACACUGAUGCAGAUGCACAGACAUACAGAUACUGACACCCAUGCAGAUACACAAACACACAUAUACAAACACUGCCACACAUUUUUUUUAAAUGCAUGACAAUUUGAAUCGCACAAUAAUUUUUGACUACUUGGGCAAAGAUGCAUUUUGCUUCCACCCUCCCCCCAUAAAUGCAUCUUCACCUGUAUGUUUUUUUAAAACCCCCCCUUUUGAAUUUCUUACCCUCUUUUGUGCUUAUCUCAUCUGUUGAAUGUCUUACCCCUUUUUGUGUAUCUUAUCCCCAUUUCCCCUUUGUGUCUUACACCUCCUUAUGUGUAUCUUACCUUUCCUUUGUGUCUUACUUUCCACCAGACUCUUUGUGUGUCACUUACUUUUCCCAUCCUCUUUGUGUGUUUCUCUCCCCCCAGCCCCUCUGUAUGACAUUGUCCCCUUCCCCAGCUCCUCUUUGUGUUACUGUCCCCUUCCCCGAUCUGUCUCACUGCCACCUUCCCAGCUCCUCAGUGUGUGUCAUUGUCCCCUUCCCAAUCCCCUCUGUGUGUCAUUGCCACCUUCCCAGCCACUCGGUGUGUGCAGGGCCAGUGCAAGGAUUUUUGGGUACAUAGGUGAAUAUGUAUCCCCCCCAAAAAAAUAACAUCUUCACCUGCGUGCCUCUUAACUUCACUUUUUGUUUCUUAUCCCCUCUUUUAAAUGUCUUACUUCCUUAGUGUGUCUUACACCUCCCUUGUGUGUCUCUUAUUUCCCCUUUUUGUAUGACUCUUACAUCCUCCCACAUUUUGUGUCUUACUCCUCCCAGCCCCUUUGUGUCUUUUACUCUUCCCAGCUCCUUUGUGUGUGUCUCUCCCCUCCAGCCUCUGUGUGUCUUUUUCCCUUCUCAAGCCCCGCUGUGUGCUUCUUUCACAUCCAGCCCCCCUCCCUUCCCUGUCCCUUAGUGUUCCUACCCCCUCCUUUCCCUGUCCCUUAGUGAUUCUCUCUGCUCCCUGUCCCUUGGUGCCCACCCACACCCCUAGUGGUCACCUNNNNNNNNNNNNNNNNNNNNNNNNNNNNNNNNNNNNNNNNNNNNNNNNNNNNNNNNNNNNNNNNNNNNNNNNNNNNNNNNNNNNNNNNNNNNNNNNNNNNCCCCUUCCUGGUAUGCCUCACACCUCUCUUGUAGCGUGCCCUGAGCGGAGUGGAUCUUGGUACAGGACCUUCAGUUUCCUGUACCCUGCUCUCUGUGAGCACUUCCUGUCAGUCAGGCCAGGUACAGGAAACAGAAGCUCCUAUACUGUGGUCCGCUCCUCUCAGCCGCGCUACACUCAGUGGUGUAUACACACUGUCAGUCACACACACUCAAUAACAAACACACAGACAUCAGUGACAGACACAGACUCACUGAUCUGACACACAUUCAUUCAUUCACAGACACUCACACACACACUAACAGACAUACACAGUGACAGACACUCUAACAUUGACACACACACACUGAAAGUCACACACAGACUCAAGGGCAAACAGACUCUCCCUGAUUUGACAAACACAGAAACACACACACAUUGAGACACACUCAUACAUUCACAUGUACUCACAUACACUUAUAGACACAUACAUUCUCACACACACACAUACACUCACAGACACAAACAUACACACACUCACUAAUUAUUAAUAUUAUUAAAACUAAACAUUUUGCACCCAGCCUCCCUCGCUGGAGAGCUGGCGUGGGUCUCUCGUUGGAGGUCCAGUGGGGCUGCUGUGAGGCAUGCAGCUAAAUUGGCAUCCGAGGCAGGGAGGGAGCUCUGAUCUUCUUGCUCUGCUCCCUCACACCUAGAGGAUUGUCUACUGAUGCCGGGAGCCGGAAUGACAUCAUAUUUCAGCUCCCGCAGCAUUAGCAAACGGCGUGCGAGGAAGUAAAGCAGGUGGAUCAGAGCUCCCUCACCGCCUCGGAUGCCAAUUCAGCCGCACGCUGUGCUGGGGGGUCCAGAAAGUGGUCUGGUAAGUGGGAGGGCUUCCCUUCUGCCGGUCACUGGAAUUUUGCGCCCCCAGAGCCGGUGCGCCUUAUGGACACGCCAGACCUGAGUGUGUAUCACUGUCCCUGUCCCCUUCUCAGACCCUCGGUGUUUUCAAUCUUGUUCUACCCCUCCAUGUGUCUUGUUCUGCCCCCAGCCCCUCCAUGUGUCCUGUUCUGCCCCCAGCCCCUCCAUAUCCUCUGUUCUGACCCUCCAUGUGUCCUGUUAUGCACCCCACAGCACCUGCAUAUCUUCUGUUCUGCCCCCCCAGCCACUCUGUGUUCUGAUCUGCCCCACACACACACUUACCUCUUUCCUUUGUGGGCUGGAAGGAGAGGAGUAGAGUCUGUGGUCUGUAGUAGUUGGGGAAGCAGGGAUCCUUCCGGCUUCCCUUCAGUCUGCAGCAGUAAGGGCAGCAGGUACAGGCUGCAUUUAACCCCACUGCCCUUUAGUCCUACCUCUCAUUUAGCUCCACCUCACCUCCUACGUAGCUCUGCUCCCUCUCUAUGAUUUGGGGCUUUACAAAUUUAGCAUUGCUGAAGGUUGCUUAUCCAUAGGGCAUGCCAUCACAUAUGAUAAAAGGUAUCCUUGGACCUGCACUUUUUCCAACAUAAGGCUAUGCAUCUUUCUUUAAUCAUUCAAGACAUGGAAAAAUAAUUAUGCCUUAUAGUGGCUGUCAAAAACAAAACAAAACGUGUUAAUAUUGUAUUAAUGUAGUAUGUUUGCAGAAUAGAUAUAAGUCCCUGUCAUGCUGUAGUACAAGAAAUUAAAGCAGGUUAAAUAGCAUUCGCUAAUAUGAAAUAACCUACAAAUGUAUCCAUAUGAACCCAAUCCUUAGUUCAUUUCACCCCUGUCAUCCAGCAUAUAAUUAUUUUCAUACAAACAAUAAAACACUUUGGUGACAAAGUAACAAAAACACCAUUUAUGACAUUCGGAAGCACAAAACCAUUUCUUGCCUGAUCUUUGUCAAUUCGGAAAGUAAAGAAAAAAAUAAUUAUUUAUGAAUCGCUUACGAUGAUUACGUUCACUAAUUUUGUAAUAUAAAUGGCCUUGUUACAUAUUGGUUUAGCAUGCAGUGAGCUGCAAAAAGCAGUUUGAGACUGUGUAUCAUUAUGUAGUUAAUGUAGUUGAGAGUAGAUAAAGGUGAAUUUCUGUUUUUCACCAAAGCUUACGUUGUUUUUUGUCUUUUUUCUUCUAAAUCAUCCUGUUCAAGAUUGUAUGUCCAAUUUAGUGAAACUAUUUAACAAGGAAGCAAAUUUAAUAUUUUUCAGAUUUGAGAUGUUUAUAUUAUAUUUUUUUUUUUGUUGGACAAAAUCUUAAUAUGUGAGGAUGAAUGAACCUUGUCCACUUAAACUUUCAAUAAUAUAUUAUCUCUUCCUCGACAUUCCUUUGCAUAUUCUUGAACAUUGCAUACCAGCCCUUUUUAUCCGAGUCUAUAUACAUGAUACUAAUCAGGUCCUGGAUUCAUUCUACAACUGAAAUAUUUUAUCCCGCUUGUUAACUUGAUGUCUGUCCUUUUCAACCUUUUUCACAGCUGUAAAAUACUUUAUUUUAAACCAUAUUAGGUCUUUAUCAAAUUAACACUUUUUUUAAUUUUUUUUAAUGGAUACCAAUACAUGUAGAAGCCAUUAUUAAUCAUACUAUAUCCCACAGCACUGUCCAUGUUGUAGACUCAUUUAGCGUCAAGGUUAAUUUUUAAUGCAUUUUUAAAAUAUUGUGAAAUAUUGCAUUUUUUAAUUAGAUACAAAUUGGUUUAACUGCAAUACCUGGGGGAAACCCUUGAAUUUUAACUGAAAUUAUUAUUUGGACAUUCAUUAAAAGCAAUUUGGAGAAUUUUACCAAUUUAAAAAUUCAAAUAAUGUAUUAUUUAUAGUGCCCUAUUAACAGGUUAGGUGACUGGUUCGUGCUGCAAGGGUUAAAGAAGGUAUUUACUUACAUUUCAGCUUUCAUAACAACCGCCUCCUCCUUGAAGCUCCACCUCGAAGCUCCACCUCUUUGACUAAGAUCAUUGAGAUCAAGAAUCUCAGCAAAUCCAAUGCUUUUCCUUCGAAAAGCAUUAGGAGGCUAGCGUGCAUGCAUGUCAAAAUGCUGCUUUGUGCCAAUCAGAUUAUCUGAUUGAAAUAGGAGAGUUUUACUUUGCUUUUUCACGUAAGCACCUCUUGUGGAUUUCAGUAAGACAACCAUCAGAUGCAGUUAACCUACAAUGUCUUCAGCUGCAGGGAGGGGCAAAAUGUAGCACCCAGCCCACUUAAUUGAGAUGUCUGGGUGCCUAUAGUGUCCCUGUGUUGCAAUGCAACAUAUCUGUCUACAGUGCCUUCCAAAAGUAUUCACCCCCCUUGACUUUUUACCUAUUUUUUAAAAAUUGAAAACAGAAAAUUGGCAUGUGCGUAUGUAUUCACCCCCUUUGUUAUGAAGCUCUGGUGCAACCAAUUACCUUCAGAAGUCACGUAAUUAGUGAAAUUAUGUCCACCUGUGUGCAAUCUAAGUCUAAGUGUCACGUGAUCUGUCAUUACAUAUACACACCUUUUUUUGAAAGGCCCCAGAGGCUGCAACACCUAAGCAAGAGGCACCACUAACCAAACACUGCCAAGAAGACCAAGGAAUUCUCCAAACAAGUAAGGGACAAUGUUGUUGAGCAGUACAAGUCAGGGUUAGGUCAUAACAAAAUAUCCAAAUCUUUGAUGAUCCCCAGGAGCACCACCAACUCUAUCAUAACCAAAUGGAAAGAACAUGGCACAACAGCAAACCUGCCAAGAGACGGCCGCCCACCGAAACUCACAGACCGGGCAAGGAGGGCAUUAAUCAGAAAGGCAGCACAGAGACCUAAGGUAACCCUCGAGGAGCUUCUGAGUUCAACAGCAGAGACUGUACAUAGGACAACAAUAAGCCGUUGGGCCCAUAGAGUUGGGCUUUAUGGCAGAGUGGCCAAAAGAAGGCUAUUACUUUCAGCAAAAAACAAAAUGGCACAUAUUGAGUUUGCGAAAAGGGAGACUCCCAAAAUGUAUGGAGGAAGGUCCUCCGGUCUGAUGAGACUAAAAUUGAACCUUUCAGCCAUCAAAGAAAACGCUAUUUCUGGCGCAAACCCAACACAUCACAUCACCUCACCCAAAGAACACCAUGCUGCCACCACCAUGUUUCACUGUGGGGAUGUUUUUCAGCAGCCAGGACUGGGAAACAGGUCAGAGUUGAGAGAAAGAUGGGUGGUGCUAAAUACAGGGAUAUUCUUGAGAAAAACCUGUACCACUCUGUGCGUAAUUUGAGGCUAGGAUGGAGGUUCACCUUCCAGCAGGACAAUGACCCCAAACACACUGCUAAAGCAAUACUUGAGUGGUUCAAGGGGAAACAUGUAAAUGUGUUGGAAUGGCCUAGUCAAAGCCCAGACCUCAAUCCAAUAGAAAAUCUGUGGUCAGAUUAAAGAUUGCGGUUCACAAGUGCAAACCAUCCAACUUGAAGGAGCUGGAGCAGUUUUGCAAGGAGGAAUGAGCAAAAAUCCCAGUGGUAAGAUGUGGCAAGACUUAUCCAAAGCGACUUGGAGCUGUGAUUGCCUUAAAAGGUGUCUCUACAAAGUAUGGACUUUAGGGGGGAUGAAUAGUUAUGCACAUUGACCUUUUCUGUUAUUUUGUCCUAUUUGUUUGCUGCACAAUAAAAAAUAAAUUAAAAAAACCUUCAAAGUUGCGGGCAUGUUCUGUAAAUUUGUAAAUGGUAGUGGAUUCAGUGCUUAGUGUCUCAAUAGAAUAGUGAAAAGUAUAUAUAAGUAUAGGCAGCAACCUAAAAUUAAGACGUUCCCUCACAGUACGUCAAAAGGGGAAAAUCUGAAAUAUAAAGGGUUAUAGGUCGCGCCAAAAAACCAUAUGCAGAAAACAUAUAGCAAAUAAUAGAACCAUAAAUCAAAACUGAAAUAUCAUCAUGAGAAACUGCUAAAGAUAUAGAAACAAUGUAAUAUGCACUUACAUAUAUCAGUACAUUAGAACAGAAAUAAGUCCUAGAGUAAGCAGAAAAUGGUCAAGUCCACUUGAAAAACUGAAGAAUGGUAAUAGUCCAAACAGAGGUAGAGGAAAUAAUCGAUGUUUCUUGUUCCGGAUAAAAAUAUGCAAAUAGAACAAAAGGAAAUUCCAAUAGUGUAGACUGUAGCUUGAGCUUCUUUAUGAAGAGUCAAAACAAAAGGGUAUCGCUAUUGUGGAGCUUGAACUAGCUCAGGUAUGAUUCGCACUCAGUGGUAUUAGUCCCCCAAUGAUGGGGUGUAGACGUAUAUAGGUGAAGGAAAUCCUCGAGAGAAAAAAGGUAACACAAAAUAGUGCUCACUGUAUGUGUUAAGUUAUAUGUGAAACAAAAUUAUAUGUUGAAUACUCACAUUUGGGUGAGCAGGAUAUACUGCUCACUUGUAUGGCGCAGGUGGUAUAAUCCCCACCUAGGAUUCUUGAGCAAAAGGGUAGUGAUGUAUAUAGAUAUAACCAGGUCCAAAAAUAAAAUAAGACCAGAUAAAAACUAAAAUAAAAGGUAUAUGGCAAGAAAGAAAAAAUAUAUACAAGCCAAUAAUCCUUUAUUAAUACACAUAUAAAAUUAUAAAAUAGCCAAAACACGUUUUGCCACACAGGGCUUUAUCAACUGUCUAAUUGCCUUCCCUCUCUUACGAUAUGAGGAUGAAGGGUUAAGCUCAGCUCUAAGGGGAUGUGCCAUUGGCAUUAUGACGCAGCAUUUUGGACCCACCUCCUGGGGGAGGGCCCCUGUAGAUCUAUGACGCAGCGGUGGGAUCCGCCUCUAUCCUACCCCCUUCCGAUACUCAUACAAGGUAGAGGGGAGGAGUCCCCACCUUCUGACGUAGACGCAGCUUUUUUUCCCCGCCUAUGCCAAGCCUCCCCAUUUACCUGAUAAGAAUCCCCAGCUGAUUAUUGGACUCCAUGGAUUGGCCCCUGGAUCUUUUUAAAAACCAUCACAGUCACAAAGGUAUUUUUAUCCCCUGACGAAGGUGCAAUCUCAACGCACCGAAACAUGCGUCGGGUUCUUUGUUUUGUGUUCUUUUUCACUAAUGGUAGCACUAGGUAUUUAGCACUUCUAUAUUCUUUUCUUUCAGGCCGGAGUUAAUUUAGUUUUUGGGGGAUGUUUUGAGAGAAGUUUCUCCAUUUAUUAGGGACAGUAUAGAACACCCUCGAAGGUGUUUGUUUCAGGAGCUGACAGGACUGUUUAGCUUCGCUCUAUUUGUUGUUGGAGCCUGUUCUAGUAUAUAAGAUUUCUAUACCACCAGUAUAUAGGAUCUCUUAAGGUGUCCGAUUCAAGAGCAGCCAGUUUACUUCUUUCAAUUUUCUAAGUGGGUUUUUGGAGCCUCAUUAGGACAGCUUUAUAUAACCCUUGAGGUGUUCUAUUUAGGAGCUGACAGGGUUUGUAGCACUGCAGUACUUGGUCUGGAGCCUCCCUUUCCCAUUUAACCCUUACAGUGUCCUUUAAUUAUAUGAGUCCAUGGCCUCCUGUAUAGACUUUGAAAUGUGUACUAUUACCAUUUAGCAGUUUUUCUUUUACCAGCCAAUUGCUUUAUUGGUGUGGAUUACCUCUAUUUUAUGUUUAACUUACCUAUGCUCUAUACUUUAUCCCUUUAUAUAGACACUAUCAUUGUCCUUUUUUGCUUCACUGAAUUUGUUCCAUCUAUAGUGCCUCUUUUCCACAAAAUAAAGUGUCUAUUAAUUUUGGCACCUCUUUGGAACAGUUAUAUGUGAUCAGUUAGGUUAGGUCACCCCCACUACCACUCUGUGCUGAUUUACCAUUUACCUAUAGUAUAUAUUUGUAAUCAUUAUUGUCCUUGACUUUUUUCAGAUUUGAGCCUCUCUUCCUGGAGACUCUAACUUAUUAUUUUCGUUUCUUUACAAUAUUUGGGGUACAAGCCACUUUUGGUGGAUCUGGAACCACCAUACUGACCCUGACAUUGUGUGAGAUCGAUACACACAGUCUCUCUCUUUUUUCAUACUGGAGUUUCACUAUAACUUGCAACAUUGAGGCAGAAACAGAAGAGCUGUAUAAAGUCAUCAUCUCAACAUUUUCAAAUCACUGUUUAGUGAAUAGACUCCUAAGUGAAAUCAGAGAGACCAGUGAGAAAUGAAGGGAACGGGAACAGACCAGGAAGACAAUUAGGAAAGGGAUAGAGAGAUUGUUGAGGUAUUUAGAAAACCGAUACAGACUAGGAAACAUUUUUUUACACACACAUUGUCACUUGCACACUCUCACUAACAUACACACACAAUGUCACUUACACACUCUCACUAACACAUGCACUCUUACUGACUUACUCUAACACACACACUCUUACUGACAUUCACCCACACAAUACAAUUACACACUCUCACUAACAUACACACAUACAUGUUACUUACACAGUCUCACUAACACACUCUCUCACUGAAACACAUAUACACACAAACACACACACACACACGCACAAUGUUACUUACACACUCUCACUAACAUACACAAAAUGUUACUUAUACCAGUUUACAUAUAGUCACAAUUUAUUAAAACACCCACAAAUGUAACACACCAAUUUUUAAACAUACACACAAUAACCAGCCCCCCUCAUCCUCCAGAUAUGCCAUACCUGUGUUAGUGAUGUGACUGGAGAAGGUAGGGAUCCAAACUCUAACCUGCAGACAGCUGUCCUUUUUCCUGGAGGGGGAGCAGGAGAGCCACGCACUGUAAGCACAGCCGGUUUCCUGCUCCCUCCAGAGUGCUUCCUGUGUUCACAAGCAGGGGGCAACUGGGAUGCCAGGUCACAUCCCAGCUUCCCCUGCCUGCAGGAAGCAGUGUUCUCUGCCAUGUAGUCUGCAUUUGCAAACAUUUGUGAAACAAAUUGGUCAUUCUGAAGAACUUGGUGAAUUUAAAUGUGGUUCUGUGAUAGAACCACAUAGAUGAUUCAUCCCUGUAAGAUAUUCCACAGUCAAUUAGUAAGGGUAUUAUUAGAAAGUAAAGAGACAAAUGAUGGGAGUAAAAAUGUCAAUGGUCUAAGGCAGAUGAGGGGCAUGUACCCAAACUAUUAUUAUUGGAAAGUAGAAGCGUUAGAGCAGCAACUCAAUCUGUUGAUUCCAUAGCUGAAGAGUUCCAAACUUCCACUGGCAUUAAUAACAGCACAAAAACUGCACAGCGAACACUUCAUAGAAUGGGUCUUUGUGGCUGAGCAGCUGCAUGCAUUCUUCACAUGAUCAAGUACAAUGCCAAUCAUUGGAUAAAGUGGUGUAAAACACGCUGCCACUGCACUCCGGAGCAGUGGAAAUGUGUUCUGUUGAGUGACGAAUCAAGCUUCUCUGUUUAGGAGUCUGAUGGGUGAAUGUGGGACUGUUUUGCAGCAGUUGGGCUGGGCCCCUUUCUACAAGUGAAGGAAAAACUUAAUGCUUCAGCAUACCAACACCUUUUGUACAAUGCUAUGCUUCCAACUUUGUGCACAGUUUGAGGAAAGCCCUGUUCUAAUCUAGCAUCACUGUGCCCCAGUGCACAAAGCAAGGUCCAUAAAGACAUGCUUGGAUGAGUUUGGUGACGAAGAACUUGACUGGCCUGCACAGAGUCCUGACUGCAAUCCCAUCGAACACCUUUUGAGAUGAUAUGGAAUGUAGAUUGCAAGCCAGUCCUUCUAGUACAAUGUCAUUGCCUGACCUCACAAAUGCUCUACUGAAUGAAUGGACAAGAAUUCCCACAGAAGCACUCCAAAAUCUUGUAGAAAACUUCCCCAGUAGAAUGGAAGCUGUUAUUGUUGUAAAGGGGAAAAUAACUGCAUAUUAAUAUAAUGUAUUUAGAAUUCAAUGUUAUUACCGUUCCCAUUGGUGUAAUGGUCCGGUGCCCCAAUACUUUUGUUCAUAUAGUGUGCACUGACACACACACCAAACUCAUGAACUCUAUUACAGCAAAUUGAGAAUGCUUUGAAAGCCAUGUGCUCUGAUUUGAACCAAUAUUUUUAGCUGCAUAUUAUACCUCCCUGGCAGUAAGACAGCCAGGAUGAAACUCCUGACUGCCAGGGAGGUAUAAAAGGGUUCAUUUAUAAAAGUGCUAAUUUCUAUUGAAGUUGCCACGUUUAUAAAAAAACUAUUCGUGAAUAAAGUGCUUCAGCAACCCAAACUACUUUGUUUGUUUGCAGGCUUCCUUUAACCCCUUAAGGACAUAACUUCUGGAAUAAAGGGAGAUCAUGACAGAAUAUUUCCGUCAUGUGUCCUUAAGGGGUUAACUGUAGAUAGGCAUGAAGUCACCUUUUCAGUGUUUGAGCUAACAAGGCAAGUUGUUUCUCAAUGAACACUGUCAUGAUGCUUUUUUAUAAUCUGAAUAAUGCUGAACACUUGAAAGCAACUUUCUGACAUUAAUUACAGUAUGUUGACCUAUAGUACUCUGUCUUAUAUUUUCUCCAGAUACCAAUUAGCUUCAUAAAAGUACUUGAACUCCAUGACUUGCAUUUUAAUAGCUUAAACAAUUCUAUUGUCCUUCCCCCCCUAUUCAAUUACAUCACUUAAAGUACUCUUUGCCAUGAGAGGCAAUUUUAAAUAGGAUUCAAGAGCACUAAAACAGCAGAUGUGAGACCUUUUCUUUCAUAUUUGAGGAUAAAUAAGGGGUAGAACUGCAAAUCCCUUGGAAUAAAAAAGCACCAUUGGAGUUGUAGUCCAGUUUUUGAGCCAACUCUGAUUCAAAGGUUUUUCUCAAGAUGAUCUGGUUAUUUCUAAAUGGCCUCACACCGCUCUCUUGUCAUGUUGGUGUUAUGGACUUGAAUUCUCAUAAGAAAGGUGAAAAAGCAAGGUGUAUAUUCAGGGAGUGCAGUGGAGAGGUUAGUAAACAGGCCCGGACUGGCCAUCGGGCACACCGGGCAAAUGCCUGGUGGGCCGCGGUGGCCAUGGGCCGAGGCCGGCAAGGGAGCUCCCAGGAUCUCUCCUGCCGGUCUAUGCAGGGCCGGUGCUAUCCGAGCGCAGGCCCCGCUGUUUUCCAUGGAGGGCCAGUGGGGAGAUCAAAGAUCUCCCUCACCGGCCCACAUGCUGUCAGAUCUGGAUGCCGGCGGGGAGAGAGGGAGGGAGACAGCCGCCAGGAGAGGAGGACCCGGCGGAGCUCUAACUUGCAGCUCCGCCGAGUUCCUCUCGUGAGAUCUGGCGCGUUACCAUGGCACCUCCCAGGUGCCAGUGUGCCGGUCCCCCCCCCCCUCCCAGGCUAAAGGUAAGAAGGGUGGGGGGGAUUUAAUGCCUUUUUUUUUUUUUUGCCCCCCCAACACACACACAAUCCAUUCUAACAUUUAUACAGCACUCUCACACCCAUCACACACAGCACUCUCACACACAGCACUCUCACACCCAUCACACACAGCACUCUCACACCCAUCACACACAGCACACUGCACCACACACAUACACAAUAAUUCCAAAUAUAUAUAUACACACACACACACUACACUCUUAACAUACACACUCUGGAUCCCCUAUACACACACUAGAUUCCUUGUAAGCAAACACAUACUACACCCCUAAAAACACACAUCAUCACCUAUAUACACACACACACACUAUAGCCUGUAUGCACACACUUGCUAUAUCCCCAAUACACACAUUCUCUAAAGCCCAUAGCCACAUAUGCAUCACAUUACACCACUUUACACCACAAACACAACAUGACUAAAACCAACUUUAUUACACAAUACCACGCCACAAUCAGCUCACUCUACACACACGCAAUACCACAAGCAGGCUCCAAACACAUGCACAAUACUCUUUCCUGGUAUCCAUUUAUAGAGACACCAGAGACAAGUUGCAAGGAAACACAGUUCAAGCAUGUUUUUAAAUUUGCUUACACUGUGCAGAACAAAUACAGGACUUUUUUCUCAUGCUAGAGCUCUUCAGCAGAGCUCUGCGCAUGGUCUGCCCUGGGAGAGCAUUGAGCCAACAUGCUCACUUUGAGAGGGGGCGUGUUUGUCAUUGGUGAUGACAAAACACACCUCCUCUGCCCCGCCCCCUUCUUAGUGGGUUGCUGUGUUAAAAAAAUGCCCCGGCCGAAUUUUUCUCCCAGUCCGGCCCUAUUAGUAAAGGUUUAUUAAAUUACUCCAAUUUCUGGAAAGCCAAAUCUGGUUUGUAUAAAAGGACUGUUUGUCAAACUCAAUCUACUUUGUGACAUUGGCUGCGAGUUUUUAUGUAGGUCGUUGAUCAUUUUAGAGUGAAGCCCCAUCCAUUUAAGCAUUCUAAUUGCUUUAUAAGAUUAUGGUUAUUCUGGAUCAAUCUGUGUACUGCAAAAUAUUUACAUAAUAUAAAAUUACAUAUAUUUUUGAGAGGGGGAAUAUUGUAGAAACAAAUCUUUAUAUCUUUAUUAACACUACAGCGUUAAGUAUACAGAUAUGUAUUCCUAGUGCUAUAGAGCCCCAGUCACCAUUUAGGUGACGAGGGCUCCGUUCCGUGGUGUAUAAAUUGUUAAUUAGCCAUUUAUUUGCUUACCUUAAUCCAGCGCCGGGCUCUCUCGACACUUGUGACCUCUCCUCCUCCUCUUCCUCCCGAGUGGAGCCGAAUGUCAUGCGCGCCAGAGGUGUGCACGCAUUCAAACCUGCCCAUAGGAAAGCAUUACUCAAUGCUUUCCUAUGGGGAUCUUUUUUGACGCUGGACUCCAUGAGGACAUCAUGCGUCAAAUAAGUGCGAUAUACUGUGUGCAAAUUGCGGAAGCAGCCUUUAGUAGCUGUCAGGGAGACAACCACUAGAGAUUGGAUUAUCCCUGCAGUGUAAACCUAGCAGUUUCUCUGAAGUUGCUAUGUUUUCAACUGCAGGGUUAAAACUAGCGGGACCUGGCACCCAGACCACUUCAUUGAGCUGAAGUGGUCUGGGUGCCUAUAGUGGUCCUUUAAAUAUAUAAAUAUAGAUUAUAUUUAUUUAACUGUUCCUCAUUUUUUCCAUCUAUUGAAACCUUCUUACUUGAUCAGUGAAUAAGAUCAACAUUUAGUAACUGGCCCCUAGCCAUCAAUCAUUUAUUUAUCCCAUCCAUUCAUUUUUUUUUAUUUAUUUUUUUUUAAUUUUAUUUACAAGUUUGUUUUAUGGUGCCCAGGCANNNNNNNNNNNNNNNNNNNNNNNNNNNNNNNNNNNNNNNNNNNNNNNNNNNNNNNNNNNNNNNNNNNNNNNNNNNNNNNNNNNNNNNNNNNNNNNNNNNNAAAUCUGGGUAACACUUUAAUUAUUGGAGAUUUUAAUUACCCAGAUAUAAAUUGGGACAGAGGGACUAGUGCCUCAGCAAAAGGAAUUAGGUUUUUAAACUUGUUAAAUGACACCUUCAUGUCACAACUUGUACAAGCACCAACUAGAAUGGAUGCUUGUCUGAACCUGGUUUUAACAAACAACGUUGAUCUUUUGACCAACAUUCAAGUAGGUGAGCACUUGGGAAAUAGUGAUCACAAUAUAGUGUCCUUUGAAAUAAACUCCAAAAAACAAAAGCACAUGGGGAAUACUAAAACAUAUAAUUUUAAAAAGGCCAAUUUCAAUAAGUUAAGGGAAGCUUUACAAUAUAUUGACUGGCAUAAACUCUUUAGUGAAAAGAAUACUGAGGAUAAAUGGAUCAUCUUCCAACAAAUAUUACAAAGGUACAUUUCUCAGUAUGUACCAUUGGGAAAUAAAUAUAAAAGAAACAAAUUAAAACCAACAUGGCUUAGUAGAGAAGCAAAACAAGAGAUUACAACUAAGAGAAGGGCAUUUAAAGCAUUUAAAUCGGACAAAUCAGAUGCAUCUUAUAAAAGAUAUAAGGAUGCAAAUAAUGCGUGCAAAAAGGCAAUUAGACUUGCUAAACUUCAAAAUGAAAUAAUGUUAGCUGAAGAGAGCAAAACCAACCCCAAAGCAUUUUUUAAGUACAUAAAUUCUAAAAAAAAACCAAAAUGAAAGUGUAGGUACACUAAAAAUUGAAACGGGGGUGUUAAUUAAUGAAGACCAGGAAAAGGCAGGAAUUUUAAAUAACUUUUUCUCCUCCGUAUAUAUUAAGGAAGAACCCAUGGCAAUAGAUGUGCAAAUGAUUGCUACUAAAAACUUGCAGAAUAAUUGUAAUUGGUUAACUCAAGACAAGGUGCUGCAGCAACUAAAGAAAGUUAAUAUAAACAAAGCUCCAGGGCCUGACGGUAUCCAACCACGUGUACUUAAGGAACUAAGUGCAGAAAUAAGUGAACCUCUGUUUUUAAUCUUUCAAGAUUCUUUUCUUUCAGUAAGUGUUCCGGAGGAUUGGAGGAAGGCAGAUGUGGUUCCUAUAUUCAAAAAGGGUUCAAAAUCCUUGCCUGGAAAUUAUAGACCUGUGAGCUUAACUUCUGUGCCUGGUAAAAUAUUUGAAAGUUUAUUAAGGGAUAAUAUUCAAGAAUUCCUUGAGAAGAACAUGGUUAUCAGCAAAAAUCAGCAUGGUUUUAUGAAGCACAGGUCAUGCCAAACUAACUUGAUUGCGUUCUACAAAGAAGUAAGUAGAAGUAUAGAUCAGGGUGUUGCCGUGGAUGUGAUCUUUUUGGAUUUUGCCAAGGCAUUUGAUACAGUUCCACACAAUAGAUUAGUGUUCAAACUCAAGGAAAUCGGUCUAGAUGAAAAUGCUUGUUCUUGGGUAGAACAUUGGCUUAAAACAGAGUACAAAGAGUUGUCAUUAAUGGUAAAUUUUCAAGCUGGACAGAGGUGGCAAGUGGUGUCCCUCAGGGGUCUGUUCUGGGACCCUUUCUAUUUAACAUGUUUAUAAAUGAUCUUGAAGACCGCAUUGAAAGUCAUGUUUCAGUGUUUGCAGAUGACACAAAACUUUGUAAAACAAUAUAAUGUGAGCAAGAUAUUACUUUGCUGCAGAGGGAUUUAGAUAGACUGGGAGACUGGGCACUCAAAUGGCAGAUGAAAUUUAAUGUUGAAAAGUGCAAAGUUAUGCACUUCGGCGUAAAGAAUACACAAGCAACGUAUACCCUUAAUGGAAGCGAAUUAGGGAUAACAACACAUGAAAAGGACUUGGGAAUUGUUAUAGACAACAAACUAUGCAACAAUGUGCAAUGUCAAUCAGCAGUGGCCAAGGCCAGUAAGGUAUUGUCAUGCAUGAAAAAGGGCAUUCAUUCUCGGACAAGAAUAUAAUUUUGCCUCUUUAUAAAUCACUGGUAAGACCCCAUAUUGAAUAUGCUGUGCAAUUUUGGGCACCUGUUCUAAAGAAGGAUAUUAUGGCACUAGAAAAAGUGCAGAGGCGGGCUACAAAAUUAAUAAAAGGAAUGGAACAUAUCGGCUAUGAAGAAAGGUUAACAAAUUUAAACCUAUUUAGUUUAGAAAACGUCGCCUGAGAGGGGAUAUGAUAACAUUAUACAAAUAUAUUCGGGGCCAAUACAAACCAUUGUGUGGAAAUCUAUUCACAAACCGGACUUUACAUAGGACACGAGGCCAUGCAUUUAGACUGGAAGAAAGAAGAUUUCAUCUAAGGCAAAGGAAAGGUUUUUUUACUGUAAGAACAAUCAGGAUGUGGAAUUCUCUGCCUGAGGAAGUGGUUUUAUCAGAGUCCAUACAGAUGUUCAAACGGCUACUAGAUGCAUACUUGCAAGAACAGAAUAUUCAAGGAUAUAAUCUUUCAAUGUAGGGUAAUAACUGCUUGAUCCAAGGAUAAAUCUGACUGCCAUUCUGGGGUCAAGAAGGAAUUUUUUUCCUAGCUUGUUGCAAAAUUGUGUUUCAAACUGGGUUUUUUUGCCUUCUUUUGGAUCAACAGCAAAAAACAAAUGUGAGGAAGGCUGAACUUGAUGGACGCAAGUCUCUUUUCAGCUAUGUAACUAUGUAACUAUGUAAAAGUCUAGAUUUACGUAGACUGUUUGCUACAUUUGGCACUGCAGCGUUCUUUCAAUAAAUCUUUAUUUACGCAGGAGUUGGCAUACACAGAAAAAAAACCCCCAGAAUAUUAAAUAUGAAUAUUACAUCCAACACAAACGUUAUAGAACAUUAUAACCAUGAACCACAGAGUCAACCCAUGAAACAUGCAUGGACACCCACUGAACCUUCUUUAUAGAAUACUGUUACGGCACCCCCAGGCAUAAAAAGGGAUUAAAAGCAGUUUAGUAGAUCUUCCCCUUCCAGAGACACAGGCACAGCUACUGUAGACACCAAUCCACCGAACCGGAGAAGCAUAUGAAUGCUCUCAAACAUACGAAUGCUGUAGACAGCUGAAUAGGAAAAACCAUACGAAUAGGUUUACACUCCUAGCAGUCAAACUGGAACAGCAUUCAAUAAAUCCCCCCCAAGUAUGAGACAAGGCUCAGUUUUGAGGGUCAAGCAGGAACAGACACAGCUGUGGGUUUAUUGUUCUUAAAUACACAUUAGUACCACCCACAGGGUUUUGGAACACAACCAAUAAACACCUACAAUACACUCAGACACUCCCACACAAAAUCCUCCCCUCUGCCUGUGAUACAAUUACCUUACACAAUGGGUAAUGUAAUUAGCACAAGCAGAGAAAUACAAUAUUUCCACAUUAUUCAUAACUUGAAAAGUAUGCAGCACAUUCACAUUUUCAGAAUCAACAUACUCCAAAUACAAACAUAUGUCAAAAUCAUCCAAAUUGGUCCAGUGGUUCAAACGAUAGAUCGUAGUCCUUUGUGACCAAAAGAAGCAUGGCUUUUCUGCCCAAAACCAGUUCCACAGAGUCUUCUAUCCUGGAGAUAAUUGUGAAGUAAUCCAAUUAUCUCCAAGGACAGAGGCAAAACUCCAUUGAACACAUGGCAGCAAAAGACAAUAAAACACAUAAAAACAUAUAACUGUGCAGCCAUUGCACAAAUAGGUACAUGCAACAUAUCCCCAGAUAGCUCCGAUCUGAGCGGUCAGUGCCCUUGUUAGUCCAGCAGCCCACCCACAAAACACAAUCAAUAAUACAGCCCACUCACAAUAACUGGUUACUACACCUGGGUAGAGGAGAACUUUGUCCAUGUCCAGGUGCCUCACCAUGGCUGUGUGGGGUACUGGUAAGCUGCCUUGGUGGGUUGCUGAGUGGGCAGAGACCACCGAAUGACCCGGCUCUCGUGUCUUCGCAGGGGAAAAUCAAGCGUUUCAACAUGGGGCCAAAGUCUAAAAGCAGCAGGCGGGCAACCAGGCUCCUCCAAUGCACAGUGGCGAGAUUGGUCACAAAUACUAAAACACAAAAUCAAUGAGAAGAUUCAUCAACAUGCAAAAGGAAAAGUAGAAUGAGUGAAGACGCUACAAAUGAAGCAAAGGAUAGGAAUUAGAGGAAGAGAAGUGGGAAUGAUGUGUUUCUCAUUAAGAACCUUAACCAGAGUAUUUUAUGGAUAUUGAUGGCUAAAAUCAAUCCAGGAAUCCCAUGUUUUUUAAGCAUUAGAUAGGAUAUGGUGGACCAUGGCAGAUAACCAUGGGCGUCUGCAGAAAUGUUUCUGGGGGGCGGGGGAGGAGGCGGUGGGGGGCAAUUGUAAUGACAUCCAUGCUUUGCCUCUUUGUGACAAUGUCAUGAAGGGGAGGCACACAGUCAUCUUUACCUAAAGUGCAGCCAUGCAAAGGGUUAAAAAACCUGAUGCAAAAGUUCAAUAGAAGAAUCAAGUUGCCAUUUUCUAAAUUUGAUGCACACACUGACACAUACAAAUGCACAGAGACACAGAUACACAUACAUACAAAACACUGACAUUUAUACAGAUACAGACACACAUAUAGAUACAAACACUGCCACAAAUGCAGCUGCACAGACACAAGUAAAAACACUGGCGCACAUGCAAAUGCACAAACACAGGUACAAACACUGACACACAUGCAGAUACACAGACACACAGAAGCAAACACUGACCAGACACACACUGAUACACAUGCAGAUUCACACACUCAUAUGCAAACACUGAUGCAGAUGCACAGACAUACAGAUACUGACACCCAUGCAGAUACACAAACACACAUAUACAAACACUGCCACACAUUUUUUUAAAUGCAUGACAAUUUGAAUCGCACAAUAAUUUUUGACUACUUGGGCAAAGAUGCAUUUUGCUUCCACCCUCCCCCCAUAAAUGCAUCUUCACCUGUAUAUUUUUUUAAAACCCCCCCUUUUGAAUUUCUUACCCUCUUUUGUGCUUAUCUCAUCUGUUGAAUAUCUUACCCCUUUUUGUGUAUCUUAUCCCCAUUUCCCCUUUGUGUCUUACACCUCCUUAUGUGUAUCUUACCUUUCCUCUUUGUGUCUUACUUUCCACCAGACUCUUUGUGUGUCACUUACUUUUCCCAUCCUCUUUGUGUGUUUCUCUCCCCCCAGCCCCUCUGUAUGACAUUGUCCCCUUCCCCAGCUCCUCUUUGUGUUACUGUCCCCUUCCCCGAUCUGUCUCACUGCCACCUUCCCAGCUCCUCGGUGUGUGUCAUUGUCCCCUUCCCAAUCCCCUCUGUGUGUCAUUGCCACCUUCCCAGCCACUCAGUGUGUGCAGGGCCAGUGCAAGGAUUUUUGGGUACAUAGGUGAAGAUGUAUCCCCCCCAAAAAAAUAACAUCUUCACCUGCGUGCCUCUUAACUUCACUUUUUGUUUCUUAUCCCCUCUUUUAAAUGUCUUACUUCCUUAGUGUGUCUUACACCUCCCUUGUGUGUCUCUUAUUUCCCCUUUUUGUAUGACUCUUACAUCCUCCCACAUUUUGUGUCUUACUCCUCCCAGCCCCUUUGUGUCUUUUACUCUUCCCAGCUCCUUUGUGUGUGUCUCUCCCCUCCAGCCUCUCUGUGUGUCUUUUUCCCUUCUCAAGCCCCGCUGUGUGCUUCUUUCACAUCCAGCCCCCCUUCCUUCCCUAUCCCUUAGUGUUCCUACCCCCUCCUUUCCCUGUCCCUUAGUGAUUCUCUCCGCUCCCUGUCCCUUGGUGCCCACCCACACCCCUAGUGGUCACCUCCCCUUCCUGGUAUGCCUCACACCUCUCUUGUAGCGUGCCCUGAGUGGAGUGGAUCCUGGUACAAGACCUUCAGUUUCCUGUACCCUGCUCUCUGUGAGCACUUCCUGUCAGUCAGGCCAGGUACAGGAAACAGAAGCUCCUAUACUGCGGUCUGCUCCUCUCAGCCGCGCUACACUCAGUGGUGUUUACACACUGUCAGUCACACACACUCAAUAACAAACACACAGACAUCAGUGACAGACACAGACUCACUGAUCUGACACACAUUCAUUCAUUCACAGACACUCACACACACACUAACAGACAUACACAGUGACACACACUAACAUUGACACACACACACUGAAAGUCACACACAGACUCAAGGGCAAACAGACUCUCCCUGAUUUGACAAACACAUCAACAGAAACACACACACAUUGCGACACACUCAUACAUUCACAUGUACUCACAUACACUCAUAGACACAUACAUUCUCACGCACACAUACACACACAUACACUCACAGACACAAACAUACACACACUCACUAAUUAUUAAUAUUAUUAAAACUAAACAUUUUGCACCCAGCCAGGUUAAUUUUUAAUGCAUUUUUAAAAUAUUGUGAAAUAUUGCAUUUGUUAAUUAGAUACAAAUUGGUUUAACUGCAAUACUUGGGGGAAACCCUUGAAUUUUAACUGAAAUUAUUUGGAGGUCCAGUGGAGGUCCAGUGGGGAUGCUGUGAGGCAUGCAGCUAAAUUGGCAGGGAGGGAGCUCUGAUCUUCUUGCUCUGCUCCCUCACACCUAGAGGAUUGUCUACUGAUGCCGGGAGCCGUAAUGACAUCAUAUUUCAGCUCCCGCAGCAUUAGCAAACGGCGUGCGAGGAAGCAAAGCAGGUGGAUCAGAGCUCCCUCACCGCCUCGGAUGCCAAUUCAGCCGCACGCUGUGCUGUGGGGUCCAGAAGGUGGUCUGGUAGGUGGGAGGGCUUCCCUUCUGCCGGUCACUGGAAUUUUGCACCCCCAGAGCUGGUGUGCCUUAUGGACACGCCAGACCUGAGUGUGUAUCACUGUCCCUGUCCCCUUCUCAGACCCUUGGUGUAAUUUUCCUCUUCCACAGCCUGUCUGUGUCAUUGUCACCUUCCCAGCCCCUCAGUGUAUGACACAGUCACCUUCCCCAGCCCCUCUGUGUGUCUCUGUCCCAUUCUCAGCCCCUCUGUGUCUUUUUGCCCUUUCCCAGCCCUUCAGUGUGUGUCAUUGUCCAUUUCUCAGCCCUCUGUUGUGGUCCCCUUCUCAGCUAUUCUGUUUGUCUCUGCUCCCCAGCCCUACUUUUUUUUUGUUUUUUCCCCCCUUUCCUAGCCCAUCCAUGUGUCUCAUUCUCCCCCCCAGAACCUCUGUGUCUUAUUCUUCCCUCCAGACCCUCCAUGUAUCCUAUUCUUUCCCUCUAUGUGUCCUGUUCUGCCCCCAGCCCCUUCAUAUCUUCUGUUUUGCCCCCCAUGUGUCCUGUUCUGCCUGCAGCCCCUCUAUAUCUUCUGUUAUGCCCCCCCAGCCCCUCCAUAUGCCCUUUUCUGCCCCCAAUGUGUCCUGUUCUGCCAGCCCCUCCAUGUGUCCUGUUCUGCCCCUCCAUGUGUCCUGUUCUGCCCCUCCAUGUGUCCUGUUCUGCUCCUCCAUGUGUCCUGUUCUGCCCCCUGCCCCUCCAUGUGUCUUGUUCUACCCCUCCAUGUGUCUUGUUCUGCACCCAGCCCCUCCAUGUGUCCUGUUCUGCCCCCAGCCCCUCCAUAUCUUCUGUUCUGACCCUCCAUGUGUCCUGUUAUGCACCCCACAGCACCUGCAUAUCUUCUGUUCUGCCCCCCAGCCACUCUGUGUUCUGACCUGCCCCACACACACACUUACCUCUUUCCUUUGUGGGCUGGAAGGGGAGGAGUAGAGUCUGUGGUCUGUAGUAGUUGGGGAAGCAGGGAUCCUUCCUGCUUCCCUUCAGUCUGCAGCAGUAAGGGCAGCAGGUACAGGCUGCAUUUAACCCCACUGCCCUUUAGUCCCACCUCUCAUUUAGCUCCACCUCACCUCCUACGUAGCUCUGCUCCCUCUCUAUGAUUUGGGGCUUUACAAAUUUAGCAUUGCUGAAGGUUGCUUAUCCAUAGGGCAUGCCAUCACAUAUGAUAAAAGGUAUCCUUGGACCUGCACUUUUUCCAACAUAAGGCUAUGCAUCUUUCUUUAAUCAUUCAAGACAUGAAAAAAUAAUUAUGCCUUAUAGUGGCUGUCAAAAACAAAACAAAACGCGUUAAUAUUGUAUUAAUGUAGUAUGUUUGCAGAAUAGAUAUGUCACUGUCAUGCUGUAGUACAAGAAAUUAAAGCAGGUUAAAUAGCAUUCGCUAAUAUGAAAUAACCUACAAAUGUAUCCAUAUGAACCCAAUCCUUAGUUCAUUUCACCCCUGUCAUCCAGCAUAUAAUUAUUUUCAUUCAAACAAUAAAACACUUUGGUGACAAAGUAGCAAAAACACCAUUUAUGACAUUCGGAAGCACAAAACCAUUUCUUGCCUGAUCUUUGUCAAUUCGGAAAGUAAAGAAAAAAAUAAUUAUUUAUGAAUCGCUUACCAUGAUUACGUUCACUAAUUUUGUAAUAUAAAUGGCCUUGUUACAUAUUGGUUUAGCAUGCAGUGAGCUGCAAAAAGCAGUUUGAGACUGUGUAUCAUUAUGUAGUUAAUGUAGUUGAGAGUAGAUAAAGGUGAAUUUCUGUUUUUCACCAAAGCUUACAUUGUUUUUUGUCUUUUUUCUUCUAAAUCAUCCUGUUCAAGAUUGUAUGUCCAAUUUAGUGAAACUAUUUAACAAGGAAGCAAAUUUAAUAUUUUUCAGAUUUGAGAUGUUUAUAUUAUAUUUUUUUUUGUUGGACAAAAUCUUAAUAUGUGAGGAUGAAUGAACCUUGUCCACUUAAACUUUCAAUAAUAUAUUAUCUCUUCCUCAACAUUCCUUUGCAUAUUCUUGAACAUUGCAUACCAGCCCUUUUAUCAGAGUCUAGACACAUGAUACUAAUCAGGUCCUGGAUUCAUUCUACAACUGAAAUAUUUUAUCCCUCUUGUUAACUUAAGACUUUAUUUUAAACCAUAUUAAGCCUUUAUCAAAUUAACACUUUUUUUUUUUUUUUUUUUUUAAUGGAUACCAAUACAUGUAGAAGCCAUUAUUAAUCAUACUAUAUCCCACAGCACUGUCCAUGUUAUAGACUCAUUUAGCGUCAAGGUUAAUUUUUAAUGCGUUUUUAAAAUAUUGUGAAAUAUUGCAUUUGUUAAUUAGAUACAAAUUGGUUUAACUGCAAUACUUGGGGGAAACCCUUGAAUUUUAACUGAAAUUAUUAUUUGGACAUUCAUUAAAAGCAAUUUGGAGAAUUUUACCAAUUUCAAAAUUCAAAUAAUUUAUUAUUUAUAGUGCCCUAUUAACAGGUUAGGUGACUGGUUCGUGCUGCAAGGGUUAAAGAAGGUAUUUACUUACCUUUCAGCUUUCAUAACAACCGUCUCCUCCUUGAAGCUCCACCUCGAAGCUCCACCUCUUUGACUAAGAUCAUUGAGAUCAAGAAUCUCAGCAAAUCCAAUGCUUUUCCUUCGAAAAGCAUUAGGAGGCUAGCGUGCAUGCAUGUCAAAAUGCUGCUUUGUGCCAAUCAGAUUAUCUGAUUGAAAUAGGAGAGUUUUACUUUGCUUUUUCACGUAAGCACCUCUUGUGGAUUUCAGUAAGACAACCAUCAGAUGCAGUUAACCUACAAUGUCUUCAGCUGCAGUGAGGGGCAAAAUGUAGCACCCAGCCAACUUAAUUGAGAUGGUCUAGGUGCCUAUAGUGUCCCUUUUAAACAUUGCUGUGUUGCAAUGCAACAUAUCUGUCUACAGUGCCUUGCAAAAGUAUUCACCCCCUUGACUUUUUACCUAUUUUGUUACAUUACAGCCUUCAGUUCAAUGUUUUAUUAAUCUGAAUUUUAUGUGAUGGAUCAGAACACAAUAGCCUAAGUUGGUGAAGUGAAAUGAGAAAAAUAUAUACAUAAAACUAUUUUAAAAAAAUAGAAAACAGAUAAUUGGCAUGUGCGUAUGUAUUCACCCCCUUUGUUAUGAAGCUCUGGUGCAACCAAUUACCUUCAGAAGUCACGUAAUUAGUGAAAUGAUGUCCACCUGUGUGCAAUCUAAGUCUAAGUGUCACAUGAUCUGUCAUUACAUAUACACACCUUUUUUUGAAAGGCCCCAGAGGCUGCAACACCUAAGCAAGAGGCACCACUAACCAAACACUGCCAAGAAGACCAAGGAAUUCUCCAAACAAGUAAGGGACAAUGUUGUUGAGCAGUACAAGUCAGGGUUAGGUCAUAACAAAAUAUCCAAAUCUUUGAUGAUCCCCAGGAGCACCACCAAAUCGAUCAUAACCAAAUGCAAAGAACAUGGCACAAGAGCAAACCUGCCAAGAGACGGCCGCCCACCGAAACUCACAGACCGGGCAAGGAGGGCAUUAAUCAGAGAGGCAGCUGUUCUGGAGGAGCUUCUGAGUUCAACAGCAGAGACUGGAGUAUCUGUACAUAGGACAACAAUAAGCCGUACGCUCCAUAGAGUUGGGCUUUAUGGCAGAGUGGCCAAAAGAAGGCUAUUACUUUCAGCAAAAAACGAAAUGGCACGUAUUGAGUUUGCGAAAAGGGAGACUCCCAAAAUGUAUGGAGGAAGGUGCUCUGGUCUGAGACUAAAAUUUUACUUUUCAGCCAUCAAAGAAAACGCUAUUUCUGGCGCAAACCCAACACAUCACAUCACCUCACCCAAAGAACACCAUGCUGCCACCACCAUGUUUCACUGUGGGGAUGUUUUUCAGCAGCCGGGACUGGGAAACAGGUCAGAGUUGAGGGAAAGAUGGGUGGUGCUAAAUACAGGGAUAUUCUUGAGAAAAACCUGUACCACUCUGUGCGUAAUUUGAGGCUAGGAUGGAGGUUCAUCUUCCAGCAGGACAAUGACCCCAAACACACUGCUAAAGCAACACUCGAGUGGUUCAAGGGGAAACAUGUAAAUGUGUUGGAAUGGCCUAGUCAAAGCCCAGACCUCAAUCCAAUAGAAAAUCUGUGGUCAGAUUAAAGAUUGCUGUUCACAAGUGCAAACCAUCCAACUUGAAGGAGCUGGAGCAGUUUUGCAAGGAGGAAUGAGAAAAAAUCCCAGUGGUAAGAUGUGGCAAGACUUAUCCAAAGCGACUUGGAGCUGUGAUUAACUCAAAAGGUGGCUCUACAAAGUAUGGACUUUAGGGGGGAUGAAUAGUUAUGCACAUUGACUUUUUCUGUUAUUUUGUCCUAUUUGUUUGCUGCACAAUAAAAAAUAAAUAAAAAAAAACCUUCAAAGUUGCGGGCAUGUUCUGUAAAUUUGUAAAUGGUAGUGGAUUCAGCGCUUAGUGUCUCAAUAGAAUAGUGAAAAGUAUAUAUAAGUAUAGGCAGCAACCUAAAAUUAAGACAUUCCCUCACAGUACAUCAAAAGGGGAAAAUCUGAAAUAUAAAGGGUUAUAGGUCGCGUCAAAAAACCAUAUGCAGAAAACAUAUAGCAAAUAAUAGAACCAUAAAUCAAAACUGAAAUAUCAUCAUGAGAAACUGCUAAAGAUAUAGAAACAAUGUAAUAUGUACUUACAUAUAUCAGUACAUUAGAACAGAAAUAAGUCCUAGAGUAAGCAGAAAAUGGUCAAGUCCACUUGAAAAACUGAAGAAUGGUAAUCGUCCAAACAGAGGUAGAGGAAAUAAUUGAUGUUUCUUGUUCCGGAUAAAAAUAUGCAAAUAGAACAAAAGGAAAUUCCAAUAGUGUAGACUGUAGCUUGAGCUUCUUUAUGAAGAGUCAAAACAAAAGGGUAUCGCACUCACCUAUUGUGGAGCUUGAACUAGCUCAGGUAUUAUUCGCACUCAGUGGUAUUAGUCCCCCAAUGAUGGGGUGUAGACGUAUAUAGGUGAAGGAAAUCCUUGAGAGAAAAAAGGUAACACAAAAUAGUGCUCACUGUAUAAGUGUUAAGUUAUACGUGAAAUAAAAUUAUAUGUUGAAUACUCACAUUUGGGUGAGCAGGAUAUACUGCUCACUUAUAUGGCGCAGGUGGUAUAAUCCCCACCUAGGGUUCUUGAGCAAAAGGGUAGUGAUGUAUAUAGAUAUAACCAGGUCCAAAAAUAAAAUAAGACAAGAUAAAAACUAAAAUAAAAGGUAUAUGGCAAGAAAGAAAAAAUAUAUACUAGCCAAUAAUCCUUUAUUAAUACACAUAUAAAAUUAUAAAAUAGUCAAAACACAUUUCGCCACACAGGGCUUUAUCAACUGUCUAAUUGCCUUCCCUCUAUUACGAUAUGAGGAUGAAGGGUUAAGCUCAGCUCUAAGGGGAUGUGCCAUUGGCAUUAUGACGUGGCAUUUUGGACCCACCUCCUGGGGGAGGGCACCUGUAGAUCUAUGACGCAGCGGUGGGAUCCGCCUCUAUCCCACUCCCUUCCGAUACUCAAACAAGGUAGAGGGGAGGAGUCCCCACCUUCUGAUGUAGACGCAGCUUUUUUUCCCUGCCUAUGCCAAGCCUCCCCAUUUACCUGAUAAGAAUCCCCAGCUGAUUAUUGGACUCCACGGAUUGGCCCCUGGAUCUUUUUAAAAACCAUCACAGUCACAAAGGUAUUUUUAGCCCCUGACGAAGGUGCAACCUCCACGCACCGAAACGUGCGUCGGGUUCUUUGUUUUGUGUUCUUUUUCACUAAUGGUAGCACUAGGUAUUUAGCACUUCUAUAUUCUUUUCUUUCAGGCCGGAGUUUAUUUAGUUUUUGGGGGAUGUUUUGAGAGAAGUUUCUCCAUUUAUUAGGGACAGUAUAGAACACCGUCGAAGGUGUUUGUCUCAGGAGCUGGCAGGACUGUUUAGCUUUGCUCUAUUUGUUGUUGGAGCCUGUUCUAGUAUACAAGAUUUCUAUACCACCAGUAUAUAGGAUCUCUUAAGGUGUCCGAUUCAAGAGCAGUCAGUUUACUUCUUUCAAUUUGCUAAGUGGGUUUUUGGAGCCUCAUUAGGACAGCUUUAUACACCCCUUGAGGUGUUCUAUUUAGGAGCUGACAGGGUUUGUAGCACUGCAGUAUUUGGUCUGAAGCCUCCCUUUCCUAUUUAACCCUUACAGCGUCCUUUAAUUAUAUGAGUCCAUGACCUCCUGUAUAGACUUUGAAAUGUGUACUAUUACCAUUUAGCAGUUUUUCUUUUACUAGCCAAUUUCUUUAUUGGUGUGGAUUACCUCUAUUUUAUGUUUAACUGCCCUAUGCUCUAUACUUUAUCCCUUUAUAUAGAAACUAUCAUUGUCCUUUUUUGCUUCACUGAAUUUGUUCCAUCUAUAGUGCCUCUUUUCCACAAAAUAAAGUGUCUAUUAAUUUUGGCACCUCUUUGGAACGGUUAUAUGUGAUCAAUUAGGUUAGGUCACCCCCACUACCACUCCGUGCUGAUUUACCUUUUACCUAUAGUAUAUAUUUGUAAUCAUUAUUGUCCUUGACUUUUUUCAAAACCAGAUUUGAGCCUCUCUUCCUGGAGACUCUAACUUAUUAUUUUCGUUUCUUUACAAUAUUUGGGGUACAAGCCACUUUUGGUGGAUCUGGAACCACCAUACUGACCUCUGUGCGUUCGAUUCCCACAUUGUGUGAGAUCGAUACACACAGUCUCUCUCUUUUUUCAUACUGGAGUUUCACUAUAACUUGCAACAUUGAGGCAGAAACAGAAGAGCUGUAUAAAGUCAUCAUCUCAACAUUUUCAAAUCACUGUUUAGUGAAUAAACUCCUAAGUGAAAUCAGAGAGACCAGUGAGAAAUGAAGGGAAAGGGAACAGACCAGGAAGGCAAUUAGGAAAGGGAUAGAGAGAUUGUUGAGGUAUUUAGGAAACCGAUACAGACUAGGAAACAUUUUUUUACACACACAUUGUCACUUGCAUACUCUCACUAACAUACACACACAAUGUCACUUACACACUCUCACUAACACAUGCACUCUUACUGACACACACACACAAUGCCAAUUACACACUCUCACUAACAUACACACUGUUACUGACUUACACACUCUAACACACACACACUUACUGACAUUCACCCACACAAUGCAAUUACACACUCUCAAUAACAUACACACAUACAUGUUACUUACACAGUCUCACUAACACACACUCUCACUGACACACAUAUACACACACACAAUGUUAUUUACACACUCUCACUAACAAACACACAAUGUUACUUAUACCAGUUUACAUAUAGUCACAAUUUAUUAAAACACCCACAAAUGUAACACACCAAUUUUUAAACAUACAUACAAUAACCAGCCCCCCUCAUCCUCCAGAUAUGCCAUACCUUUUUUUCCUGGAGGGGGAACAGGAGAGCCACGCACUGUAAGCACAGCCGGUUUCCUGCUCCCUCCAGAGUGCUUCCUGUGUUCACAAGCAGGGGGCAACUGGGAUGCCAGGUCACAUCCCAGCUUCCCCUGCCUGCAGGAAGCAGUGUUCUCUGCCAUGUAGUCUGCAUUUGCAAACAUUUGUGAAACAAAUUGGUCAUUCUGAAGAACUCUGUGAAUUCAAAUGUGGUUCUGUGAUAGAACCACAUAGAUGAUUCAUCCCUGUAAGAUAUUCCACAGUCCAUUAGUAAGGGUAUUAUUAGAAAGUAAAGAGACAAAUGAUGGGAGUAAAAAUGUCAAUGGUCUAAGGCAGAUGAGGGGCAUGUACCCAAACUAUUAUUAUUGGAAAGUAGAAGCGUUAGAGCAGCAACUCAAUCUGUUGAUUCCAUAGCUGAAGAGUUCCAAACUUCCACUGGCAUUAAUAACAGCACAAAAACUGCGCAUCGAACAUUUCAUAGAAUGGGUUUUUGUGGCUGAGCAGCUGCAUGCAUUCUUCACAUGACCAAGUACAAUGCCAAUCAUUGGAUAAAGUGGUGUAAAACACGCUGCCACUGCACUCCGGAGCAGUGGAAAUGUGUUCUGUUGAGUGACGAAUCAAGCUUCUCUGUUUAGGAGUCUGAUGGGUGAAUGUGGGACUGUUUUGCAGCAGUUGGGCUAGGCCCCUUUCUACAAGUGAAGGAAAAACUUAAUGCUUCAGCAUACCAACACCUUUUGUACAAUGCUAUGCUUCCAACUUUGUGCACAGUUUGAGGAAAGCCCUGUUCUAAUCUAGCAUCACUGUGCCCCAGCGCACAAAGCAAUGUCCAUAAAGACAUGCUUGGAUGAGUUUGGUGAGGAAGAACUUGACUGGCCUGCACAGAGUCCUGACCGCAAUCCCAUCGAACACCUUUUGAGAUGAUAUGGAAUGUAGAUUGCAAGCCAGUCCUUCUAGUACAAUGUCAGUGCCUGACCUCACAAAUGCUCUACUGAAUGAAUGGACAAAAAUUCGCACAGAAGCACUCCAAAAUCUUGUUGAAAACUUCCCCAGUAGAAUGGAAGCUGUUAUUGUUGUAAAGGGGAAAAUAACUGCAUAUUAAUAUAAUGUAUUUAGAAUUCAAUGUUAUUACCGUUCCCGUUGGUGUAAUGGUCCGGUGCCCCAAUACUUUUGUUCAUAUAGUGUGCACUGACACACACACAUCACCCACCCACCCAUGAACUCUAUUACAGCAAAUUGAGAAUGCUUUGAAAGCCAUGUGCUCUGAGUAUGAACCAAUAUUUUUAGCUGCAUAUUAUACCUCCCUGGCAGUAAGACAGCCAGGAUGAAACUCCUGACUGCCAGGGAGAUAUAAAAGGGUUAAUUUAUAAAAGUGCUAAUUUCUAUUGAAGUUGCCACUUUUAUAAAAAACUAUUCAUGAAUAAACAAGUGCUUCAGCAACCCAAACUGCUUUGUGUGUUUGCAGGCUUCCUUUAACUGUAGAUAGGCAUGAAGUCACCUUUUCAGUGUUUGAGCUCACAAGGCAAGUUGUUUCUCAAUGAACACUGUCAUGAUGCUUUUUUUAUAAUCUGAAUAAUGCUGAACACUUGAAAGCAACUUUCUGACAUUAAUUACAGUAUGUUGACCUAUAGUACUCUGUCUUAUAUUUUCUCCAGAUACCAAUUAGCUUCAUAAAAGUACUUGAACUCCAUGACUUGCAUUUUAAUAGCUUAAACAAUUCUAUUGUCCUUCCCCCCCUAUUCAAUUACAUCACUUAAAGUACUCUUUGCCAUGAGAGGCAAUUUUAAAUAGGAUUCAAGAGCACUAAAACAGCAGAUGUGAGACCUUUUCUUUCAUAUUUGAGGAUAAAUAAGGGGUGACCAAUGGUAGAACUGCAAAUCCCUUGGAAUAAAAAAGCACCAUUGGAGUUGUAGUCCAGUUUUUGGGGAUCUACCUUUUGAGCCAACUCUGAUUCAAAGGUUUUUCUCAAGAUGAUCUGGUUAUUUCUAAAUGGCCUCACACCGCUCUCUUGUCAUGUUGGUGUUAUGGACUUGAAUUCUCAUAAGAAAGGUGAAAAAGCAAGGUGUAUAUUCAGGGAGUGCAGUGGAGAGGUUAGUAAACAGGCCCGGACUGGCUAUCGGGCAAACCGGGCAAAUGCCCGGUGGGCCGCGGUGGCCAUGGGCCGAGGCCAGCAGGGGAGGUCCCAGGAUCUCCCCUGCCGGUCUAUGCANNNNNNNNNNNNNNNNNNNNNNNNNNNNNNNNNNNNNNNNNNNNNNNNNNNNNNNNNNNNNNNNNNNNNNNNNNNNNNNNNNNNNNNNNNNNNNNNNNNNGGGCCGGCGCUAUCCGAGAGCCGGCCCCGCUGUUUUCCAUGGAGGGCCAGUGGGGAGAUCAAAGAUCUCCCUCACCGGCCCACAUGCUGUCAGAUCUGGCCGCCGGCAGGGAGAGAGGGAGGGAGACAGCCGCCAGGAGAGGAGGACCCAGCGGAGCUCUAACUUGCAGAUCCGCCGGGUUCCUCUCGCGAGAUCCGGCGCGUUACCAUGGCAACACGCCGGUCUCGCAAGAGUGAACUCUAGCCCCACAGGCUAGAGUUCACUCACCCACGAGGACCACCAGGGAACACUGCCUCCCAGGUGCCAGCGUGCCAUUCCCCCCCCUCCCAGGCUAAAGGGAGGGGGGUAUUUAAUGCCUAUUUUUUUUUCUUUUGCCCCCCCAACACACACAAUCCAUUCUAACAUUUAUACAGCACUCACACCAAUCACACACAGCACUCUCACACACAGCACUCUCACACCCAUCACACACAGCACUCACAGACAUCACACACAGCACUCUCAUUCACACCACUCUCACACACAUCACACACAGCACUCUCACACCCAUCACACUCAGCACUCUCUCACACACGGCACUCUCUCACACACCCCACUCUCUCACACACGGCACUCUCACACACACAUACUGCACCCCUCACAUACACACAGAACUCCCCCAACACACUGCACCACACACAUACACAAUACUUCCAAGUGUGUGUGUGUAUAUAUAUAUAUAUAUAUAUAUAUAUACCCACACACACACACACACACACACACUACACUCUUAACAUACACACUCUGGAUCCCCUAUACAUACACUAGAUUCCUUGUAAGCAAACACAUACUACACCCCUAAACACACACAUCAUCACCUAUACACACACACGCACACUAUAGCCUCUAUGCACACACUUGCUAUAUCCCCAAUACACACAUUCUCUAAAGCCCAUAGCCACAUAUGCAUCACAUUACACCACUUUACACCACAAACACAACAUGACUAAAACCAACCUUAUUACACAAUACCACACCACAAUCAGCUCACUCUACACACACGCAAUACCACAAGCAGGCUCCAAACACAUGCACAAUACCUUUCCUAGCCCUUUUGUCUCCUGGUAUCCAUUUAUAGAGACACCAGAGACAAGUUGCAAGGAAACACAGUGCAAGCAUGUUAUUAAAUUUGCUUGCACUGUGCAGAACAAAUACAGAGCUUUUUUCUCAUGCUAGAGCUCUUCAGCAGAGCUCUGCGCAUGGUCUGCCCUGGAAGAGCAUUGAACCAACAUGCUCACUUUGAGAGGGGGCGUGUUUGUCAUUGGUGAUGACAAAACACACCUCCUCUGCCCCGCCACCUUCUUAGUGGGCUGCUGUGUUAAAAAAAUGCCCGGGCCGAAUAUUUCUCCCAGUCCAGCCCUGUUAGUAAAGUUUUAUUAAAUUACUCCAAUUUCUGGAAAGCCAAAUCUGGUUUGUAUAAAAGGACUGGUUGUCAAACUCCAUCUACUUUGUGACAUUGGCUGCGAGUUUUAUGUAGGUCGUUGAUCAUUUUAGAGUGAAGCCCCAUCCAUUUAAGCAUUCUAAUUGCUUUAUAAGAUUUAGAAUAGAAAAGUGAAUGUGGUUAUUCUGGAUUAAUCUGUGUACUGCAAAAUAUUUACAUAAUAUAAAAUUACAUAUAUUUUUGAGAGGGGGAACAUUUUCCCACUAUUUGGUUCGCCGAUCAAUUAAGAAAAAGUAACCAGUAGAGUGAAACACAAGAACUGUAAAAACAAAUCUUUAUAUUUUUAUUAACACUACAGCGUUAGGUAUACAAAUAUGUAUUCCUAGUGCUAUAGAGCCCCAGUCACCAUUUAGGUGAUGAGGGCUCCUUUCCGUGGCGUAUAAAUUGUUAAUUAGCCAUUUAUUUGCUUACCUUAAUCCAGCGCCGGGCUCCCUCGACACUUGUGACCUCUCCUCCUCCUCCUCCUCCCAAGUGGAGCCGAAUGUCAUACGCGCCCAGAGGUGUGCACGCAUUCAAACCCGCCCAUAGGAAAGCAUUACUCAAUGCUUUCCUAUGGGGAUCUUUUUUGACGCUGGACUCCAUGAGGACAUCAUGCGUUAAAUAAGUGCGAUAUACUGUGUGCAAAUUGCGGAAGCGGCCUCUAGUAGCUGUCAGGGAGACAACCACUAGAGACUGGAUUAUCCCUGCAGUGUAAACCUAGCAGUUUCUCUGAAGUUGCUAUGUUUUCAGCUGCAGGGUUAAAACUAGCAGGACCUGGCACCCAGACCACUUCAUUGAGCUGAAGUGGUCUGGGUGUCUAUAGUGGUCCUUUAAAUAUAUAAAUAUAGAUUAUAUUUAUUUAACUGUUCUUCAUUUUUUCCAUCUAUUGAAACCUUCUUACUUGAUCAGUGAAUAAGAUCAACAUUUAGUAACUGUCCCCUAGCCAUCAAUCAUUUAUUUAUCCCAUCCAUUAAUUUUUUUUUUUUUUACAAGUUUGUUUUAUGGUGCCCAGGCAGGAAUUCAGAAUCACAAAUCAAAACGAACAUGUUUAGCCACUGUGCAACUAAUUUGGUUAGUGGUUUGGGUAUACUUUAGGUUGGAAUACAGGAAUCAGAACCCUGUAUCCUUAAGGGCUUAAAUGUGAUGCAGCAGCUUAACAUAAUAAUGACUGUGAUAAUAGGACUUGGUACAGCAGGUGAGAAGCUUUUAGUAGGAUAUGGUGAGUAUCAGAAUGAAAAGCCAUCUGUUUUUAGUAGGUGAAUAAAAAAAAUAAAUACAUUUUUAUAUAUAUAUAUAUAUAUAUAUAUAUAUAUAUAUAUAUUUAUCUAUGUUGUUGAUUUAAGCUGCAUAAACUCAUUCAGGGAGCAAGCAAUGCGUAUACAUGCCUUAGGCCUCGUUAAUGCGAAGGGUUUCCCUGUAGAAAUGUGUACAGUAAUUAUUCAAAAUUGUAACUCACAUUACCGAGUUUAAAUCAAUAGAGGCAAGUUGAUUUUAUAGACAUGUAUUCUUGCUUUUUGACUAUACAUGUACAACUUUUUUUAAUUUUUAUUAUUUAUUCAUUAAUUUCUUUCUGGGAUGAACACACAUCAAAACUGUGUGACCAUUAAUUCUGCUUUUUUUUUUUUUCUGCAAUCUUUAACCCUAGAUCCUUUUUCAAUAUGUUGUGACAAGCAGAACAAACAAAAUACAAUUUAAUUUCUACAAGUUUUAAAUGCAGAUCUCUUCGAUGGGCAUUUAAAACAGAUUUAGCAAAUAAGUUGCUUAAUGUCUCUAAAAUGUCCCUAGGCUUUUGUCCCAACGAUUUAUUCUAUUACAGUGCAAACUGCUUUGUCAUUCUAUUUUCUCAACAAAUGUGCAUUUUUUUGUUUUAAUUUCCAAAAAACCUUUAAUGUCCUGAGCAUCUCUAACUUAAUUUUAAAUACUAUGUCUAUUAAACCAAUUCACUGUUUUGUUUUAUUUUUCCUAAACUAAACAACAGUCGAUGCAGUUCCUAUAUUAAUCCACUGACUGGUAUAUACACUGAACAAAAUUAUAAACGCAACACUUUCGUUUUUGCCCCCAUUUUUCAUGAGCUGAACUCAAAGAUCUAAGACUUUUUCUAUGUACACAAAAGGCCUAUUUCUCUCAAAUAUUGUUCAUAAAUCUGUCUAAAUCUGUGUUAGUGAGCACUACUCCUUUACCGAGAUAAUCCAUCCACCUCACAGGUGUGGCAUAUCAGGAUGCUGAUUAGACAGCAUGGUUAUUGCAAAGGUGUGCCUUAGGCUGGCCAUAAUAAAAGGCCACUCUAAAAUGUGCAAGACAUGACAAGUUCAGGUUUUUAAGUGUGAAUUUUCAUGGAGGGUUUUGAUGCGUCCGUGUCCCACUUUGGAGCACUUGAGCAGGGUAUAUAUUAUAACUACACCAUAAAGGCAUACUAUUUCUUAAAGAAGACAUCCCAGGGCAUUUCAAAAGGCAUAUUUUGAACCAUAGCAUGGGAUAAUUUUUCCACUAGCUUGUACGAAGUGUAGUGAUAAUCAGCAUUUUUUUCUACCUUUUUGACACACAAAGUGAGUUUGCACAGUAUAUUUUGCAAAUCGUAUGUGUACCACAACUGUAUAAUACUACAUAUGUUGCUCAGCUAUGUCGACUGAGUAUAACAAUAUGCCAAUAUGUACCUUUGUCAGGUAUAUGUGGACAUGGAAGGGGCACAUUUGAGACAGUCAUUCCAGUUUUUUUCAAACUUUGAAUUUUUAUGCAGUGUCCAUCUUCCAUUUUGGAGUAGUUUAGCUGGUUGGUUAUUCACACAUACAUACUUCCCCACAAACACAUACUAUUUAUUAAAGAAUACACCCAGAGGUAAUUCAAAAGGCAAAUUUUGAACCUUAGCGUUGGUUCAUUUUUUCUCUAGUUUGUUCCAGGUGUAAUGGUAAUGAGCAUUUUUUUAAACUUUUUUUUAGAACUAGUUUUUAAACUUUUUUUUGCUUAUUCAUUUUUUAAACUUUCCUAAACUUUCUUCAAACUUUAUUUUUUACAGAUUUAACAUUUUUAUAAAAACAUAUUUUUUUACCGUUAGCCCCAAGCUAGCAGUAAGCAGCACUAACCGUAAGUUCCUCAAUUUCCCAUAACUCCCACCCACCCCAGCUAGCAAAAUAUAUCAUUUUAAAAUAUUUAAAUUAAUUAAUUAAAUAAAUUGAAUCCAUGAGGGUUAAAAAAACAAAUAAAAGUUAACCCUAAGAGGUUAAAAAAUAUAUCAGAUCACUGUAUAAUACUGUGAUCUGUAUUUUGAUCACUGUAGGUAGUGAUCAACUGGCAGGGAAGAGGAUAAUUUUUAUUAGGACUGGGUAAAAGGGGGGGAUUUUUUUUUUUACAGACUGUCAGUGCGAUCGCUGCUGCAGGGGCAGCGCAAACGGGUGCUCCCGGGCUGUCUCUAAUAAAAAGGCAGACCAGAGGAGUGUUAAUCCCGCGAUCGCCAUGAUCUGGGGUUAACUUUACCGCAUGACGGACCUGGUCCGUCAUUCGGCAUUAACUGCUUCCCCGCCAUGACGGACAGAGUUCCAUUAUCCGGUGGGAAAGGGUUAAAGUUGAAUGAUAGGAUUGCAGAUUCUUAUUAAUUAAAAGUAAGAUAAUAUCAGAUAAGAACAGUGCGUCCCAUCCCAUAGUAUUAUACUGCAUCACAUUCAACAAGGUAUGUAGGGGGUUAAGAUGCCUUCAACAGGGAGUUGAGACCUAAGGGUUUGUAGCCUGCAUGUCUGCUAUAGAAGCUAAAGCCCCCACAUAUACAUAUAACCAGUGUAAAACUUGACAGUUGGGGGAGGGAGUCAUGGGAGAGACAGUGCAUCAGGGGUUUAAAUCCCGCUGGGCCGCAGGAUCAAGGCAAGUGCACGUAAGUGACAUUAAACAAUGCUCCUGUGAACACACCACAUGUGGCUUUGGAAAUAGUAUAAAGUAAGUAAAUGAGAAAAAUGAACUGAAACCAAUAAAUUAAAUGAUAUAUAAAAACACAAACUAAAUUUCAGUUUGGAAGACAUUCAGGGUUUUGAAGCAGAUGAUGGGUCCCCUCACAGAGCUGUCGACACAAAUGGGUGAAUUCUCUCAGGGUCCCAGACAGUCAGAGUCACUGUGGCCACAGGAAUAGAUGAUAUAGUGGCAGAGGCUGAUAUUUUCUCCAAGGCAUCUCAAGUCCCUCGGUAUUAGGCUGCAUGGCGGGCCCCACCAGUAUAGUACUUUGUGAAUAGUGAAUUCCUUAGUUAGGGGGCACAGAGAGUGCUCCUCAAAAUGAAUCAGUGAUUUAUUACGGACAGCUGCCAUAAAAGCGAGUCAGUCCUGGCUCUGCUGAAACCGAAUCAUAAUGUCCCUGCUUGUCCCAGAGUCGCGAUUUGUCAGCUUUGGUAUCCAGAACCAGGCGUUUGCCUGUUUGGCGGUGAAGAGGUGGGUAAGUAGCCUGCAGAGAAAAUAAGGAAGAUCUGCUGCCUCUACUUUAUCUGUCAAGCAGCAUAUUUUCACGUUAUUUCAUUGCCUUCUAUCUUUAAAGCCUGCCAUACGGUCUUGAAUUUGUGUCUGAGAGCGGUACAGUGCCUGUAGUUUGUGUUCUAGGCUGGAGAUGCGGGUCUCAUGAGCUGUGGUAUUCAGCUCUGUGGUGUGGAGGCGUGCUGAUACUCCAUUGACACUGCUCCUGGGGCUUAUGUCGGUUGCAAUGUUUUGGCGGAGUUCAUCUAAGAGGCAUCUCAGCUUCUCCUCCAUGACAGGUUGCUGUGCACCUGGCUUGGGAUGUGAGGCAGGAUAGUUUCUCACAGGUUAGGACACAGGUAAAAUUUCUGCAAAGGAGGCCUCGCUAGAUGCCCUGGAAGGCCCGUCCAAUUAUGAUGCCAUUACAGUCAUUCAGGAGGUAUGUGGCCUUUACAAUAGAUUGCCAAUAUCGGCGGUUACUGGAGGUUUGUCAGCUUUAUAAUUCUUUCUUCUGUAUCCCAUAUCUUGGUCAAGGGGAUCAGUACAAGUUGGGGUAAGAGGAGUUGGAAAAACAUUGCUUUUUAUUCUGUUUUUGUAGAUUUGCACAUGGAAAUGCGUUCUGUUAGUAUGGCCGCUGGCUCCACCAUCCGUUUAUCUGCACUUUUAUUGGUACACUUUCUUUAGCACUAUUUCACCACUGUUUAUUAUUUUUAACAAUUUAAAUAAUGAAGAAAAUAUCAACAGUAUAAUAAAGAUAAAAGUACAAAAGUAGAAGAUUCAUUAAUCUGCGUACAAUAAAAAAUAAAAGAAAGCUUGUCUGUCUCAACCUUUUAAUAAUUUAGAUUAUCUACUGCAAAUCUAAAGUAAAUCAAUUAUAAUGUAACCUGUAAUAAGCACUUCCUACAAAUGAAUAAAGUAAUUUACUAGAAUACAUCUAAAGAGCAGCAUUUUAAGAGUAAAUGAAUACUAGUUUUCCAAUUAGGGUAAUACCAUUAUGUAAAUCACUGCACUGCGAGCUGUGGGAAACACACAUAUCAAACUUGCGUACUUAAUCUAAUAAAAAUGAAUAUUGUGAGUGCGAACUAUUAGUAGAGUCACUGUAAAUAGAAUUAAAGGAAGUUCUGCUAAAUUAAAGGGUUUCUCCAACCACCAUGACCACUUAAGAGAUUUAAAGUGGUCAUGGUGGUAAGUGUCAGUAUGUGCAGUGUUUCAGCUUGAAAUACUGCUCAUACUUAGUUAUUGCUAAUUGUGUGCUGGGGGCUAGUUGCACCACCAGCAUACAUGACAUUGGCAGUCCAGAACUAUGCACUGCACGUGACCUUGCUGAUCCACUCCAGGUUUCCCGGGGAAAUUUAGAGAUACCAAUAAAAAUAAUUUAUAUGUGUACGGAUGUGUAGAUGAGAAUGUGUGAUUUUGUGUGUGUGUAUAUAUAUAUAUAUAUAUAUAUAUGUAAUCUAUAUUCUAAAAAUAGUUUCUCACCCCUCCUGGGUUUUAUUUAAUCCUCAUUCUCAGGUCCUCUACCAGAUGUAUGAAGGUUAUGUGCAGUAUCUUAGCUGUUAUUAGAAAUGAACUCUUCUGGACAGCGAUCUCAGAUCUUUUUACUCCAGUUUUAGGUUUAUUUUUUCUGAUUAUUUUACUAUUCAUUAUAUUUACAAAAUAAGAAAAACAAUCAUUAUUACUAUGGAAAAAAUUAAUGAAAAAAAGAUGCAUUUAUUAUUUCCAAUUUUUGCAGAUAACCAUUUGGAGGACCUAUACCAGGUCUGUGGUGUUCUGAACCAACAUGGAUUACAUAACUUAAAAGUAGAAUUGUAUAUAGUGAAUGAAAUUAGCUUUCCAAGCCAAUUUUUCUUAAAAAAGAAAAAAAAUUGGUACACCGAAAUUUCAGUAAAUUGUUGUCUCAACCCAAUAGGAUUUCAAUACUGAGUCGCCAAUUCAGAAACCGAAUCAGAAGAACUGUAAAGUACUUGAAAAUGGGCCAAUUAGUAUGCUGCAAAAUAUCUCUCUCUCUCUCCAUCUCUUUCUAUCUCUCAUCUUUAUGUAAAUUUUUAUGAGAAAUAGAUAUACUAGAGCUAUAGAUAGGAAGGGGAUUUGACUAGGUCACAAGUUUAAAUUGACUUCCACAUGUCUUCUUCAUUAUGUUUCUUAGUCUAAAAUGCCUUGUGUUUUUUGUGCUUUGUAACAAGUAUUGUCAAUGAACCAAGUUUUCAGCACAUUUGUCUCUAUAUAUUUAUCAAUCUUCGCUUUAGGAUUUAGAUACAACAAUAAGCACCCUUCAGUGAGCACUACCCUUCAGUCUGCCGGCGGCCGGGUACAGGAAACAGAAGUUCCUAUCCCGCGUUCCUGCGCCGCCCGACCACGCUACAUAGGAAGGAAGAGGAGGGUAAGGACCACUAGGGGAGGGGGGGAGUAAGGACCACUAGGGGAGGGGAGUAAGGACCACAGGGGAAGAGGAGUAAGGACCACAGGGGAAAAGGAGUAAGGACCAUAGGGGAGGAGGGGGGAGUAAGGACCACUGGGGGUGAGUGGAUGGGAAGUAAGGACCACUGGGGAAGGGGUGAAGGAACACAGGGGAGGGAGGUGGGGAAAGUAAGGACCACUGGGGAGGGAGAGGGGGGGAGUAAGGACAACUGGGGAAGAGUGGGGGAGUAAGGACCAUUGGAGGAGGGGGUGGAGUAAGGACCACUGGAGAAGGGGGGUGAAGGAACACAGGGGGAUGGGGAGUAAGGACCAUUGAGGGAGGAGGGGGGAGGUCCACUAAUGGGUUUGGGAGAGAUGGAGGACCACUAAGUGGGAGAGGGGGAGUGAGAAGACCACCAAGGGGGGACUGCAGAGGGACAGGGGGCCAAGGGAGAGCACUAAGGGACAGAAGGGGAGAACACGGAGGGACAGGCACCCCUUACAGACACACACUGCAUUCAAUUACAUACACAGAAAAACACCUUGCACCCCUUACUUACACACACACACACACACACACCCAGAAACAUACAAUGCAUUCCUUACACGCAAACACACACUACAUCCCUUACACAAAUUGGUAUCCCUAUACACUACAUUCUAUAAGAACACACACACAUUGCAUCCCCUACAAUAACACAUAAAACAUCCCCUACACACAUACACUCCACUUCAUGUGAGAGAACUCAUGGGUGGGCCAUGUAGGUGGAUUUAUGGGUGGGCAUUGUAGGCAUACCCAAGAUCAAGCCCUGGGGGCCCAGACCUUGAGCUGUGUAAGGGGCCCUAAAAAUGGAGCUGUUUCCUGUUCGUUAAUUGUUGUGAGCACUGUUAAAAAUAGUCUCCAGAGAGCCUCUUCUACACCAGACCUGUGGAGCCAGACUGAGCCCAUCAUCAGCCUCUUGUCCCCAUCUGGUGGUAAGUAGGCAAUCCAAUAUAUUAUUAGUGGCGCUAAUCUCUAAUUUACCUCACAUUAAAUGGAUACUAUAGUCACCAGAAGCACUACAGCAUAAUGUCUAUAGCCUGUGCCUGUAGGCUUUUUAAUGUAAACACACUGUCUUUUCAGAUAAAAGACACUUUGUGAAGACUGGCGUUGGCCCAUAUGGCAGAACGUAUGGGCGGAGCAUUGUAAUGUCACAUGGUGGGAAGGACAUAUGGGGGGGCGGCAAAUUUUUUGCCCUGCACUAGAAUGAAAGCACCGCCAGCAUUCAAAAGUGACCAAAACAUCAGCCAGGAAGCAUAGGAACUGAGAAGUGGUCUGUGUUCACCACCUGCAGAACCACUCCUUUAUUGGGGGGUGUCUUGCUAAUUGCCUUUAAUUUCCACCUGCUGUCUAUCCCAUUUGCACAACAGCAUGUGAAAUUGAUUGUCACUCAGUGUUGCUUCCUAAGUGGACAGUUUGGUUUCACAGAAGUGUGAUUGACUUGGAGUUACAUUGUGUUGUUUAAGUCUUCCCUGUAUGUGUGUGUGUGUGUGUAUGUAUGUAUGUAUAUGUGUAUAUAUAUAUAUAUAUUAGAUAGAGAGAGAGAGAGGGAUAUAGAGGGCAUGCAUUUUAAAAUUCAGUUAAGGUGGUAGUAAGCACUGUGUAUUUGUAUGUAUCCAAAGAAAUCAAAUGGCCAGAAGGGGUUUAUUUGGGAGAUCUUAGAAGGUGGUUAAAUAAUGACCUGUGAAAAGAAAAUGACGGAAUUGAAUGAGUUUGUUUUUCAAAAUGGACAAAAUCAGACCUGGUGGGAACUGCCUAUUAUGAUUGAUUUAAGUCAGGGAUGAUGUGUUAUUGAACUUUUCUACAUUAAUUUUUUAACCUCACAAAUACAUACAAGUUAGUAAAAAUAUUUCAAAGUGACCAUUUCCCUUUAACCCCUUAAGGACCAAACUUCUGAAAUAAAAGGGAAUCAUGACAUGUCACACAUGUCAUGUGUCCUUAAGGGGUUAACAAUAAAUACCAAAUGUAUUCUCUAAAAGAUUUUUAAUAUGAACAGUUUAUCAACAAUUCUUUCUCUGGCUAAAACUGUAUAUCAAAAGGGUAUUAAACCGUAGCAUAUUAAAGUAAAUUAAAAAAUGCAUUGAGAAAUUUUUCCAUCCCUUUUAUAACGUGAAUGAUUAAUAUCCUGCACAAUAAUCAAUUAUAACUUUUUGUAGCAGUAACCAUCCACUUACAGAGUUACGUGCCCCUUAUGCUUUAAAUUAUUACAGCUUCUAAAUACUUUUAAUACCUUUUAAUCAUCCAACCCUAUUCACGAAUGACACUUUUUUGAAUUGUUAUUUGUAAUUCAAAGGACAUAUUGGCAAUGUAACAGAUUAUUACUACUAAUGGAAAGCUUUAAAGGCAAUAUUAAAAAUAAAGCAUAAACUUUAAUGAGUCUGGUUUAUGCACCUCACUAGAAUUUGUGUGUUUAUGGCCUUCUACAUUUUACUGUAGGAGUGCAUUUUUAUAGAACAGUCAAUACCGGAGAGAAAUUGUCAUCCAUUAUUAGUAAAGUAUGUUGACUGGGUUCAAAGCAUCUUGAUCUUAACAUUUAAUCUCUUCUUAGGAAACCAUGGCUGAAAGAGCAAAAUGUUGUGGCUCAGCUUUCUAUAUUUAGUGGUGGUUUAUCCAGUUUUGUACUUAGUGCUAACCUCCUCUGAGAACAUAUGUUUUAAUACUCUCUAAUCUGUGAGGUUAAUUUGCAUGCUGCCUGUGUAUAAAGAAGGUAAUCCUGUAGUUGUAAUGUAAAAACAACAAAAACGUGUGUACAUUCGAUUUAUUUUUAGAUAAUUUGACACACAAUUAGAUACAAUUUCUGAAAAAAUACUGAUAAAAACAAAUGGCUAUUUACUGUUGCUGCAAAUGAUCCAAACGCUAUAAUAGAAUACAGUGGGACCUUGGUUUACAAACGCCUCGGUUAACAUUAUUUUUGGUUUACAAAUGAAAAUCCAUUGAAAAUAAUGCCUCGGUUUACAAAUUUGUUUCGCAAUACAAAGCAAGUUUCCCCAGGAUGCAUUGCACCUGGGAGGUUUAUAGCACUGCCCCCUGCAUGCUGGAGCCUGUGGGUAGCACAUGGUGUCGAGUGUGGAGGUGUUGGAGCGGCUUUUGUAUUGAGUUUUGUUGCCAUUCUGGAAAUUGUUGGCAGUUGUUUUGGAACUUUUUGGUGGGAGCUGAGCUUCAUCGUUUGCAUGCCUUUCAUUGUGUGUUCUGCAUUGUGGGUUGGUUUCCAUGCCAGCUCAUUUUGACUUUUUUCUGACCUCCAGAAUGGAUUAAUUGGUUUUCAUUGCAUUCCUAGGGGAAACUGUGUUUUGGUUUACAAGUAUUUCGAAAUAAGAAACGUCAAGGAGAACACAUUACAUUUGUAAACCGAGGUCCCACUAUAUAUGUCUUGCUGAUAGAAACAUCUAUGUUCUGUUUCAUGAAAGCUUCUAAAAAUGUACUUUCGUACUCUAAAAAUCCAAAAGUAAAAGUCCUAAAAUUCCACAUUGUUGCUCUAUUGGCAAGAUUUGGGAUAACAUGCUGGUUGAUUAAGUUAAGCUUUUUCAUAAAUUAAAUAUAUUAUGCAUUGCAGAAACUGCUUCCAAAACAGUAACAAAUCUGUCCAACAAAGGAAAAACUUAAGUGUCCUAAGCAAAGGUUUCUUCCUCCUAAUCUAAAAAAGCUAAAUGUUGCAUGUUGAAUAUUAUGUGUAUAAUAUACAGUACAUGCAUUAUACAUUAUAUUAUGUAUUUUGUUUUCUACUUGCUUGUUCAAUAUUCCAGAGUCCCAUACUGGACAGCCUUCACAUCUUUGCCAUUAUUUCUGUAAAGAAUUGAGACAUGGGGACAUGGAAAGACAAUAUUUUUCAUCUAAGCAGCUUGAAAUGAUUUACAGAGUUUUUAAGGAAAUUUUUCAUUUUACCUUUUAUGGAAAAAAAAAAAAGGAAAAAAAACCCACACAAAAGGCUUUUAAUGGGACCAGAUAUCACCCUAAGAUGACCUGAAAAUACAAAUGGCACAAAUAGUGUCUUGUUUCUCCUUAAUGUGAAUAAAGAGAAAUCUGUGUUUAUCUUUUAAACUCAAAAGUCAAUGGAGAUAUAAUGUAUUACAUUUCUUGGGUCUGAUGAAGGUAAAAUAAAUAAAUACAUUAUAUAUAUAUAUACACACACACCAUUAACACUAAAUGUUAAACUCUGAAAUGUGAACAACAGACAAGCUUCAAGAGCAGGAAAAGGUGUGUUAAAUACAGCAAGCAUGUAUGCUUAAAUAUACACUCCAAGCUUGCUGUAGUGGUUAUGGGAUCAGGAGUGCCUUGGUGCAUGCCUAGUGUAAGUAGCUGAACUGUUUGCUAAAAUGUUUGCUUCUUAACUAGGGUCUACCAGGCACGGUCUCCCUCCUGGGACUCUGGAUCAGAAGCUCCUGCUAGGCACUUCCCUAAAUUCUCCCGAGCUAAGCCCUUCACUGCCAGACUUUGUUCUGAACAGAGAGCUUCUGGCUGCAGAGAGGCAGGAAGUGAUGCUAGUAGGAUGCCAAAUAAGAUGUCAAACUGUUGGCAAGUGGUUUUACUACUUACAUAGAGGUGUGCAAGGGCACUUUUAGUGUUCCUUUAACCUUAAACCUUGGAUAAUUUAAUCAGGUCCUUGUCAUGCUGAACAGAAUUGCCUAUUCUUUAUGUGAAAUUCAUGUGUGAUAAGAUCUAACACAACUGCCAGGGACCCCAAUACAAUCACAUACUUCUUACAUGUUCUUUCUAGUAACCCAUUUUUAAAACAAAUGGCACAUUGAACCAGUGAUCAUCUAUCCUGUGAUGUCGCGGCAAUCUAGGGAAACAAACCUGGGGUUGUUCAACAAGGUUUUAAACAAAGACAGUACCAUGGAAUCAAGAACAAUUGGGGGGGAUGCAGUGGCAGAACUAAAAUUGCCCUGGUGUAAGAAUUUUUUUGGGGUUGCUGGCAAGGAUUGACUAAUGAUCUACCAUUUGCCCAUCCUUGCAGGGAGUACCAAGCACUGAGCAGUGUUUGAAUGUAUGAAUGCUUUAGCAUGGAGUAUGUGUGUGUGAAUGUAGGUGUGUAGUGUUGUGUAAUAUUAUACUGUUGCCAAUUAAAAUCAGUUUACUGGUGUGUAGUGUUUGCCUUUGAAUGUAGGGUUGUGUGUAGUGUUGAUGUUUGAAUACAGGGGUGUAUUUGUGUGUAGUGUUCAUACUGCUACGGACACACAUGGACACAUCCGGAUAAAUGGACACACAUAUGGAUACAUAGACCCACAAAUACGCACACUGACACACAUAGAGAUACAGACUGACACUAACACACAUACAAAGUGCACAAACUAACAUACACACACUAAUCUCGAUAAAGAUACAAACACACUAAUAAACAUACAGAUACAAAGAUAUACAAACACACUGACACACAUGCAGAUACAGACACCAGAUAAACAUAAUGUAACUCAUACAGUUACAAACACUUAAAUGCAUACAGAUACACAGACAACACAUAGAUACACAUGAGCACACAUUUACAUGCAGAUGUACAUACAGACACACAUACAGAUAAAACACAGCUGCUGAUGAUUUUGACCAUUUGCCCACUGACAAAGAAAUGAUCAGUCUAUAAUGGUAGGUGUAUUUUAACAGUGAGAGACAGAAUAACAAAAAAAAUAAUAAUCCAGAAAAUCACCUGUCAAAAAAAGUUAUAAAUUAAUUUGCAUGUCAAUGAGUGGAAUAAGUAGUUGACCCCUUCGACUUAGUACUUGGUGGCAAAACCCUUGUUUGCAAUCACAGAGGUCAGACGUUUCUUGUAGUUGGCCACUAGGUUUGCACAAAUCUCAGGAGGGAUUUUGUCCCACUCCUCUUUGUAGAUCCUCUCAAAGUCAUUAAGGUUUCGAAGCUGACAUUUGGCAACAUUAAGCUGCCUCCACAGAUUUUCUAUGGCAUUAAAGGAGCACUAUAGGGUCAGGAACACAAACAUGUAUUUCUGACCCUAUAGGGUUAAAACCACCAUCUAGCCACCCUGGUCCCUCCAUGCUUCCCUAAAAAAUUAAAAAUUUUACUUGUAUUCAAGUAUGGAGCUGCUAGCUCUGGCUCUGUUUCCUUUAGACCUGCCCAAAGCCUGCUGACCUCAGCAGAAGUAGUAGCCUGAUCCAAUCACAAUGCUUCUCCAUAGGAUUGGCUGAGACUGACAAAGAAGCAGAUCAUGGGCAGAGCCAGCAUGAUUCAAACACAGUCCUGGCCAAUCAGCAUCUCUUCAUAGAGAUGAAUUGAAUCAAUGAAUCUCUAUGAGGAAAGUUCAGUGUCUGCAUGCAGAGGGAGGUGACACUGAAUGUUUGGAUGCAUUUUAGGCAGCCAUGACCCAGAAAGGGUCUCGAACAGCCGUCUAAGGAGUGGCCAGUGAAGUUAUCACUAGGCUGCAAUGGAAACACUGCAUUUUCUUGGAAAAGACAGUGUUCACAGCAAAAAGCAUGUAGGUAAUGAUUCUACACAACAGGACAAAUUCAAUAAGCUGUAGUUGUUCUGGUGACUAUAGUGUCCCUUUAAAGGGACUCUCCAGUGCCAAGAAAACAAUCCAUUUUCCUGGCACUGCAGGUCCCCUCUCCCUCCCACCUCCCAUCCCCGGUUGCUGAAGGGGUCAAAACCCCUUCAGUAACUUACCAGAGGCAGCGACAAUGUCCCUCAAUGCUGCUUCUUGGUUUGCCCACGCUCCUUCCCGUCACCAUGUCAGCCGGCCGGGGAGACUUAUUAUGCCCGCCGGCGGAGAGACCUAAUGCGCAUGCGCGGCAAUGUAGACCUCCCCAUAGGAAAAUAUUGAAAAUGCUUUCCUAUGGGGAUUUUAGCGACGCUGGAGGUCCUUAGAUAGCGUGUGGACAUCCAGCGACGUUAUAGCACAGAAAAUCUGUGCUAUAAUCUCAGAAGUGCCCUCUAGUGGUUGUCUAGUAGACAGCCAAUAGAGGAGGCGUUAACCCUGCAAGGUAAUUAUUGCAGUUUAUAAAAAUUGCAAUAGUUACAGUUGCAGGGUUAAGAUUAGUGGGAGUUGGCACCAAGACCACUCCAAUGGGCAGAAGUGAUCUAGGUGCCUGGAGUGUCCCUUUAAGGUCUGGAGACUGGCUAGGCUACUCCAGGACCGUAAUGUGCUUCUUCUUGAGCCAUUCCUUUGUUGCUUUGGCUGUGUGUUUUGGGUCAUUGUAAUGAUGGAAUACCCAUCCACGACCCAUUUUCAAUGCCAUGGCUGAGGGAAGGAGGUUCUCAUCCAAGAUUUGACGGUACAUGGCUCCAUCCAUCGUCCCUUUGAUGCGGUGCAGUUGUUCUGUCCCCUUAGCAGAAAAACACACCUAAAGCAUAUUGUUUCCACCUCCAUGUGUGACAGUGGGGAUGGUGUUCUUGGGGUCAUAGGCAGCAUUCCUCCUCCUCCAAACACGGCGAGUUGAGCUGAUGCCAACAAGCUUGAUUUUGGUCUCAUCUGACCACAACACUUUCACCCAGUUCUCCUCUGAAUUAUUCAGAUGUUCAUUGGCAGACUUCAGAUGGGCCUGUACAUGUGCUUUCUUGUGCAGGGGGGCCUUGGGGGCACUGCAGGAUUUCAGUCAUUCAUGGUGUAGUGUGUUACCAAUUGUUUUCUUGGUGACUAUGGUCCCAACUGCCUUGAGAUCAUUAACAGGAUCCUCCGGUGUAGUUUUGGGCUGAUUUCUCACCAUUCUAAUGAUCAUUGAAACUCCACGAGGUAAGAUUUUGCAUGGAGCACCAGUCCGAGGGAGCCUGUUUGUGUUUCUUCCAUUUGCGAAUAAUCGCACCAACUAUUGUCACCUUCUCCACAAGCUGCUUGGCAAUUGUCUUGUAGACCAUUCCAGCCUUGUGAAGGUCUACAGUAUUGUCCCUGACAUCCUUGGACAGCUCUUUGGUCUUGGCCAUGGUGGAGAGUUUGGAAUCUGAUUGAUUGAUUGCUUCUGUGUACAGGUGUCUUUUAUACCAGUAACGAGCUGAGAUUAGGAGCACUCCCUUUAAAAGAGUGCCCCUAAUCUCAGCUCGUUACUGGUAUAAAAGACACCUGGGAGCCAGAAAUUGUGCUGAUUGAUAGGGGAUACUAUACUUAUUUCACUCAUUGAUAUGCAAAUCAAUUUAUAAAAUUUUUGACAUGCGUUUUUCUGCAUUUUUUUUGUUGUUAUUCUGUCUCUCACUGUUAGAAUACACCUACCAUCAAAAUUAUAGACUGAUCGUUUCUUUGUCAGUGGAAAAACAUUCAAAAUCAGCAGGUGUUCAAAUACUUUUUCCCCUCAAUGUACAUGCAAAAUUACAAAUAAUUCCUUUAGAAUGUAUUUAUUUAGAAGUUAUAACAAUGUUAUAGGAAACUUUCAGAGUUUAGCUAGAAUUUUCUUCACACAGAGUGUAAAACAGAGCUUUGCAGCUUCAACACAGAUAACAAACACACACACAGAUACACCUACAGACACACAGAUAACACCCAGAAAGACAACACAAACACACAGAUAACAACACAUACAUGCAAAGAUCACAUUACUUUUUUAUAGUCAUCCCUCUUCUUCCAUACCUUUUUGGUGCAGAGGGGUGGCCUGGGGUACAGUGUCAUCUGGCUGAGUGUGAUAGGACUCUGCUCUCUGCUCUUUCCCUUCUCUCUGGUCCUGGCUCUUAGUCAUCUCCCUCCUCUUUUGCCCUCCUGCCUCUCCCAUGCAGCCCAUUGGUAUGCUGGGAAAAAGUGAAUUUACUCAGACCAGUGUGCACGGUUGCGCUGUUUAAUGGGGUCAGCGCCCCUGAUCAGAGAUGGCCAUUGGGUGGCCCCAAGUGCAUGGGCUCCCUGAUCUUGCCAUUGACCAGAAAAUUGCGUGUAUUCACUUGUACCUACUACAGCUGUCUUGAUGAGGUUGUGAAAUCCACUAAAUGUUAUCUCUCUUGAACGAAGAGGAGACUCCCCGAUCAUUUACUCUGUGAGUGUCCUAUAACUUUUAGAUUUUUUUUUUUCUCCCAGCUUUCAACUUGAAGCAUUUUGGUGGUUUUAUAUAUGUACUGCACAUUGCAAGAACUAUCUCCCUUAAAAGGUAGGGACUAUACCCAACUCAUUCCAAGUGGUAGUUUGGACACAUUAUUGUAUUGCAACUUUGUUGAUUGUAUCACUGAUUCCAGACAGUGGUUACAUUGAUCUAGCACACACAGUGAACUUCAAUAUGUUUUACUUUUUGUUACUCUUUAUUUUACCCUUUGGUGAUAUGUUUUAUUAAAUUUGGAUACAUUGUCUUUUAUGUGCUUCUUAUAUUGUAUGCUUGGCGUGCUUUUUAAAAAAAAAAAAAUUAUUUUAUCUUUAGCAUUUAUAUUGUGUAUUUCUGCUUUUUAUUGCUAAUACGUUUUAUAUUUCAUAGUUUCCACAUUGUUGUAUUUUCAUGCUUCAUAUGAAUAUUAUCGAUUAUUCUUUCUAUUGCUUUGUCAUUUUUUAAAUUGUAUUAUUUAUUUAUUUUCUUCUUCGAUAUUUGCUCCUGGUAUUAGUUUUAUUAUAUAGUUUUUAUUUCUGUACUAUUAAAUAAAGAUUUUUUGGUGACUGCCUUUUUUACUUUUUUUUUUUACCAAUUAGUCGAUAAUUACUUUAGUUUUAUAUCUUUUAUAUUGAGUAUGGUUGUUCCUUACUCUAGCAUGGUUUUAUUAUAUAUAGUAUUUAUAAUAUACAGUAAAGCACAAGCCUAUCUUUGCCCCAUGUAAACACCUGUUUUUGCCUUGAUAAAUCUCCCCCAAUGUAUCUUGAAUUGUGAAGUCCUUGUAGUUGAACAAACAUUACUUAAAACUAAAAGCAACAUAUGUGUGUAUACAGCAAUUACAGCAAAACAUAUGAAAUUAUCCCAAUCUGUGCAUGAAAGUUUGACAAUAAGUAAAUGUGUGCUCUGGGCUUGAUGCAUUUCUUUCAAAAUGUCAUUGCUAUGACUUGAAUUAUAUAUAUUUUUUAUUUUAUUUUCUAUGGCUUUUCUUCUUUGGCUAAUGAUACAUUUGUGCUGUUCUCUGAAUCUAGUGUUUUGUUUGGCAUAAUUAAUUUUCCAGUUGAAGAUAUUUUAAAAAUACGAUGUUCUUGAUAACUCUUGCAAUUUCCAUUCAUAUGAUUUUUUUUUUGAUUUUUUUUUUACAAAUGCUGAAACAAUUUAAAUUGAGUGGCUUUUUCUCUACAGUACAGGACUUGGCAAAAAUGUCCAUAUUUUAGAAUUAUUUCAAUCACUCCAUUGCUGUCAGUAGAGUUAUAGAGGACAUCAUCUUAGAGGACAUGUGCAGACAUUCUCUCAUUUUUAGGUUAGGAAAGGUUAAUCCAUCAUGCAUGACCUCUAUUAACAUGAGAUAUAGUAUAUUUUUAUAGAAAAUGUGAAUAGGUUCGUUUGCCAGAAUGUCUGUACAUAAACCUUAUACUACACAGAGUAAUGAAUAAAGCUAUUUUUGAGCUGGCUAUAUUAGGGUUUAAAGGGGCAAUGGUGUAACUCAACACAUAUCACAUUGCCCAUUGACAUCCUUUAUUUGAUAUUUUAUGAAUUACAAUCAUUUCUAGAAUACAUUCAAAACAAGUAUAUUGGUGACAUCGCCAACUUAACUCAAAUGGGGCAAAUUUGUUUGGUGGGUUCACCAUUUACAAAGUAAACUUCAUAAGAUACUCUUAUGUUCUUAUGAAAUAUAGAUGAUUCUUGAGAUAAACAUAGGGUAAAAUUACAGCCUUUAGUUGGCCUCUUUGUCAUCAUCCUUGUUCUCUGUCAACACCAGGUAAGGGUCUAUUUAAAUAUUAGAUUUUAAAAACUAAUUUGAAUGAAUAUACAUUGGUGUAAAUUGUAUAGCUUUAUAUUUUUGUAUGUUUUUUUUGGAGGGGGGCUUUUACAUAGGAAAAUCAACAUAAUACAGCAAUAACAUGAAAAUGACAUGAGGCACAUUUUAAGACAGAAAGUCUACAAGUGUUAUUACUUAGAGCUGUAGGUGCUUCACUAAACAGUCAAUAUAUAUCUACUUGAAAAUAUAAAAUUAUGCAUAGCAUACUCAAGCAAUAUAACCUAGUUUAAGAAAAUAUAACGAGUUGACCUAGCAGAGUUGGCCUAGGAGAAGUGAAUGCAGACAUAAUAGAGGGCUUUUAUAUGAGAAUAACCAAUUUAUUUUCAAGCAAAAAUAGGUGUAUACAUACAAAUAUAGAAGCUCUACAUGGCCUAUCUGUCACAGAGUGAAAGGGCCAGCCCUCAAAUGGUUGUUUAACCCACAGAUCCCAGAUUGACAAGUAUUUUCUAUAUUUCUUCUCUAAUAAUCAUUUAAAUUCUUCUAGUUUUCUGAAGCUUACCAAUUUUUAGAGUUGGAAGGUGUGACAAAAUACUGCAUUUUAUUGUCCCAGUUAAUUCCCCUGUGUUCGGUAGGUGCAUCUACCGAACACCGACCACUCCUUGACUCAUUGAACUUCAAAGAAACCACAAACGUAAGUGCUCUCCCUAUGGAGCAUACUCAUGCAGUCUUACUGUUCAAUUAUCUGCAAUGUUGGAGUUAAAGAAACAAUUUAGGGUCAGGAACACAAACAUGUUAAAUUUACUAUUUAGACCCACCACCCCUCGCACUCCUAAAUAUAGUAAAAUCUUACCCUAUUUUCAUUCUACCAGCACUGGCUCUUCCCCCAAUCAGCCUUGUUGGCUGACAUAAUCACAAGUGAUGAUAGGAAAGCAUUGGCUGAGAUUGUGAAGGAGACAAGGCUGGAGCCAAAUGUCAGCUUGGCCAAUCAGCAUUUCCUCAUAGAGAUGCAUUAAAUCAAUGCAUCUCUAUGGGGAAAGUUCAGUGAUAUUGAAGAUCAGUACCACAGGAAGCACCUCCUGUGGCCUUCUGAGGAGUAAACACUGGAGGUGUUCCUAGGGAGCAGUGUAAACACUGUCUUUUUUCUGAAAAGGCAGUGUUUGCAACUAUAUACCUUCAGGGACUGACUGUACUCACCAGAACAAUUACAUUAAGCUGUAGUUGUUUUAGUGACUGUAGUGUCCCUUUAAAUAACUUUUUUCUUUUUAUGCAGUCCUAGCCACAAACAUGCUGUCUGUGACUCACACCACCAGUGUGAAAAAAUCCAAUGUUAACUUGACUGCUCAGUAAAUUCUAAUUAAAACAGAAUAUGCAAUAAUAGAAGUUUAAACAUUAGAUCUCUCUUUACAGGAUUUGUUUAGACAAGCUUUGUUAGUCAAAUGCAGGAGGUGUGACUAGGGUUGCUUAAACAAAAUUAUUUAUUUCCUAAAUGGCAGAGUAUUGAUCAAUGAGACUGCAGGGGCAUGAACUAUACACUAAAACUGCUUCAUUAAGCUAAAAUGUUUUGGUGCCUGUAGUUUCUCUUUAAGUUGUGAAUAAGCCGAUCGGUCUAUAGACAUUAUCUAUAGACAUUAAAUAUAUGCCCAGAUUAGGAGUGAGUAGUAAUAGAAAGAACAGAUGUGUUUGAGAAUUUUGGAUAACAUUGCAUGUCAGUUGAUCUUGGAAAAAAGAGCCCAUGCCACAAACAGGAUUAUGGGUUACUGGACAUAAAAGGGAGAUGGCAGAUAAGAAAUCAAAACCACCCCAUAUCACCCGUCAAAACAUCAAAGUGGAGUGAUUGUGGGAUGGGGUGGUGUUUAUUAGACAUGUGCAUGGGAACAAAAAUGUUUCAGUUUUAGUAAUUCCAAAAUUUGUUUCAGUGAAAUUCAGAAAUUUAGCAAUUUGGAAUGAACCAAAAUUAAUCUGAGAAUUUUCAGAAACAUCCAAAAUUCAGACAUUGGCUAUUCCCUAUAUAGUAGAUAUAUCCCCAAAUUUAGUACCCUUAUAUGUGAUGCCCUUUUGAGGAUACCUCAUUUUAUAUUCUUUGUAGGACAAUCCAACAUAAUGGUUAGGGGUAUUGGAUAUCUAUAAAACAGAAACAUAGAAUGUUAAUGCAGAUAAGAACCAUUUGGCCCAUCUAGUCUGCCCAGUUUUCUUAAGUUUUCUUAUCUUAAGUUUAGUAUAGCAUUAUGCCUACCCCACACAUGCUUAAACUACCUCACUGUGUUAACCUCCCUCACUGUGUUAACCUCUACCACGUCAACAGGAAGGCUAUACAACAGGACCCUAAGAAGAGCAAAAUUAAUUUCAUUUGCUGUUUCCGUUGCUUAGUAGAUGUGUUCAUAAUUUGAUAUCCUUAUUGAUCUGAACAUUUUUGGACUCAUUAAUUUUCAUAUGUUCUUCUGUUUCAUAUCCUAUGGGGACAAUCAAUUUCAAGGACUUUUAACAGAAACUAAUUAUUAAUGGAUACUUGGAGACUGUCACUCAUCAGAAAAAAUAUCCUGGUGUAUUAUUAAUUGUUCUGUGACAUAACCUCUAUAUUCUCCUACUGGCUUCUGUAUGUAUAGAUUGUUUUUCCACAUUAAGUGUUUGCAACCUUUUUUUCUGAUACUAUCUAUUAUCAUAAUGUAUUUUGUGGUAUAUUGCUUAAGGUCAUUUAGUCCAGCUGUCUUGCUUUUUGGAUAUAGGUUAUUAUGCAGAAAUUCAGUAGGUAAAUGUCAGGCUCCCGCGGGCGGCUGCGAGGGGAGGCUGCACUCCGCUCGCAGUACUCACCCUCCAGCCGUCCGCGGUCCCCUCCGCCUCGUGGGUACGGCGAGCGGCAUCCUUCCAGCCUCGGAUGCCGCCCGCCGUUCCCUCCACGUCCCCCAGCGGCAGCAUGCAUGACGCUGCACGCUGGGAGACCGCCCAGGUUUAUACACGCCGGGGUCAGUCACCUGACCCGGCGUUAAAGGCACAGUGCCUCAAUCACAGUGGGAGGUCUAAAUAUCUCCCACGUGUGAUUGUUAAUUCUGAUUGGAAAUCAUCCAAUCAGAAUUAACCUGAUGGUUUAAAUACUUACCUUUCCUGUUCCUCCUUGCCCUGUUGUGGUCUUUGCUUGCUAGUAUUGCUACUUACCUUGUGCUUCUGGUUACGUACUCUCUGGCUUGUUUAUCUGACUCUGUGACUUUCUCCUACCCUUUGACCUCGGCUCGUUUCACGUUAUUCUGUCUUCUGGUUCCCCUUUACUCGGCUUGUCUCCUGACUAUUCUGUGUGUGCUUAGCCCGGCCACUCUAAGGUCCGGUACGGCACCUUUUGUGUGUGUGUGUGCCAGCGUGUUGGGUUCCCCGAAUCGUGACAUUACAACAGGGCCAUAAUGGAACCUGCUGACAUACCACAGCUCCUAGUUAAUCAAGAGGCUAGAAUGGAUGGCUUAGACCACCGUAUGGAUCAGUUUGCUCAAGCUUUACAAACCAUUCUGGCUCGUACUGCACACUUGCAACCGGCCGUUCAGGAGGCUGCUGCUGCUGUGCCCGAACCCAUUCCCACUCCAGUACCUGUUCCCGCUCAUGUAGUUCACAUGACGCCGCCACAGCGCUACAGUGGUGACCCAGCAUUGUGUCGUGGUUUCCUCAACCAAAUCGACAUCCAUUUGGUGAUGAAUCCACGCUCCUAUCCCACUGACAGAUCUAAAAUUGCCUUUUUGAUAAACCACUUGUCCGGGAGAGCUUUAGCAUGGGCCAACCCCAUUUGGGAAAAUACGUCUCCUAUGUCCUUUGCUGAUUUUCUGACAGCUUUCAGACGCACGUUUGAUCAACCCGGUAGGGUUGCUUCUGCUGGCAAGGCUCUGCUUAGGGUCCGACAGGGUAACAGGUCUGUAGCAGAUUACACUAUCGAAUUUCGUACUCUAGCAGCUGAAGUGGUUUGGAAUAAUGACGCCCUCGUAACAGCCUUUCAGGAGGGUCUGGCCGCUUAUAUACUGGAUGAAAUAGCAUCCAGGGAAUUACCUGCUCUUCUAGAUGAUGUUAUAGACUAUGUGAUUCUUAUAGAUAACCGUAUUAGAGAGAGGCGUAGCCAAAGACGGUUGGAUACACGGGUGUUACCUGCUCUACCCAGUACUUCCCUGCUAGCGUUACCCGCUCCUGUGCAGCCAUCCCCUGAACCCAUGCAGUUGGGUGCUACGGGGUUAACAGAGGCCGAAAGAGCGUACCGUAGAAGGGAGGGGUUAUGACUUUAUUGUGGGAAGAGGGGGCAUCACUGUAAAGCCUGCCCUAAAGUACAGGGAAACUGCAGCACCUAAGGCCUAGAGAGGGGUCGGCCUCGGGUGUUAUGACUUUGUCCCCUCAUAUGUCCAUCUCUAGACCGUUUAUUACGGUUUCUCUCUUGGUCAAUAAAACCACUAUAACAACCAAAGCCCUGAUCGAUUCAGGUGCGGCAGACAACCUUAUGGAUGAGACCUUUGCCAAAACCACAGCCCUGAAUUUGAUCCGAAAGCAGACACCCUUGGCCGUUGAGGCCAUAGAUGGUAGACCACUGGAGAAACCUCUGGUGACGCAUGAAACCCAGGAAAUAGUUAUGUCUGUGGGUGUUUUGCACAAAGAGAAGUUAACCUUCCAAAUAAUUGACUCCCCAACAGCCUCCAUCGUUCUAGGUUUUCCCUGGUUAGUUAAACACAACCCUGUUCUUGAUUGGGGUUGUUUAGACAUACUCUCCUUGGGGGAAUCUUGUCAGCGAGACUGUGUGGCUCAUGUACGUCCUGUCUGUUUACUUAACGUACCCACGGCUAAACCACUCUCGGUUUCUGUGCCCUCUGUUUAUGCGGACCUUGCCUUGGUUUUUGAAAAGAGGGAGGCAGAUAAGCUACCUCCACAUCGUGAGUAUGAUUGUGCCAUAAACCUCUUACCGGGCACUAUGCCUCCUAGGGGAAAGGUCUACCCUCUUUCUGAAAAAGAGAACCAAAUCAUGGAGGAGUACAUACAGAAAUCCCUAAGAAAAGGUUUUAUUAGAAGGUCCUCCUCUCCUGCUGGUGCUGGUUUCUUUUUUGUGGCUAAGAAGGAGGGUGAUUUGAGGCCAUGUAUAGACUACAGGGGUCUGAACAAUAUAACGGUUAAAAACGCCUACCCUAUCCCCCUCAUCACUGAGUUGUUUGAUCGUGUUAAAGGUUCUAAAUUUUUCACCAAAUUAGACCUCAGGGGGGCUUAUAACCUUGUCCGUAUAAAGGAGAAUGACGAGUGGAAGACAGCCUUCAACACACGCAGUGGGCAUUACGAAUAUCUGGUCAUGCCUUUUGGAUUGUGUAAUGCUCCUGCCGUGUUUCAGGACCUCAUAAAUGAUGUCCUUAGGGAUCUAUUGCAUGUCUGUGCUGUAGUGUACCUUGACGACAUACUUGUGUAUUCUCCUGAUUUGAAGUCACACCAUAACCAUGUUAGGAUGGUGCUCAAAAGGCUAUUGCAGAAUGGACUCUACUGUAAGUUAGAAAAAUGUUUAUUCGAUCAGACCUCUGUGCAAUUCCUAGGAUAUAUCAUUACUGAACAGGGUUUCAGUAUGGAUCCUGCUAAAUUGGAAGCUAUAAUGUCCUGGCCACUUCCCCAAGGACUAAAGGCUAUCCAGCGUUUUAUAGGAUUUGCCAACUAUUAUAGGAAAUUUAUAAAAAACUUUUCACCACUCAUAUCUCCCAUAACGAAGUUGACAAAAAAAGGUCUACAUCCUAGGGUUUGGACUCCUGAAGCCCUUAAGGCCUUCGAAACCCUCAAGAAGGCAUUUGCCUCUGCUCCAGUGCUGCACCACCCUGAUCCUUCUCUUCCCUUUGUUAUGGAAGUAGACGCCUCGGAGUCAGGUGUGGGAGCCGUACUGUCACAGAGGUUGUCUUAUGACAAACCCCUCCAUCCCUGUUGUUAUUUUUCUAAAAGGUUGUCUGAUUCAGAGAAGAAUUAUGAUGUUGGGAAUAGGGAACUAUUAGCUAUUGUGUUAGCUUUCAAGGAAUGGAGGUACUUAUUAGAGGGUUCUAGACACAAAAUUAUGGUUAUAACAGAUCAUAAGAAUCUAUCCUAUAUUGCUGAUGCUAGAAGGUUAUCUGCCCGGCAGGCUAGAUGGUCUCUAUUUCUCUCACGCUUCCAAUAUGUUAUCACCUAUAGACCUGGUUGCCGUAAUGCCAAAGCUGACGCCAUCUCUCGGCAGCAUGAACCAGUAGAAUUUGUUAACCCGACUCCUGAACCUAUUGUACCUGAGUCUCAGAUAAUAGCUGCUACCCGUUUGGUUGUUUCUUCACCUUUCCUUAACAGUAUUAAGACAUACCAAACCCAGGCACCCCCUGAGACGCCAGUUGGUAAACUAUACGUUGAAGCUAAUGACAGAAAAAAGUUGUUAACUUUAUUUCACACAGCCAAAACUGCUGGUCAUCCGGGGGUUACCAAAACCUACAAAGGCCUCCUUGAACAGUUCUGGUGGCCUUCACUCAAGCGAGACGUAGUGGAUUUUGUUCAGGCUUGUCAGGUCUGCACGCAAUGUAAGUCCCUUAAUGUGAGACCCCAGGGUUUUCUGAUGCCUCUAUCUAUACCCAAGAAACCAUGGACCCACUUAUCCAUGGAUUUCAUUGUAGACCUGCCUCUUUCUGAUGGUCAGACGGUGAUACUGACUGUGACGGAUAGGUUCUCUAAAAUGGCGCACUUCAUUCCGCUUAAGAAACUGCCUUCUGCGGUCCAGUUGGCUCAGGUAUUUGCCAAAGAAGUGUUCCGAUUGCAUGGGGUACCCCAGGAUAUCGUAUCUGACAGGGGCCCUCAAUUUGUCUCUCGGUUCUGGAGGGGCUUUUGUGCUGAGAUGGGGGUAUCCUUGUCGUUUUCUUCCUCCUAUCACCCGCAAUCUAAUGGUGCGGCCGAACGUGCUAAUCAGUCUGUGGAAUUGUAUUUGCGCUGCUUCACUAAUGCGCACCAGGAUGACUGGUCUCGCCUUCUUCCGUGGGCUGAAUUUGCCAGGAAUACGGUGUCUCAUUCGUCUACUGGCUUAAGUCCUUUUGAGGUUGCUUAUGGGUUUCGUCCUUCUGUCCUUCCCGGUGCGUUCUCCGACAAGGGAAUGCCCGCCUUGGACCAGCACCUCGCCUCUUUGCGGAAGACGUGGGAUCAAGUCCAUGUUGCGCUGUCUCGUUCAGCAGCUGCUCAGAAAAAGUUUGCUGAUCGCCGUAGGGUUGCGGCCCCUUCCUAUGUUCCGGGUGAUAGGGUAUGGUUGUCCUCCCGGAACCUCCGUCUCAAGGUUCCCUCGAUGAAAUUUGCCCCCAGGUUUCUUGGUCCCUUCAAGGUGUUACGUAGGGUUAAUCCCGUUUCCUACUCCCUUGAUUUGCCUCCUUCCAUGCAUGUCCCGAACACGUUUCACGUCUCGCUUUUGAAACCCUUGCUGUGUAACCGGUUCUCUCGUCCCCUCGGGCGGCCCGUUUCCCCUCGAGCUGUCUCUGACGACGUGUACGAGGUGGCUGCCCUUCUCGACUCUCGUGUUUCUAGGGGUCGGCUGCAAUAUUUGGUGGACUGGAAGGGGUACGGCCCUGAGGAGCGGUCCUGGGUUUCAAGCUCCGAUGUGCACGCUCCCUCUUUGGUCCGCUCCUUUCAUGCCCGCUUUCCUUUGAAGCCUUCCGCUUCCCACCCCCUGGGCGGUCUUCGAGGGGGGGGUAAUGUCAGGCUCCCGCGGGCGGCUGCGAGGGGAGGCUGCACUCCGCUCGCAGUACUCACCCUCCAGCCGUCCGCGGUCCCCUCCGCCUCGUGGGUACGGCGAGCGGCAUCCUUCCAGCCUCGGAUGCCGCCCGCCGUUCCCUCCACGUCCCCCAGCGGCAGCAUGCAUGACGCUGCACGCUGGGAGACCGCCCAGGGUUUAUACACGCCGGGGUCAGUCACCUGACCCGGCGUUAAAGGCAAAGUGCCACAAUCACAGUGGGAGGUCUAAAUAUCUCCCACGUGUGAUUGUUAAUUCUGAUUGGAAAUCAUCCAAUCAGAAUUAACCUGAUGGUUUAAAUACUUACCUUUCCUGUUCCUCCUUGCCCUGUUGUGGUCUUUGCUUGCUAGUAUUGCUACUUACCUUGUGCUUCUGGUUACGUACUCUCUGGCUUGUUUAUCUGACUCUGUGACUUUCUCCUACCCUUUGACCUCGGCUCGUUUUACGUUAUUCUGUCUUCUGGUUCCCCUUUACUCGGCUUGUCUCCUGACUAUUCUGUGUGUGCUUAGCCCGGCCACUCUAAGGUCCGGUACGGCACCUUUUGUGUGUGUGUGUGUGUGUGUGCCAGCGUGUUGGGUUCCCCGAAUCGUGACAGUAAAGACCAUAUACUUUUUCUUAGCAAUACAAAUUUUUGCAGCUGUCCAGAUUCGGAUAAUACAUUUAAGUGACUAACACUACAUUGAGAAAUGUGUUUGUGUUUAAUUUUUUUUUUUUUUUUAAAACAGAUCUGGACUGGUUAUAGCAAGGAGCCUCAUAAUUUGCAGAGUCUGUAUUGUUGAAAUUGUUUCUAAAUAUUUUAAAGGAGGAGAGAAGAACAUCCAAACCAGUGCUAGACCAAUGCCAGUGCUAGAUUUGCCACUAGUUGUUUAAGAGUUGUGAAAACAUUUGUUUUGGACCGUUUGUCUAAAUCAAAUGUCUUUGAAUCCACACCUGGAUGAAUCAAUGAUCCAGGAUUUACCUGUGGAGUCUUAGUCAUUGAAUAAAGCUCCACAGGUAAAUGCCAGAUCAUCAAUUCGUCCAUGCAUUUGAUCUGGAUAAACUGUCCAAAACAAAAUUUUGGCCUAGUCUACUGUUUAUUUCUGUGUGCAAGGAUAAAAAUUAGACUGCUCCUAGCCUACACAGUUAUGAUAUGAUAUAAAGUGAAAGUUCUACAUAAACUUUAAUUUGUAGGCCAAGGUAUCCAACCUGGAAACAUAUCAAACUUUGAGAAUUUUUAAGAUUAUUUAUUUAGGCCUUAAAUUUGAAAUGCGCUCUGAAUUUUAUUUGGAUUUCCAAGAUCUCUUGUGUAAAGGAACACUAUAGGGUCANNNNNNNNNNNNNNNNNNNNNNNNNNNNNNNNNNNNNNNNNNNNNNNNNNNNNNNNNNNNNNNNNNNNNNNNNNNNNNNNNNNNNNNNNNNNNNNNNNNNAUAUUUUUUACUUUUUGUUACUCUUUAUUUUACCCUUUGGUGAUAUGUUUUAUUAAAUUUGGAUACAUUGUCUUUUAUGUGCUUCUUAUAUUGUAUGCUUGGCGUGCUUUUUAAAAAAAAAAAAAAAUUAUUUUAUCUUUAGCAUUUAUAUUGUGUAUUUCUGCUUUUUAUUGCCAAUACGUUUUAUAUUUCAUAGUUUCCACAUUGUUGUAUUUUCAUGCUUCAUAUGAAUAUUAUCUAUUAUUCUUUCUAUUGCUUUGUCAUUUUUUAAAUUGUAUUAUUUAUUUAUUUUCUUCUUCGAUAUUUGCUCCUGGUAUUAGUUUUAUUAUAUAGUUUUUAUUUCUGUACUAUUAAAUAAAGAUUUUUUGGUGACUGCCUUUUUUACUUUUUUUUUUUUACCAAUUAGUCGAUAAUUACUUUAGUUUUAUAUCUUUUAUAUUGAGUAUGGUUGUUCCUUACUCUAGCAUGGUUUUAUUAUAUAUAGUAUUUAUAAUAUACAGUAAAGCACAAGCCUAUCUUUGCCCCAUGUAAACACCUGUUUUUGCCUUGAUAAAUCUCCCCCAAUGUAUCUUGAAUUGUGAAGUCCUUGUAGUUGAACAAACAUAACUUAAAACUAAAAGCAACAUAUGUGUGUAUACAGCAAUUACAGCAAAACAUAUGAAAUUAUCCCAAUCUGUGCAUGAAAGUUUGACAAUAAGUAAAUGUGUGCUCUGGGCUUGAUGCAUUUCUUUCAAAAUGUCAUUGCUAUGACUUGAAUUAUAUAUAUUUUUUAUUUUAUUUUCUAUGGCUUUUCUUCUUUGGCUAAUGAUACAUUUGUGCUGUUCUCUGAAUCUAGUGUUUUGUUUGGCAUAAUUAAUUUUCCAGUUGAAGAUAUUUUAAAAAUACGAUGUUCUUAAUAACUCUUGCAAUUUCCAUUCAUAUGAUUUUUUUUUUUUGAUUUUUUUUUUACAAAUGCUGAAACAAUUUAAAUUGAGUGGCUUUUUCUCUACAGUACAGGACUUGGCAAAAAUGUCCAUAUUUUAGAAUUAUUUCAAUCACUCCAUUGCUGUCAGUUGUGAUGUAGAGUUAUAAAGGACAUCAUCUUAGAGGACAUGUGCAGACAUUCUCUCAUUUUUAGGUUAGGAAAGGUUAAUCCAUCAUGCAUGACCUCUAUUAACAUGAGAUAUAGUAUAUUUUUAUAGAAAAUGUGAAUAGGUUCGUUUGCCAGAAUGUCUGUACAUAAACCUUAUACUACACAGAGUAAUGAAUAAAGCUAUUUUUGAGCUGGCUAUAUUAGGGUUUAAAGGGGCAAUGGUGUAACUCAACACAUAUCACAUUGCCCAUUGACAUCCUUUAUUUGAUAUUUUAUGAAUUACAAUCAUUUCUAGAAUACAUUCAAAACAAGUAUAUUGGUGACAUCGCCAACUUAACUCAAAUGGGGCAAAUUUGUUUGGUGGGUUCACCAUUUACAAAGUAAACUUCAUAAGAUACUCUUAUGUUCUUAUGAAAUAUAGAUGAUUCUUGAGAUAAACAUAGGGUAAAAAUACAGCCUUUAGUUGGCCUCUUUGUCAUCAUCCUUGUUCUCUGUCAACACCAGGUAAGGGUCUAUUUAAAUAUUAGAUUUUAAAAACUAAUUUGAAUGAAUAUACAUUGGUGUAAAUUGUAUAGCUUUAUAUUUUUGUAUGUUUUUUUUGGAGGGGGGCUUUUACAUAGGAAAAUCAACAUAAUACAGCAAUAACAUGAAAAUGACAUGAGGCACAUUUUAAGACAGAAAGUCUACAAGUGUUAUUACUUAGAGCUGUAGGUGCUUCACUAAACAGUCAAUAUAUAUCUACUUGAAAAUAUAAAAUUAUGCAUAGCAUACUCAAGCAAUAUAACCUAGUUUAAGAAAAUAUAACGAGUUGACCCAGCAGAGUUGGCCUAGGAGAAGUGAAUGCAGACAUAAUAGAGGGCUUUUAUAUGAGAAUAACCAAUUUAUUUUCAAGCAAAAAUAGGUGUAUACAUACAAAUAUAGAAGCUCUACAUGGCCUAUCUGUCACAGAGUGAAAGGGCCAGCCCUCAAAUGGUUGUUUAACCCACAGAUCCCAGAUUGACAAGUAUUUUCUAUAUUUCUUCUCUAAUAAUCAUUUAAAUUCUUCUAGUUUUCUGAAGCUUACCAAUUUUUAGAGUUGGAAGGUGUGACAAAAUACUGCAUUUUAUUGUCCCAGUUAAUUCCCCUGUGUUCGGUAGGUGCAUCUACCGAACACCGACCACUCCUUGACUCAUUGAACUUCAAAGAAACCACAAACGUAAGUGCUCUCCCUAUGGAGCAUACUCAUGCAGUCUUACUGUUCAAUUAUCUGCAAUGUUGGAGUUAAAGAAACAAUUUAGGGUCAGGAACACAAACAUGUUAAAUUUACUAUUUAGACCCACCACCCCUCGCACUCCUAAAUAUAGUAAAAUCUUACCCUAUUUUCAUUCUACCAGCACUGGCUCUUCCCCCAAUCAGCCUUGUUGGCUGACAUAAUCACAAGUGAUGAUAGGAAAGCAUUGGCUGAGAUUGUGAAGGAGACAAGGCUGGAGCCAAAUGUCAGCUUGGCCAAUCAGCAUUUCCUCAUAGAGAUGCAUUAAAUCAAUGCAUCUCUAUGGGGAAAGUUCAGUGAUAUUGAAGAUCAGUACCACAGGAAGCACCUCCUGUGGCCUUCUGAGGAGUAAACACUGGAGGUGUUCCUAGGGAGCAGUGUAAACACUGUCUUUUUUCUGAAAAGGCAGUGUUUGCAACUAUAUACCUUCAGGGACUGACUGUACUCACCAGAACAAUUACAUUAAGCUGUAGUUGUUUUAGUGACUGUAGUGUCCCUUUAAAUAACUUUUUUCUUUUUAUGCAGUCCUAGCCACAAACAUGCUGUCUGUGACUCACACCACCAGUGUGAAAAAAUCCAAUGUUAACUUGACUGCUCAGUAAAUUCUAAUUAAAACAGAAUAUGCAAUAAUAGAAGUUUAAACAUUAGAUCUCUCUUUACAGGAUUUGUUUAGACAAGCUUUGUUAGUCAAAUGCAGGAGGUGUGACUAGGGUUGCUUAAACAAAAUUAUUUAUUUCCUAAAUGGCAGAGUAUUGAUCAAUGAGACUGCAGGGGCAUGAACUAUACACUAAAACUGCUUCAUUAAGCUAAAAUGUUUUGGUGCCUGUAGUUUCUCUUUAAGUUGUGAAUAAGCCGAUCGGUCUAUAGACAUUAUCUAUAGACAUUAAAUAUAUGCCCAGAUUAGGAGUGAGUAGUAAUAGAAAGAACAGAUGUGUUUGAGAAUUUUGGAUAACAUUGCAUGUCAGUUGAUCUUGGAAAAAAGAGCCCAUGCCACAAACAGGAUUAUGGGUUACUGGACAUAAAAGGGAGAUGGCAGAUAAGAAAUCAAAACCACCCCAUAUCACCCGUCAAAACAUCAAAGUGGAGUGAUUGUGGGAUGGGGUGGUGUUUAUUAGACAUGUGCAUGGGAACAAAAAUGUUUCAGUUUUAGUAAUUCCAAAAUUUGUUUCAGUGAAAUUCAGAAAUUUAGCAAUUUGGAAUGAACCAAAAUUAAUCUGAGAAUUUUCAGAAACAUCCAAAAUUCAGACAUUGGCUAUUCCCUAUAUAGUAGAUAUAUCCCCAAAUUUAGUACCCUUAUAUGUGAUGCCCUUUUGAGGAUACCUCAUUUUAUAUUCUUUGUAGGACAAUCCAACAUAAUGGUUAGGGGUAUUGGAUAUCUAUAAAACAGAAACAUAGAAUGUUAAUGCAGAUAAGAACCAUUUGGCCCAUCUAGUCUGCCCAGUUUUCUUAAGUUUUCUUAUCUUAAGUUUAGUAUAGCAUUAUGCCUACCCCACACAUGCUUAAACUACCUCACUGUGUUAACCUCCCUCACUGUGUUAACCUCUACCACGUCAACAGGAAGGCUAUACAACAGGACCCUAAGAAGAGCAAAAUUAAUUUCAUUUGCUGUUUCCGUUGCUUAGUAGAUGUGUUCAUAAUUUGAUAUCCUUAUUGAUCUGAACAUUUUUGGACUCAUUAAUUUUCAUAUGUUCUUCUGUUUCAUAUCCUAUGGGGACAAUCAAUUUCAAGGACUUUUAACAGAAACUAAUUAUUAAUGGAUACUUGGAGACUGUCACUCAUCAGAAAAAAUAUCCUGGUGUAUUAUUAAUUGUUCUGUGACAUAACCUCUAUAUUCUCCUACUGGCUUCUGUAUGUAUAGAUUGUUUUUCCACAUUAAGUGUUUGCAACCUUUUUUUCUGAUACUAUCUAUUAUCAUAAUGUAUUUUGUGGUAUAUUGCUUAAGGUCAUUUAGUCCAGCUGUCUUGCUUUUUGGAUAUAGGUUAUUAUGCAGAAAUUCAGUAGGUAAAGACCAUAUACUUUUUCUUAGCAAUACAAAUUUUUGCAGCUGUCCAGAUUCGGAUAAUACAUUUAAGUGACUAACACUACAUUGAGAAAUGUGUUUGUGUUUAAUUUUUUUUUUUUUUUUUAAACAGAUCUGGACUGGUUAUAGCAAGGAGCCUCAUAAUUUGCAGAGUCUGUAUUGUUGAAAUUGUUUCUAAAUAUUUUAAAGGAGGAGAGAAGAACAUCCAAACCAGUGCUAGACCAAUGCCAGUGCUAGAUUUGCCACUAGUUGUUUAAGAGUUGUGAAAACAUUUGUUUUGGACCGUUUGUCUAAAUCAAAUGUCUUUGAAUCCACACCUGGAUGAAUCAAUGAUCCAGGAUUUACCUGUGGAGUCUUAGUCAUUGAAUAAAGCUCCACAGGUAAAUGCCAGAUCAUCAAUUCGUCCAUGCAUUUGAUCUAGAUAAACUGUCCAAAACAAAAUUUUGGCCUAGUCUACUGUUUAUUUCUGUGUGCAGGGAUAAAAAUUAGACUGCUCCUAGCCUACACAGUUAUGAUAUAAAGUGAAAGUUCUACAUAAACUUUAAUUUGUAGGCCAAGGUAUCCAACCUGGAAACAUAUCAAACUUUGAGAAUUUUUUAAGAUUAGUUAUUUAGGCCUUAAAUUUGAAAUGCACUCUGAAUUUUAUUUGGAUUUCCAAGAUCUCUCGUGUAAAGGAACACUAUAGGGUCAGAAUUACAAAGGUGUAUUCCUGACCCUGUAGUGUUAAAAACACUAUUUAGGUUGCUGACACUCCCCUCCUCACCUCCUGUAUUCCAGUGCUGCAUGGGUCUGCUGUCCCUGGCUCCGCCCCAAACCAUCCUCUUGGCUGAGGAUAAUUGACAAUCUCAGCCAAUGCAAUGCUUUGCCAUAUGUUGGAGCCAAAUGCCACUCUGACCAAUCAUCAUAUCUUAUAGACAUGCAUGGAGAUACUUAACAUAGCAUGGAGAUACUAUGCAGCAGUGCCCCAGGAAGCACCUCUGAGUGACCGCCACUGUAGGUGUCCCUAGGCAACAAUGUAAACACUGCAUUUGCUCUGAAAAUACAGUUUUUAUAUAAAAAUGCGAAAAGGGACUAAUUCUACUUACCAAAACAACUGUAGGUGUGCUGGUGACUAUAGUGUCCCUUUCAGUAAAUACAUCUUUAUGCAUACUUAUCUGAAAAUAACAUUAAAUAUAGAAAUGUACUCCUCUAUUCAGCAACUGCACACCUCCACCUUUCUGUCAUUCUUGGCUAUAUGUUCUUUACGUUGCAGUCCACUUAGAAUAAAAUGUACAAAGAAGAGGAGAAAUUAAACAAUGCUUCUCUUUUCACGUCAUUUGUAAUGUUUGCCAAAGAAUUAUGCAAUAUCUCCAUAACAGUGAGUGAAUAUAAAAAAGAAUGAGUACCGAAGUGCCGGCAUAUUUAAUUUAAAAAUGGACAAAAUAGAAGAGAAGAACAAUCAAAUUCAUAGACAUACCAGGUUCAAAUUAAUGGAGUAUCUACGUAAUGAUGAGUACUGCAAGAAUACCUUAUUUUUACUUUAGUAAAAUUUUCCAUAGAUUAAUGCAGUUAAACAUAUUGAAAUAGGACCAAGUUUUGGAUGUAACUUUUUUUAUAAUAAGAGGAACAGUAUCUCCUCAUUUACAACCUGCACACAGUCAAGUCAGAGUUUAUAAACACACCCAAAGCAUCUCAUAUUCUUGAUGUCUUCUUGAUCACAGAAGUGCCAUGGAGAUAGAUACAUUUACGCAUCUUCAGAGAGGCCAAAGGAGGGGCCUAAACAUUGGUCACUAAUGUAAUCCUCAAGUUUGAAAAUAAAUUCUUGAAAAAAAGCGAAGGAUUUAUCUCGAUUAGAAAGACCUAAGAGUGCUCCUAAUUUUAUUUGCAGAGAUAUAUAAAGAUCUAUAACAAUAUUUCUCAUUUUCCACUGAAUUGAGAUUAGUUUGUCUCCGUGUCACAGAAAGUGGUGAAAUUAAUAACUAAGCUUCUUAUAGCAAAGACAAGUAGUAGAUAUGAUGUGAAGUCAAUAUUUAUUAAUAUUGCAUAUGAUAUUUUAUUUAACAAUGUGUAUUGCAAACUCAUGAUUUCUGUUCAGUCUUUUUUAUAGUUGGUGAAGCUUAGCAUGCCAUAAAGAGUUGCUACAGAAUCUAUCUUAAAAGGUAAAUAAACUAGUAGAUGUUCAAUAAUGUGAUCUAUUGAAGAUCUUUAUUGGACACCAGAAACAUUAUUAAUUAACCCCUCACAAAUAGAUAUACUUUUCAGCUUGUAAUAUACCUCUUAAUAAUUAACUCUGUUUAAUUAAAAUGUAAGUUUUACAAAAAAUGUUUAUGUAUUUUCUGCCUAUGCUGAAGUACAUGUUCCCCCCUCCCCUCCACAUAAAGACUGAAACAUAUGCACAGUCAAAGAGACAUCUCCUUUAGUAGUCAAUGAGUAUCUAUUGUCCCUGUCCCUUAAAUCUUGUAUUUCGUGUUUUUUAUUUUUUUUCUGUUUUUCAUUAGAAUUUUUAAAAUAUAUAUUAUAUAAACUAUUACACCAAUAAUUUAAUAAAAUAUGCUUGCAUUUGUACUACUGUUACUUAAUGCAUACAACAUUUGAAUUUACUAACUAAAUAGUUUUACAUGACAAAGAAAGUACAUAAAAUAUGAAUAAAACACAAAGAAAAUGCAUUUGAAAAAUGUGAAUACACUAUAUACUAUAUACUUUACACUUAAGACUGUCUUGUCAUGUCCAGGUGGUUUAAAAACUUAAAGCACUUCAGCUGCUAAAGUGUGAAUGUUAGAAGCGUUUAUGUGUGAAGAGCGUGUCCUCAUUUUUUUGUUUUGUUUUUCUACAAAACCAAAUUUGCAAGCUGUUUUUAUACCCCCAAUGAGGUAAAAAAAAAUGUGUAAUUAAAUACAUGCAUGUUUUCAUUUCUGGUAUGCAUGCUAAAUGAUGAUUUAAUUAUUUUUCAUUGAGGCAGUGAAGUGUCAUUUUUAACAUAUUUUUUUGUGGCAUAAAACAUUUAGCAUAUGGAUAAAAGGUAAGGCACUGGAAUAAAUAUUCAGUGUCUUAAAACUCCAUAAGCUUAUAGUUAAAUAUAUCUGCAUCAUAUUUUCAUUCUUUUUAAGCAAUAUUAACCUUGUUCAACAUGCAUUUAGAUAUUUUUUUGUUUAAAUAUCUUAAUUUGUGACUUUGUUCAACUUUUUUUUCCAAAUGUCAUUUAUUUUAGUUGAAUCCUAAAAAUGCAAGUACACUGUCUUCAGCAUUAUUACCACUUAAACUGCUUCAUGAAAAAUGUCUAUUUUUUUCCAGUUCCGUUUGGAACAUGAGAAGUAAAAAAUAACAUACACAUACAUAUAAAUGCAUCUGUGUGUAUGUGUAGUGACAGACAAAACCUAGUGAAAGCAAAACACUUGGGAUCUAGAACUCUACACAUUCUGAAACCUUUAGAGUAGUUAAGUCAUGACAUUACAUUUCCAAGCAGGCAACACAUCAGGUCUAACAAACAAAAACCUGUAUUUAAAAGUUUAAAAGGUCAGAAAGAGAAUUAAUUUCUCAAAGACAUCCUAUAAAUGCUGAUAUAAAGAUACAUGUUUUGCACAUUCCUUUUUGUAUGCCCUUAUCCUCUUUAUAUGCCAUUGAACCUUCAUUCAAUGAUGUAAAAGUAAAUGCUGUGCUAUAUUGAAAUAUAUUGUAUUUCAUCUUUAAAAACAUAUUUGUAAUCUAAAAAUAAAUUAGCACAUGCAUAAAAUUAUAUUUCUUGGGGUGACAAAAUGUUCUCAGGUGUCUGAUUUAUUGCAGAAAAUAUUUUCCUUAAUGUAGUCUAUAAAAUAUAUACUGUUUUUUGUUGUUGCUUUAAAAAAACAAACAAAAAAAACCAUUUUAUUGACUACCACUCACCUUCCAGACAUGUUUUUAUAAGAGCCAAGAUUAACCUUCUUUUAGAUUUUCUUUCGGAUCCCUUAUGCCAUCAUUGUUUUUUUGUUUUUUUUAGAAAUAUAUCCCAGACUUAAGAGUUAAGCACAUGUAGCAUCUAAAAAGUUUGACAGUUUUGAACUACAGAUUUUAAAAAAUGUUUUAAAAAAAUGAAAACAAGAGCUCGAAGAGUCUUAAUGGUCAACCAAAUUCACUGACAACAAAUAGCUGCACUUGCAGAACAGGAACGGUGGUCCUCUAUUGGACAACCAAUAUUAAGUACCCUUUUUUAUGUCAUCAAGUAAAUAAAAAAUUAUAUUAAUUUUGAGUGCCAGCUUUGUGGUCUUUGACUAUUUUUAUAACAUCUUAUUUUUGCAUUGUUUGUUGAUUUUACAUUAUGCUUGAAAUGUACAUUAAUCUUGGGCAAAACUGUUUUAUGCAAAAUGCGAUUUUCACCAUCACAUUGAGAUAUAAGUAAAUACAUUCUUGUAAUUAGAAUUUAAUUUAUUAUUUUUUACAGAAGUAGUGUGGGAUAUUUUUAUUUACUUGUAUUUUUAUCUGUAUAAUAAAAUUGUAUCCCUAAAAUAAAAAAAAAAUAUAUGGCAAGAUCUGAAGUUAUAAAAUAGCAGCAAGAUUAAAAUACAAAUAGAAAACAGAGAUAAAAAAUGGCGCUAAAAGUAAUUAUAAUAUAUAGAAUAUCAUAUAUAGAGAACCAGUGCAGCACACAUAGAUAACCACCCAAGUGUAUAGUCACUGUAUAACACUUACAUACAAGGAUAAAAUGAAAGAGGACGGUGAUUGCGCACACAGUAAAUGAUAUCCUUAGUCUAGGAUGAAGUCCCUAGGUUCUGUAAACAUAAAAAAACAUCAUAGGGCAAUAUAUCUUAGACUUAAAUAAAGUGUAGGAAAAACUUGGAAAACUCACAAUAUUUAGAGCCUUUCUGAGUUGGCUCUAAACUUUUAAAGCAGGUUUAUCAAUCUGGUGCAGAUAACGUAGUAUAGAUCCCUUGGCAACCAUCAAACGUCUUCUUUAUAUAGAAGUCAGGAACCAGGAUGACCAGAUAGAUGAAAAGUAAAUACUUUAAUUGUAAAACAAAUAAAAAUAUAGCACAACGCGUUUCGACCUAGUGCAAUAGGUCUUCCUCAGGUGCAUAACAUAAGACAGUCAAACAACAUUCUUAUAUACCAUACAUAAUAAGUAUAAUUACUGAUAAAUAAAUAAAUGGAGGAGGCAUAUAAAGGUUGUUUCUCGCCGGAAACACUCCAUAUAUGGAGUUAAGGACGGACUUUACAGCUGUGAACGUUUUAUCAGUAAUUAUACUUAUUAUGUAUGGUAUAUAAGAAUGUUGUUUGACUGUCUUAUGUUAUGCACCUGAGGAAGACCUAUUGCACUAGGUCGAAACGCAUUGUGCUAUAUUUUUAUUUGUUUUACAAUUAAAGUAUUUACUUUUCAUCUAUCUGGUCAUCCUGGUUCCUGACUUCUAUAUAAAGAAGACGUUUGAUGGUUGCCAAGGGAUCUAUACUACGUUAUCUGCACCAGAUUGAUAAACCUGCUUUAAAAGUUUAGAGCCAACUCAGAAAGGCUCUAAAUAUUGUGAGUUUUCCAAGUUUUUCCUACACUUUAUUUAAGUCUAAGAUAUAUUGCCCUAUGAUGGUUUUUUAUGUUUACAGAACCUAGGGACUUCAUCCUAGACUAAGGAUAUCAUUUACUGUGUGCGCAAUCACCGUCCUCUUUCAUUUUAGCAAGAUUAAAAUGAGAAGAUUUCUUUGUCCUUGUGUAUUUAGAAUUAACUGAUUAAAACAUUUCAUUUUUAAUAGUAAAAACAAAGAAAACGUUACCUGCGCUCUGGCCUAAAUCCCCAUGUGCAUUUAAACAAAAAUGGAGGCUCUUUAGUUUUAUUCUAAUGGCCAUUUGAAUAUAUAAGCUCACCAGCCACGUCAAGGCAAGCCUCAAUAGGUGAGUUCCUACACUAGCCAUUAGAUAUGCUGAUAUCAGCCAAGAGUGUCCAGUGAGACAGGAAGGGGUAUUUUAUAAACCUUUUAACAUUUAACCCUUUAUAGGGCUUCUGCACAUACAAUACACUUUGCUGAUAUCAGACAAAGUGAGACAGAAAGGGGUGUUUUAUAAACCCUUUAACAUUUAACCCUUUAUAGGGCUUCUACACAUUCAAUAAACUUUGCUGUUAUCAGACAAAGUAUAGACGUCUCUAAUGAGACAUGAAAGGGUGUUUUAUAAACCCCUACAUACUUUAUCCUGAAUAGGGCUAUAACAUACAAAUCACCUUGCUGGUAUCAGCUAAAAGGCAAAUUUCUCUGAUGAGACAGGAAGGGGUGCUGCCCCUACAUACUUAUAAAGUCUUAAUAAGACUGGACCCCAGGGAAAAGUCCACGCCAGCACUCCAGGUAGGAGGCUGGGUGGACAUUUUUUUAAAAUUAACAUGUAAUAAUUUGUUCUUGUGUGUGUCUGUGUGUGUGUGAGUGAGUGUGAGUGAGUGUGUGUCUGUGUGUGUCUGUGAAUGUAUGUGUGUGAGUGUCUAUGUGUGUGUCUGUGAGUGUGUGUGUGUGUGUGUAUGUAUGUGUGUAUGUGUGUGUGUGUGUGUGUCUGUGAGUGUAUGUAUGUGUGUGUGUGUAUAUAUAUAUAUAUAUAUACACACACACACGCAGAGCCGGCGCUAUCUGAGUGCCGGCUCUGCUCUAAGCCUCCAUGGGCCGGCGGGGAGACCAAAGAUCUACCUCACUGGCCCACAGCAGCAUGGAAGGAGGCAGGAGAGGACCCAGGGAGCUCUAGACAGAAGCUCCGCCAGGUUCCUCUCGCGAUAUCUGAGUGUUGCUGCGGCAACGCUCAGAUCUCGCGAAAGUUAACUCUAACCCCGCAGGCUAGAGUUCACUCUCCACUGGACCACCAUGGAUGGCACAUGGCAGCAAGGAUUUACUAAUCUGCCAAAUCCCUCCAAACAUACAGCACACACACAUACAGCACCUACACACAUACAGCUCACACACACACAGUACACUAACCGCACCCUCACAAACACACACAGCACCUUUAAAAAAAACACAACACCCUCACACACAGCACACUAACAGCACCCUCACGAACACACACACACACACACACACACACAAACAGCACCCUCACAAAUACACGACACUCACACAAACAGCACCCUCACAGGACAAACAUACACACACAGACAGCACAGUCACAAACACACACACACACACACACACACAAACACCCUCACAUCACACUAACAACACUAAAAAAGAAGAAUAAAAAAAAAAAAGAGAUUCUUGAUUCCUGGCAGCAAGAAUACUAUCCUCCAAUAAGGAACCUAUAUUCUACUUCAUGCCAUACCAGGGAUCGCUGGCAGUAAAAGGUUAAGAUUGUUUGUGCUCCCAGCCAAUCACUGUCCCAUUUCCUGGUAUAGAAUAGUAGGAUGCAAGGUGGAAGUAUAUCUCUACCUCUGCCAUAUUGCCAUAGGAAACCAUGAUGGCUCUGGACAAACUUCAUAGGAGACAUGAGUAAUAAAGGGACUGACAUUUAACCUCUUAACACAUAUACACAGACUCAUUGAUAAAAGGACAAAACAUUGAUCAUGAUGUAAAAAUCAAUUUUUACAAGAAAGUGAUUAGUGAUUUGAGAGUUUUAAAUUUGCACAAGGCUUUUCUCAUCUAUAGUAUAUAUUUAUAUAUAUCCAUGCAGUCAAUAAAAUGCUGUACAUUUUCUUUUUCUCUCUGCCAAUAAUAGUUUACAGGAUGUUUGCAGCAUUGUCUGUUACAGUGACAAUUGCAGAAAAAGCUUGCAGCGUGUACAGUGAUUAUUGGGAAUGUGAAUCAAAUUAUAGCCAAAACAUAAUAUUCUUAAAGGCUUCUUAUAGUAGAAAUGACUAUAUAGAAAGUUCUAUGCAGAAAUAACAGAAGCUUAGAGAUAAUUCUUGAAAUGUAUGGCUUUAUAUCUUUAUAAUGUGUGCAAAAUAUAAAAUGUUCAAUUCCAUAAUAAAUAUUUAAAAUAUUGUUGGAANNNNNNNNNNNNNNNNNNNNNNNNNNNNNNNNNNNNNNNNNNNNNNNNNNNNNNNNNNNNNNNNNNNNNNNNNNNNNNNNNNNNNNNNNNNNNNNNNNNNGGAAUACAAAUGUGUAUUCCUGACCCUGUAGUGUUAAAAACACUAUUUAGGUUGCCACCACUCCCCUCCUCACCUCCUGUAUUCCAGUGCUGCAUGGAUCUGCUGUCCCUGGCUCCACCCCAAACAUCAUCUUGGCUGAGGAUAAUUGACAAUCUCAGCCAAUGCAAUGCUUUGCCAUAUGUUGGAGCCAAAUGCCACUCUGACCAAUCAGCAUAUCUUAUAGACAUGCAUGGAGAUACUUAACAUAGCAUGGAGAUACUAUGCAGCAGUGCCCCAGGAAGCACCUCUGAGUGACCGCCACUGUAGGUGUCCCUAGGCAACAAUGUAAACACUGCAUUUGCUCUGAAAAUACAGUGUUUAUAUAAAAAUGCGAAAAGGGACUAAUUCUACUUACCAAAACAACUGUAGGUGUGCUGGUGACUAUAGUGUCCCUUUCAGUAAAUACAUCUUUAUGCAUACUUAUCUGAAAAUAACAUUAAAUAUAGAAAUGUACUCCUCUAUUCAGCAACUGCACACCUCCACCUUUCUGUCAUUCUUGGCUAUAUGUUCUUUACGUUGCAGUCCACUUAGAAUAAAAUGUACAAAGAAGAGGAGAAAUUAAACAAUGCUUCUCUUUUCACGUCAUUUGUAAUGUUUGCCAAAGAAUUAUGCAACAUCUCCAUAACAGUGAGUGAAUAUAAAAAAGAAUGAGUACCGAAGUGCCGGCAUAUUUAAUUUAAAAAUGGACAAAAUAGAAGAGAAGAACAAUCAAAUUCAUAGACAUACCAGGUUCAAAUUAAUGGAGUAUCUACGUAAUGAUGAGUACUGCAAGAAUACCUUAUUUUUACUUUAGUAAAAUUUUCCAUAGAUUAAUGCAGUUAAACAUAUUGAAAUAGGACCAAGUUUUGGAUGUAACUUUUUUUAUAAUAAGAGGAACAGUAUCUCCUCAUUUACAACCUGCACACAUUCAAGUCAGAGUUUAUAAACACACCCAAAGCAUCUCAUAUUCUUGAUGUCUUCUUGAUUACAGAAGUGCCAUGGAGAUACUUUACGCAUCUUCAGAGAGGCCAAAGGAGGGGCCUAAACAUUGGUGACAAAUGUAAUCCUCAAGUUUGAAAAUAAAUUCUUGAAAAAAAGCGAAGGAUUUAUCUCGAUUAGAAAGACCUAAGAGUGCUCCUAAUUUUAUUUGCAGAGAUAUAUAAAGAUCUAUAACAAUAUUUCUCAUUUUCCACUGAAUUGAGAUUAGUUUGUCUCCGUGUCACAGAAAGUGGUGAAAUUAAUAACUAAGCUUCUUAUAGCAAAGACAAGUAGUAGAUAUGAUGUGAAGUCAAUAUUUAUUAAUAUUGCAUAUGAUAUUUUAUUUAACAAUGUGUAUUGCAAACUCAUGAUUUCUGUUCAGUCUUUUUUAUAGUUGGUGAAGCUUAGCAUGCCAUAAAGAGUUGCUACAGAAUCUAUCUUAAAAGGUAAAUAAACUAGUAGAUGUUCAAUAAUGUGAUCUAUUGAAGAUCUUUAUUGGACACCAGAAACAUUAUUAAUUAACCCCUCACAAAUAGAUAUACUUUUCAGCUUGUAAUAUACCUCUUAAUAAUUAACUCUGUUUAAUUAAAAUGUAAGUUUUACAAAAAAUGUUUAUGUAUUUUCUGCUGAAGUACAUGUUCCCUGAAAUUGGAGCUACUGUGGGAUGUAGCCCCCCUCCCCUCCACAUAAAGACUAAAACAUAUGCACAGUCAAAGAGACAUCUCCUUUAGUAGUCACUGAGUAUCUAUUGUCCCUGUCCCUUAAAUCUUGUAUUUCGUGUUUUUUAUUAUUUAUUUUCUGUUUUUCAUUAGAAUUUUUAAAAUAUAUAUUAUAUAAACUAUUACACCAAUAAUUUAAUAAAAUAUGCUUGCAUUUGUACUACUGUUAAUGCAUACAACAUUUGAAUUUACUAACUAAAUAGUUUUACAUGACAAAGAAAGUACAUAAAAUAUGAAUAAAACACAAAGAAAAUGCAUUUGAAAAAUGUGAAUACACUAUAUACUAUAUACUUUACACUUAAGACUGUCUUGUCAUGUCCCGGUGGUUUAAAAACUUAAAGCACUUCAGCUGCUAAAGUGUGAAUGUUAGAAGCGUUUAUGUGUGAAGAGCGUGUCCUCAUUUUUUUGUUUUGUUUUUCUACAAAACCAAAUUUGCAAGCUGUUUUUAUACCCCCAAUGAGUUAAAAAAAAUGUGUAAUUAAAUACAUGCAUGUUUUCAUUUCUGGUAUGCAUGCUAAAUGAUGAUUUAAUUAUUUUUCAUUGAGGCAGUGAAGUGUCAUUUUUAACAUAUUUUUUUGUGGCAUAAAACAUUUAGCAUAUGGAUAAAAGGUAAGGCACUGGAAUAAAUAUUCAGUGUCUUAAAACUCCAUAAGCUUAUAGUUAAAUAUAGCUGCAUCAUAUUUUCAUUCUUUUUAAGCAAUAUUAACCUUGUUCAACAUGCAUUUAGAUAUUUUUUUGUUUAAAUAUCUUAAUUUGUGACUUUGUUCAACUUUUUUUCCAAAUGUCAUUUAUUUUAGUUGAAUCCUAAAAAUGCAAGUACACUGUCUUCAGCACUAUUACCACUUAAACUGCUUCAUGAAAAAUGUCUAUUUUUUUCCAGUUCCGUUUGGAACAUGAGAAGUAAAAAAUAACAUACACAUACAUAUAAAUGCAUCUGUGUGUAUGUGUAGUGACAGACAAAACCUAGUGAAAGCAAAACACUUGGGAUCUAGAACUCUACACAUUCUGAAACCUUUAGAGUAGUUAAGUCAUGACAUUACAUUUCCAAGCAGGCAACACAUCAGGUCUAACAAACAAAAACCUGUAUUUAAAAGUUUAAAAGGUCAGAAAGAGAAUUAAUUUCUCAAAGACAUCCUAUAAAUGCUGAUAUAAAGAUACAUGUUUUGCACAUUCCUUUUUGUAUGCCCUUAUCCUCUUUAUAUGCCAUUGAACCUUCAUUCAAUGAUGUAAAAGUAAAUGCUGUGCUAUAUUGAAAUAUAUUGUAUUUCAUCUUUAAAAACAUAUUUGUAAUCUAAAAAUAAAUUAGCACAUGCAUAAAAUUAUAUUUCUUGGGGUGACAAAAUGUUCUCAGGUGUCUGAUUUAUUGCAGAAAAUAUUUUCCUUAAUGUAGUCUAUAAAAUAUAUACUGUUUUUUGUUGUUGCUUUAAAAAACAAACAAAAAAAAAACAUUUUAUUGACUACCACUCACCUUCCAGACAUGUUUUUAUAAGAGCCAAGAUUAACCUUCUUUUAGAUUUUCUUUCAGAUCCCUUAUGCCAUCAUUGUUUUUUUGUUUUUUUUAGAAAUAUAUCCCAGACUUAAGAGUUAAGCACAUGUAGCAUCUAAAAAGUUUGACAGUUUUGAACUACAGAUUUUAAAAAAUGUUUUAAAAAAAUGAAAACAAGAGCUCGAAGAGUCUUAAUGGUCAACCAAAUUCACUGAGAACAAAUAGCUGCACUUGCAGAACAGGAACGGUGGUCCUCUGUUGGACAACCAAUAUUAAGUACCCUUUUUUAUGUCAUCAAGUAAAUAAAAAAUUAUAUUAAUUUUGAGUGCCAGCUUUGUGGUCUUUGACUAUUUUUAUAGCAUCUUAUUUUUGCAUUGUUUGUUGAUUUUACAUUAUGCUUGAAAUUUGCAUUAAUCUUGGGCAAAACUGUUUUAUGCAAAAUGCGAUUUUCACCAUCACAUUGAGAUAUAAGUAAAUGCAUUCUUGUAAUUAGAAUUUAAUUUAUUAUUUUUUACAGAAGUAGUGUGGGAUAUUUUUAUUUACUUGUAUUUUUAUCUGUAUAAUAAAAUUGUAUCCCUAAAAUAAAAAAAAAAUAUAUGGCAAGAUCUGAAGUUAUAAAAUAGCAGCAAGAUUAAAAUACAAAUAGAAAACAGAGAUAAAAAAUGGCGCUAAAAGUAAUUAUAAUAUAUAGAAUAUCAUAUAUAGAGAACCAGUGCAGCACACAUAGAUAACCACCCAAGUGUAUAGUCACUGUAUAACACUUACAUACAAGGAUAAAAUGAAAGAGGACGGUGAUUGCGCACACAGUAAAUGAUAUCCUUAGUCUAGGAUGAAGUCCCUAGGUUCUGUAAACAUAAAAAAACAUCAUAGGGCAAUAUAUCUUAGACUUAAAUAAAGUGUAGGAAAAACUUGGAAAACUCACAAUAUUUAGAGCCUUUCUGAGUUGGCUCUAAACUUUUAAAGCAGGUUUAUCAAUCUGGUGCAGAUAACGUAGUAUAGAUCCCUUGGCAACCAUCAAACGUCUUCUUUAUAUAGAAGUCAGGAACCAGGAUGACCAGAUAGAUGAAAAGUAAAUACUUUAAUUGUAAAACAAAUAAAAAUAUAGCACAACGCGUUUCGACCUAGUGCAAUAGGUCUUCCUCAGGUGCAUAACAUAAGACAGUCAAACAACAUUCUUAUAUACCAUACAUAAUAAGUAUAAUUACUGAUAAAUAAAUAAAUGGAGGAGGCAUAUAAAGGUUGUUUCUCGCCGGAAACACUCCAUAUAUGGAGUUAAGGACGGACUUUACAGCUGUGAACGUUUUAUCAGUAAUUAUACUUAUUAUGUAUGGUAUAUAAGAAUGUUGUUUGACUGCCUUAUGUUAUGCACCUGAGGAAGACCUAUUGCACUAGGUCGAAAUGCGUUGUGCUAUAUUUUUAUUUGUUUUACAAUUAAAGUAUUUACUUUUCAUCUAUCUGGUCAUCCUGGUUCCUGACUUCUAUAUAAAGAAGACGUUUGAUGGUUGCCAAGGGAUCUAUACUACGUUAUCUGCACCAGAUUGAUAAACCUGCUUUAAAAGUUUAGAGCCAACUCAGAAAGGCUCUAAAUAUUGUGAGUUUUCCAAGUUUUUCCUACACUUUAUUUAAGUCUAAGAUAUAUUGCCCUAUGAUGGUUUUUUAUGUUUACAGAACCUAGGGACUUCAUCCUAGACUAAGGAUAUCAUUUACUGUGUGCGCAAUCACCGUCCUCUUUCAUUUUAGCAAGAUUAAAAUGAGAAGAUUUCUUUGUCCUUGUGUAUUUAGAAUCAUUUUUAAUAGUAAAAACAAAGAAAACGUUACCUGCGCUCUGGCCUAAAUCCCCAUGUGCAUUUAAACAAAAAUGGAGGCUCUUUAGUUUUAUUCUAAUGGCCAUUUGAAUAUAUAAGCUCACCAGCCACGUCAAGGCAAGCCUCAAUAGGUGAGUUCCUACACUAGCCAUUAGAUAUGCUGAUAUCAGCCAAGAGUGUCCAGUGAGACAGGAAGGGGUAUUUUAUAAACCUUUUAACAUUUAACCCUUUAUAGGGCUUCUGCACAUACAAUAAACUUUGCUGAUAUCAGACAAAGUGAGACAGAAAGGGGUGUUUUAUAAACCCUUUAACAUUUAACCCUUUAUAGGGCUUCUACACAUUCAAUAAACUUUGCUGGUAUCAGACAAAGUAUAGACGUCUCUAAUGAGACAUGAAAGGGUGUUUUAUAAACCCCUACAUACUUUAUCCUGAAUAGGGCUAUAACAUACAAAUCACCUUGCUGGUAUCAGCUAAAAGGCAAAUUUCUCUGAUGAGACAGGAAGGGGUGCUGCCCCUACAUACUUAUAAAGUCUUAAUAAGACUGGACCCCAGGGAAAAGUCCACGCCAGCACUCCAGGUAGGAGGCUGGGUGGACAUUUUUUUAAAAUUAACAUGUAAUAAUUUGUUCUUGUGUGUGUCUGUGUGUGUGUGAGUGAGUGUGUGUCUGUGUGUGUCUGUGUGUGUCUGUGUGUGUCUGUGUGUGUCUGUGUGUGUCUGUGAAUGUAUGUGUGUGAGUGUCUAUGUGUGUGUCUGUGAGUGUGUAUGUAUGUGUGUGUGUGUGUGUGAAUGUGUGUGUCUGUGAGUGUAUGUGUGUGUGUGUGUCUGUGAGUGUAUGUAUGUGUGUGUGUGUAAUAUAUAUAUAUAUAUAUAUAUAUAUAUAUAUAUAUAUAUAUAUAUAUAUAUUACACACACACACGCAGAGCCGGCGCUAUCUGAGUGCCGGCUCUGCUCUAAGCCUCCAUGGGCCGGCGGGGAGACCAAAGAUCUACCUCACUGGCCCACAGCAGCAUGGAAGGAGGCAGGAGAGGACCCAGGGAGCUCUAGACAGAAGCUCCGCCAGGUUCCUCUCGCGAUAUCUGAGUGUUGCUGCGGCAACGCUCAGAUCUCGCGAAAGUUAACUCUAACCCCGCAGGCUAGAGUUCACUCUCCACUGGACCACCAUGGAUGGCACAUGGCAGCAAGGAUUUACUAAUCUGCCAAAUCCCUCCAAACAUACAGCACACACACAUACAGCACCUACACACAUACAGCUCACACACACACAGUACACUAACCGCACCCUCACAAACACACACAGCACCUUUAAAAAAAACACAACACCCUCACACACAGCACACUAACAGCACCCUCACGAACACACACACACACACACACACAAACAGCACCCUCACAAAUACACGACACUCACACAAACAGCACCCUCACAGGACAAACAUACACACACAGACAGCACAGUCACAAACACACACACACACACACACACACAAACACCCUCACAUCACACUAACAACACUAAAAAAGAAGAAUAAAAAAAAAAAAGAGAUUCUUGAUUCCUGGCAGCAAGAAUACUAUCCUCCAAUAAGGAACCUAUAUUCUACUUCAUGCCAUACCAGGGAUCGCUGGCAGUAAAAGGUUAAGAUUGUUUGUGCUCCCAGCCAAUCACUGUCCCAUUUCCUGGUAUAGAAUAGUAGGAUGCAAGGUGGAAGUAUAUCUCUACCUCUGCCAUAUUGCCAUAGGAAACCAUGAUGGCUCUGGACAAACUUCAUAGGAGGCAUGAGUAAUAAAGGGACUGACAUUUAACCUCUUAACACAUAUACACAGACUCAUUGAUAAAAGGACAAAACAUUGAUCAUGAUGUAAAAAUCAAUUUUUACAAGAAAGUGAUUAGUGAUUUGAGAGUUUUAAAUUUGCACAAGGCUUUUCUCAUCUAUAGUAUAUAUUUAUAUAUAUCCAUGCAGUCAAUAAAAUGCUGUACAUUUUCUUUUUCUCUCUGCCAAUAAUAGUUUACAGGAUGUUUGCAGCAUUGUCUGUUACAGUGACAAUUGCAGAAAAGCUUGCAGCGUGUACAGUGAUUAUUGGGAAUGUGAAUCAAAUUAUAGCCAAAACAUAAUAUUCUUAAAGGCUUCUUAUAGUAGAAAUGACUAUAUAGAAAGUUCUAUGCAGAAAUAACAGAAGCUUAGAGAUAAUUCUUGAAAUGUAUGGCUUUAUAUCUUUAUAAUGUGUGCAAAAUAUAAAAUGUUCAAUUCCAUAAUAAAUAUUUAAAAUAUUGUUGGAAUAAAAUGAAGAUUUGGGUUUGAUAAUAGGUAAAUGAAUCUCAGUCAGAGAUAGAUCACUUAGUACCAGGUGUAGAUGUCUAUGUUGGCAACUAACUUGAAUUUAUUUUUUAUAAUUUUUAUUUUGUCACUCCACAACCCCAAGUCUUUUUGUAUGUAAGGUAGGCAAUAGAUCGUUCAUUCAUAAAUAUGCACAUUCAUGUAUGUGCAUAUAUUGUUAAACACACAAACAAAAGUGCAUUAACACAAUCAUUUACUCACCUUCUCUCUAAAUCUCUCACACAUGUACAUGCUUGAUAUUUGAUUAUUUUUUUUUUCCCUAGUGAGGUCCACCCAGACUCUCUCUUUCAACCUUGAGAGGAAGAGCUGGAGCUAUGCUAAUUGGGUGCUGCUAGGAUAUCUGUGCACACAUCUUGAAUGGCUACCUGGAUGCAAAGAAGCUUUUUAUUGAUGCCAGGAGCAAGUCACAUCCUUGCUCCUGGCAUCAGUACAGCAUAGGCCUCCACAUUGGCAUCCCAUAAAUCGGGUUGCUUUUGGUAGGGGCUAAAUGAGGUAGGACAGUAAUCUGAAUUCUGUCAGUGGCAAUGACUGAAGGAAUGUGAGCCACGUGGGAUGUGGGACAGUACAAAAUACUUGUAUGACAGCCUGGCUUAAAUGCACACCAGGCUGUCUGCCAAUCAAGCAGGCCAGCUCACUGAGGGCAUGCCAUGCAGAAAACCCUGUUUGAUAAAAUCUGUUCUGUCCCACUGAAAUCAGGACUUCUUGGAGGCCUUGUAGAGGUACACGAGUUGUGCAACAAAUGCACAGAGCAGUUCCAGCAACUCCCUCUCAGCUGUACAUUCACAUAAUAAGGCACCAACUUAGUUGUACCACUAUUUCAAACAACUGCUCUAUCUAAAUAUUUCUGGCAGGAGGGGAAUGAUCUUUGCUGUCAUCUGAGCAAGAUCAACCUCUGGGUACCCAGUUUGUCCACUAUUGCUCUCAAUAGUGAUAAACGCUAUUUACUUUUAGUGUAAAAAGUAAUCGAUGGUGAGUAAUUAAUAUGCCAAUAGAAUAUAUACCAUAUAUUCAGCUUGACCAUGAUUUAAACAAAAUUAUUUUAUGUAUGAAUAUCCCCACAUAUAUAAUUUAAUCAAGAUAUUAUUUUAAUUUCAGUCAUAGUAGCAUAGCAUACUAGAAUAAAUGAUUUGACCAAGUAGAAGGAAAAUUUUGAUCUUGUGAAUUUUAGGUUUAUGAUAAAAAUUUACAUUCAAAACUCAGUCAAAGUUUCAUUGCUCUUUGCCAUGGCUAUUUUACAAGUAACAAACAAACUAUCCAGCAGAAUCAAAGUAGUUGUUAUGGGCAUAUGAUUUAUUGAUCUCUGAGAAUAUCAAAUAUUACAUUAAUAUGUGAGAUAUACACAUAAUUUUUUUUUUUUUUUUAGAAUAUAUAUAUUUUAAAAUGUAUAUAAUCUAUUAUUCCACAAAACAGGCACACUCUCAGGACUUAAUUAUAGUAAAUGCUUAUGAAAAUAAACACGGUUACAUCCAAUCGAUAUUUGGGCCAUUUUUCAUGUUAACCAAAACUGUGCAACAAUAUCUGUAUAUGUAGGAACAAAGUUAUGAAGUACUCAUCAUUAAGUGAUUCCAUCCAUGCUCUGUGUGUUCCAAUGUAACGGAAGUCCCUCAACAGUGACAUAUGCACACCCACCAUUUGGUUGUUAACAUACAAUAUAUAAUUCGGCAAUUCAGCUAUUCGGACAUUCGGAAGUAUCCAAAUGUCCGAAUUGCCCGAAAUUCGUCCGAAUUCACAUUCGGAACGAAACGAAUUGCACAUGUCUAAUGUUUAGCCAACAAUGUUACACAAUCUGAAUGUUCCAAUUCAAAUUGUAAUGCUUGUGUGAAAUUUUUGAUGUUUUGUGAAAUAUUUUGAUAUUUUGAAUUAUUGUUUCAUUUUUUGAACUCUGAUAUAUUUUCUUCAAUCUAAAAACCAUGUGGAUUGUUGUUUGAGGUGAAACACUUUGUCUUGCACUCAAUACUCUGGUUAAUCAGUAAGUCUCCACUGUUUUAAGGGUGACUGAUGAUGGGUAAGUACAAAUGUAAGUUUUCUAUAGAGGACAGAAACUUGAGAAUCCGUGAGUACCUUAUUUAAAAAUGGUUACUACCUUUUCACCGUAGGCAGAUUUCCCUGUGGUCCAGUGUGCUUUAUCUUUUUGUCCCCAUUUGGAAACAUGAGACUUGUUUGACCUUUUGUUAUUAUUUGUGUCUCUGUUGCAGUGUUGCUUGUGUGUGUAUGUGUGUGUGUAUGGCUAUAUCUAAGACAUCGAAGAUGGUGCAAUUGAAUUACCCGAGGUACCUUUAGUACUUAGAAUUUUUGUGUCUGAUGCCUAUUCCCCAGUACAGGCAUCCACAGCCGAAAAUAAAGGUUUCUUAAUCUGAAGUCUGGGUCCCUGGAUGUUAAAUUCUAGGUUGCUUUCUUUUAUAUAUGUCCACAUUAGUGGUUGGGGCUUUUUCUCUGUCCUCUGUUGUUGCUGUAUAAUACUUUAAUACAUUAUAGUUUACUUUUCUUUACAAAACAAUACCACUGUUAUAACAUAUUUAGAAUUUUACUCCAUUUUUAGAAUAAUGGAAACAAUGUUUUGUAUUCAGGCAAACAAGCAUUUCUUUUGAAGUUUGCUGCUCUUGGCUCAAAGUUGAACUAAGGUAAUUGUUGUAUUAGUUAUGUCUAAAAAAUAACUUGCAGCCCUUUUCUCCCAUCAACUAUAUUGUCAGAUCGAUAUUGAUUCCACAAAUAUGUUCAAAUAUGUGCCAGAUCUCUCCAAUGCUUCCAUCAGUAUAAUGGACAAAGUACAGUUUUAAGCAACUUGAAAUUACUUGGAAGGUCACAAUCAAGACAUCAACAAAGUCUGCUAAAUCACCUUGAAGAAGAACUUUAAAAAAAACACAACAAUCUUGCAUCUGCAAGAUUCAUUUGAUCAUAAAAUGUGUGUUUGUAAUUAAUUAGCAAGCAGGAUUAACAAGAUUUUUUUUAAAUAUAAUGUGAGCUAUCAAAUUGAAAAUCAAAGUAAAGAAUUUUAUUUGUGCUUGAGCUUGUACGUGUUUAUUAGUCCCCAAAUCUCUUGAUUCCUACAUCUAAUUUAUCUUCAUAAAUAUGUUUUCUUUCUCAUGUCAAAUAUACCAAAAACCUGUUGAGUUAUGAUGACACAUGAAUAACAUUUUUGGCGAUAUAGAUAAUCUUGAGCAUAAGAGAAGAAACAGAAUACUAACUUGCUUCAAACAUUUAGCUUAUAAAAUAUAGCAUUUUUCACUAAACCAUAAUCCCCUGGUAAGUUGCUAACAAUUCCCAAAUUUAAAGAUAAAAUGACACAAUAAAAUUCUGUAAAGUCCCAGUUUAAUGAAUACCCUUAGAUAGGGAUAAAUUUUUAAAAGCACACUAGUUGAUUUUAAUUUUAAUGCAUAGCAAUUCCAGGGGACAAAAAAAGUGUUAAUGCAUAAUUAUGCAUUUUUAAUUAUAAUAUUUUCAACAUUCUCCCAAAAGCUCAAAAAUGCAGUUGAUAAUACAUGGGACAAUAUGGAGGGAGACUAGGAGAGGUAGGCACAGAAAUUGUUUGUAAACUAGGAUGACCCGCAGAUCAUAACUUUAGGACAUUGAUAUUUUCCUAUCAAUGGCAUUGAAGAGAAAAAAAAAAUAUUAGCAUUGGCAGGACUGGUUUGCUAACUUGGGUACUGCCUAGCCCACAAGUAUCCCUAAAGGAAAAAAUAGAAAGUUUAUUUUCUAUUCACCUAAAUUCACUUUCUAAAUAAAUAAAUAAAAAAUGGCCUACUUUUUGCUACUUUUUUUUUUUUAAUUGGACAAAUUCAAAUUUACAGACUCACAAGCAAAUAUCCUUACAAUGCCUGCCUACUGCCUCAGUCCUUUGUCAACAGACAUUCCAACACACCACGUGCUAUUGUAAUUUGCAGAAGAAUAAUGUGAGGCUGCAUCCCAGAACCCAUGUGCUAGUGACAUGGGGAAUUAUUGACCCCCGCCUCCCCUUGCCAGCCCUCUAAUGUUAAUGGAAAUGCAGUUGAUUUUAUUGCUGUUGCCCAAGUGUCUUAAAUUUGAAAACCUGUUCUACGUGACAUACACAAUGAAAUACCAGUAAUCGUUAGAUGGUUAAAUACAUUUCGUAAAAGAAUUGCUGUCAGCUGCCAUUUGUAAAAAAAAAUAAAAAUUAUAGUUAAUGUGGAGUAAACCUAAAUUCUACUGUAAACUUAACCUACGCCUAUCCUCUGCCCGGAUCCCCACCUCUGAUGCUUGCCUUCAAGACUUCUCCAGGGCUGCACCUAUUCUGUGGAACUCCCUUCCCUCCUCAAUCAGACUUUCACCCAGCCUACACUCCUUCAAAAAAUCUUUGAAAACUCACUUCUUCAUUAAAGCGUAUCAAUUAAACUGUCAGCAGGUUUCUCAUCCCCCACCCCAUGACUCCUUUCCUGCAACUGUCAAAAAUGACCUACCAAGCACUCAAUAAACCCUUCUCUAACAAACUAUUUAAUUCCCCUACUUUAACCCUUUGUGUCACUAUACCCCACUCCCUCUAGCAUGUAAGCUCAUCAAUCAGGGCCCUCAACCCCCUCUGUUCCUGUAUGUCCAGUGGUCUGAUCUCAAUUAUGUGUCUGUUAGUCCACCUAUUGUACAGCGCUACGGAAUUUGUUGGCGCUAUAUAAAUAAUAUAAUAAUAAUAAACUUUGUCAAAUGGUAUAAGGAUGGAAAUUUCGGUGUGUAUCUAUUUGGAAGAAAUUUCAUAUAGUAUGUAGCUAUUUAAAUGGUAUUUGGGAUUAUGUUUCUUCUCAGCCUGCUAAUCCUGUCUGUCUUUCUUUCUCAUAUAGUGUAAGUUUAGAUCGUUUAGAUAUUGCCUAUUUAUUUCGCAAAUCAGAUGGUAACAGUAAUAACAUAACUUUGAUUCUAUGACCUUGAAACUGUUUUUUCCACAAAUGCUAAAAAUGAACAAAAUAUUUUAUGUCAACAUUUUUUGCCAAGCUAGAAUAAUAUCCAAUUUAAAUGUAAUACAAAUUUAUAUGAAUAUAAUCAUUACUGGGAAAUCUAUAUAAAAGAGCUGUGUGGUUCUUCAGUAUCAUCAAUUCUGCUAAAAAAAGCAAAUUAAUUUGUUUUACUACUCUCACAGCAUUACAUUACAGCACAUUAAUUUGUAUGUUUAUAUAGGUUUCUUGUUUUAUCACUACAACAGUUUACUGUAAUAUUAACAAGGAAUUAUAAUCCUUUACAAGCAUGUGCUCUCAUAGCAAAAGUAAAUCUUUGUGUAUAAAAAGCCUGCCUAUAGGAGGUCAAAUUUAGAUGCAUAUGGUUAUACACUCCAAUUAACCACUAAUUAAAUCUGAACAUGCAGAGCAAUAUUUCUGCACUCUGCGUUAUUCACCUCAUUAAAAUUCUCAGUGUCUUUGGGCUUUAAGUUCCACUGUUAAAAAUGUGUGUGUGUGUGUGUGUGUGUGUGUCUUUACUUUACCUGGGCUUGGUUUCUCUUAACAGAUUAAGUGUUAAAUUACCCAGUUACAAAGAGAUAAGUCCUGCACUCACUCCCAUCACUCCUGGCGGCAGCAGCGACCACAGUACACAUCAGCCCCAAUAUAUAGUAAAAACUAAAGAAAAAUAAAGUUACCUGCACUCUCUCCUUAAUCCCUAUGUAUAUUUAGACAAAUGGAGGUCAUUUAGUUACUCCAAUGGCCAUUGGAGGGAAUGCCCGCCUUCCAACAUCAAGGCAGACCCCCCUUGCUUCCUUAAGCUUCUGGCAAAGAUAUCUCUAAUGAGACAGAGAGGGGUAUUUUUUAUAUACACCCCUUUAUAGUUCUUAACCCUUAAUAGGGAACACAUGGGAUGGGCGGCAGCAUUGUAAGAAAGCUGUGUGAUACAAAAAGUGAAUACAAAUACAAAAAAAAGAGAAGCCCUGCCCUCACUCCCAUCACUCCUGGGCAGCAUCAGUGACCACAGUACACAUCAGCCCCAAUAUAUAGUAAAAACUAAAGAAAAAAAAGUUACCUGCACUCUCUCCUGAAUUCCUAUGUAUAUUUAGACAAAUAGAGGUCAUUUAAUUAAAAUAUAAAAAUACCCCUCUCUGACUCAUUAGAGAUAUCUUUGCCAGAAGCUCAAAGAAGCAAGGUGAACGGUCAGUGUAGGACCUGCUUACGGGGGGGUCUGCCUUGACGUAAUUAAAUUACCUCCAUUUGUCUAAAUAUACAUAGGGAUUAAGGAGAGAAUGCAGGUAACUUUUUUUUUUUUUUUCUUAAUUUACCCAGUUACCUUUUAAACAUACUACCUCUGUAAUGAAAUACUUAACUACUUAUUUUUAUUUUUUUGUUGAAUGCUUUGAUAACAAUAUAUUUAUUACAUGUGUUUUGUAAAAUUGUUGGGUUUUUCUUUUCCUUUUUUCCAGUUUUUUUAAUAUACUUUAUUUCUACCAAAGUCUUGAUGGGCGAUAAAAAUGUAAGUGAUACAUUUAAUAAUCAUUUAGUAAAUAUGCAUAAGGUAGAAAUAAUUGUAAUAUUGAAUAUAGGGCUAAGGCUUCGUUAAACUCACGGCAACAUGAGACAUUUUUUUCUGAUCUGUCAAGACUGGUGGACAUUGUAUUCCCAGGCAGCAGCUGCUAUUUGUGGCUAUUCUCUUUAAUUGAGCCCCUUUCCCUUUAGUGAUAUACCUUGACAGCAGGUGGAGAGUCAGUGUAACUUUAUCCCUUUGUUAUCAGCAUCUUUCAAGGCGUAUUAAAUAGGGAGGGGAGAAUGAAUUAAUGUCAGUUAGUUAGGACCUGCUGCAAUACAUACAAUUGCAGCACAUAUAAGAUUAAGAUGCCUUUUUAGUUUUUGUGAAUGAAGACUGAGUGCAAAAUAUAAAGCAUACUGCUUGAAAAGUAUCAAUAUUUUAGUUUUGACUUUUUCAUUCUGGAAGUGUACCUUAGACAUAAUAGUCUUUAAUCGGUCUUGUGUAUAUCUUUUAUUUAUACUGAAACUAAUACAGUGUUCUUAGUAUAUAGAGUUUCAUAAAAAUCCCGUAUUAUUGAAAUACUCAGAUUUGUGGCUGAUCAGACUUAAGGUGAUGAGCGCAGCCUUUGGGAUAUAAAGAUCAUUAAAAUCUCACUUUUUUGGAACUGUUAAAAGCUUUCUCUCCCCUCACCUUGGUCAAUCUCCUUGCUUCUCUCCUGCAACAGUCAUCCAAAAAAACUAACCUUUUAUUGUAAACUAUUCUAGUAACCUACAUGUUCCUAUACAUUAAAUAAACCCUAUUCUUAACUCGUGUGCCACUUUACCCCACUCACUCUAGCAUGUAAGUUCAUUUGAACAGGGCCCUCUACACCCUCUGUUCCUGUGUGUCCUACUCUUCUUGUUACAAAUACUUGUCUAUACCUGUCCACCUAUCAUAGAGGCAGCACUGCAACAUUUAUUGGCACUUUAUAAAUAAUAAUAAUAAUCUAUACAGGGUUUUAUCAAGACAAUGUGACAAUGAUUUAAUUAUAUUAAGACUCCUAACUCCCAUUAAUUUUGGAUGGAAAAGAGACUCAAUUUUUAAUUAACAAAAAAGGUUGAGUGAAGUGCAGAUAAUGGAGGAGAGUUAAAUUCCAGUUUGCAUGACUUAAACAGAGCAGUUACCUUGCUGACUUCUAUAUUCAUUCCCAGCAGCAAGUAGAUCAUAAAAUAACUAAUAACGCCUUAAUGGUCUAAUAUAGCUGCUUCAAAUUCAGGAUAAUAUGGUCAUGGUUAGCAGUAGGAUACUUUAAUUUAAUCAUAAAAGUAAAUCAAUUUUUCUUUUUCCUUGUUUCCACUCUCUAAACAAAUUAUUAAAUUAAAACAGGUGAUUAAUUUCAUAAAUAGCAUUAUAAAUCACACCUUUGCUCCGAAUAAACCUGUCCAUUUUCCUUUGCAGUCUUUGUGCAUUAUGUGCAACAUUUUUAUUUAUUUAAUCACAUAACAGAUGCUUUAUUUGCAACAAUUACAAUGCAUACUGUGCCAAGAUUCAGAAUUUUGGCACAGGAACUGUAUUGACCAAAAAGUGGUGUACAUUAUUCUACUUGGCAAUAAAGAUAUGCAAACAAAUGUGUUAGUAGAUUGAUCUCAUCUUGCCACUGCACUUAAGUAUGGCAUGACUUCUAUGCCUAAAGACUUGGUGAUUUGCUUCUUGCUUAUCUUCAGUUUUAGGAAGUAAAUGUUUCAGAUAAGCUCUGCAUUUAUCAACUAAUAUUGUCCGCUGCAAAAUAUUACAUAGAAAACCCCAGAUACAGAAUAAUACAGCAAUUAGAGUGUGUACUUGAACGUGCAAUGCCCGAUAGUUUGAAAGCAUUUAUAGCCCACUACAUUGCUAUUUUUCACAGUGCCCUUUAAAAGGAUUUUCUAUUAGGUCCAUGUGUCUGUCACUGCAAAACCUUAUUGUGCUUAACAAAACGGUUAUCUAUUCCACAUUUUUUUUUUUUUUUAUAAUUUCACUUAAAACAAAUUAGAACUAUAGAUUACUUGUACACUCAUUGACAGGAAUAACUAGAUAGAAAAACAAAAAGGGGGAAAAAAAUCUUCUCAAAGAAGGAUCAAUGACAACAGUUUUUUUUAAAUGUAUUUUAUUUUAUUUUUUUUACAAUGAAGUACUCUUCAUAUUUUGUUUAGGAACUAGCGGAUCUUUCAAUGAAGGGGGCAGGGCACUCCUUGAACCACAGCAACUACAACAAACUGUAGUGAUUAUGAUGCUUGGAGUGCUGUUUUUAAUGUGUAACAUGCAAUCAAAGCUAAAUAUAUACAGUUAAUUCAAUCAUCAAGCCAUUCUAUAGAUAAGGGCAGACGUUAUGGUGAAAAUGUAAAGAGUCAAGAAAAAAACAAAAAAUGUAUUCUUAGAAUAUUUAAAGCAUCAGUUUUGAUCAUGUGCUGAAGGUGAUUGUAUUACAUUUUUGUUUCAGGGUAUAGAGAACCUUAACUGUGAUAUAGGUUCAUACAGUGCCUCGUAUAGGUUCAUACAGUGUCUCGUUUUGAAAUGACACCUUCUCCUCUUGCCCUGUCUCUGUUUGAGUCCCCCAAGGAUCUGUUCUUGGUCCCCUUCUGUUCUCUCUUUAUACUGCCUCUGUUGGCAAACUCAUUAAGUCCUUUGGAUUCCGCUACCAUCUGUAUGCCGACGACACCCAUAUAUAAAUCUCUCCUCCCCUGAUCUCUCCCCCGUGGUCCUGCAACGUGUCACAGCUUGCCUUUCUUCUAUUUCUGAUUGGAUGUCCUCCCGCUUUCUGAAACUCAAUCUCUUUAAAACUGAGCUUCUUAUUUUGUUUCCAUCAUAAUGCUGAUCCUCCUUCUUCACUCUCCCUGCAAGUUAAUGGUGCUUGCAUCAGUCCAUCCUUGCAAGCUCAUUGUCUUGGUGUUAUCUUUGAUCCUGGCCACACCUUUGCCCCACAUAGUAUGUUGCUAAAACCUGUCGAUUCCACCUUAAAAAUAUCGCCUGCAUCUGCCCGUUUCUCACUUAAGAUGCUGCCAAUGAGCUUUUCAUGCUCUGGUAAUGUCUUGCAUGGAUUACUAUAAUUCUCUCCCAGUUGGUCUCCCCAAAAGCCGAACUGACCCGGUACAAAUGGUAAUGAAUGCUGCCGCCAGGCUGAUCUUUCUCACCCAUCAUUCCUCCCAUACCUCGCCCCUCUGUCGUUCCUUAUACUGGCUUCUUGUAUGAUAUAGGUGUCAAUUCAAAAUACUAACCCUUACCUUCUAAGCUCUUACCAACUCUAGCCCCUCUUACAUUUCUUCCCUGAUUCAUAUAUAUGCCACUUCUCUGUCUCUCCACUCUGCUGGUGACCUUCUCCUGUCCGCUGCUUGCACCCUUACUGCUAACUCGCGCUUGCAGGACUUCUCGCGGGCGGCUCCCUUCUUUUGGAAGAGCCUGCCUAUCCCCAUUAGACUCUCCCCUAGUCUUCAAUUGUUUAACAAGUCUCUCAAAAUACAUUUGUUCAGAAAUGCUUAUGGACUCCCAGAGUAACUUAUCUAUACUUACUCAAGUCUGUCUCUUACUCUCCUAAAGAGCCAUACUCCACUCUGACCUCCAGCUCUGCUACUUUUCCACCUUGUGUAUUUGUACCCCACCUCAUCUAGACUGUAAGUUGGUUUGAGCAGGGUUCUUAUCUACCUAUUGUUCCUGUGUCACUGUGUUAUUGGUGCUAUAUAAAUACCAAUAAUAAUAAUAAUAAUAAUAAUACUAAUAUACCCUAGCGAGGAGAUGAUUUCAUGAAAAUUCUGAAAGAAUUCCUUACAUUGUCUCAUGGUAUUUGUGACCACCUUUCCUGGUGGUAGUAUCACUUCAGGCCAUAUAAAUGGAAAACAAUGCUGGAAUCAAGAUUUGACUUGAUUUUCAUUAUGGUUAUUUUGUGUGUGGCCCUUACCUCGUGGAGUUAUGGAAAUUGAUUUAGAAGUAUAUGACAAAUAAUGCUUAUGCAGAGUUGCAUUGCAUUUCACUGCAAGUGUUACUGCCAUGCUCUUCAUUUUGGAUUUUUAGUUUGUAAUUGCAGUGUUUUAUUUUGGGGAACAUUUCUUUAUUUCACACCUGGGUACUAGCUCGGCAUCCUUUUUGUUCUUAUUUGACAAUCUUUCCACAACUCCAUUGCAGACAUUGAUCGCUUCUGAUGAAUGGGGCAACGUGGCCAGUAAAGGGUAUUUUUACCCUUAAAACAAGUUCAUCUCUAUGAAAUUGUUUUGAGUGCUGGAGUUCUAUGGUGCUGUCUCAUGAUGUUAAAUGCUUUCAAACAGUUUUACACCUUUGAGACAAAGUUAUCUCAUGGGAAGAAAGUACCUUCAAUAAUCUGUGUUAUUAUUGUAGAUGUUUGGAAGUGUUCACAUCUUUGUUUCUUGUCUAUUAGUUACUCAAACUAUAUUUAAUCUGUGUAAUUUGUUUGUGCAGUGAAUUUGUAUAUGUAAUUUGUUUAAUUAAUUUAGAAUGCUAGACAAUUGCUUUAUUUAGAUUUUAUACAUUAUUUAAAGAAUAUUCACUUUGGCAGCAUUACAUGUGGAUGAGUCAACUGUGUAAAAGAUGUAUGUUAAAUUACAUCUUCUAUUUGAAAAUUGUAACCAUGUAAUCCAUAUUCAGGUUAUAAUCCCAGAUAACCUUGUUUUUUACUUUCUAAGGAUGCAAAGUAAUUGGAUCCGUUAAAGUAAAAAAUAUGGUCACAAUCUUGUUCAACUCUAAAGCAGAAUUAAAAAUGUCUAUCACUGUAAUUGAAAAAUAAAUAAUCCAGAUAAGAACUCACAAACAACCAGGAGUAAUAAACAUUUAAACCUUUUUAACUCUCUGUUUGUAAUAGGCAUGAGAUACUGUAAAAUAAUUUGUUUCUUAUUUAAACAGAGUAGUAAAGUGAACAAAUUGCAUUCACUUCUCAAGCAUUUAUUCUCGAAAAAAAAAACUUCAUAAAUAAUGUCCAAUGCUAUAAUAUCAAAAGGGAAUACCGUAUUUCAAAAAUAAUCUUUAAAUGUAUUCAACUUUAUGCUUAUUAAAUGUCUCAAACCAUAUUGAAUAUAAUUUCAUUGUUAACAUGCCACAAAUAUGGCUUCAUUGAGGUUUUGGACAUGUUAUCAAAAUCCAGAUAUUUGACCUACGUUUUAAAUUUAGAUGAAUAAAAUUGAUUUUGAUUCACACUACUCUGUACUAUUGAUAGGGGAAACUUACUGACUUAAUCCAAUCUGUACAAAUCAGAGCCAUUUCAUCAAUAUUUGUUGUUAAGGAAACACUAUAAGAACUGAAACCAUGUGUAACCGUUAUGGAGCCAGGAGUGCCUGGUGCCAUCACAAGCCAUUUUAAAACCGUCUGCAAACUUACCACCUGCGGUGAUCAGUUUUCUCUCCAGCAGGAGAAAAAAAAUGUCUCUUUAAAACAAAGCAUCGGGGUUUGAAACUGGCUAUCUUAAUGCAGAGCAUGAGGAUGUCCAGCAUUGUUUCAUGGAGUCAAACUUUGUAAAAGUCCAGGAAGUGCUUCUAGUGGCUGUUUGAUAAUAAACCACAAGAGGCAAUUUUAGUACUGCAAUGUAAACAUUGCAGUUUCUCAAAAACUGCAAUGUUUUUUACACUUCAGCAUUAAGGGGAUGGGGAAGUGCACCCAGAUUAUUUCAGUAAGAGGAAAAAUACUUAUUAAAAUUGUAUUUCUUUCCCCCAGCACACAUUUCUCAUUGUAAAUGUAAUAUUAUAUUAGAUGCACUUGCUCUGAAUUGUGGAAAGAGUGUGCAUGUGUCUCCUGAAAUCCUGUGUUAUUUUCAUGUAUUUCAAUUUAAGGUGCUGUGUGAGUUUUAGAUUUUUUUUCCCCCUCCAAAUAAUCUAAUAGUCUAACUAUUGUACGCAAAAAAUGAUUAUUAGCAAAUGUAGUCAUUUAUCCUAGCAUAACAUAAUUUAUGUAAGAAUAACAUUCUAUUUACAGUAAGAUUUUACUUUAGUUAAUGUCCGUUUUGUUUUGUUUUAUUUUGUUCAGCAAGCAGAAUGUAUUUAACAUAAUUUAUUGUAAAGUGCUUAUUUGUGUUUUCCUAGUUGAAGAAAUUGGGAGCAGAUGCUUCUAGUCCCAAAUGAUCUUCAAUGUAGUUAACUCACUAAACUUAAAUAAAACUGAACAUGAUAUGCAUUUUUUCAUAUUUUCUUAUAUAUUUUCGAAAUAAAUAAUUUAUUGGUAGUACAUUAUUGCCUUAUUUAAUAAAAAUUGAUUGUGAUUACAAUGUGAUUUAUCUAUUUUGUUUCUUAAAUAUAUUGAAAAACUAAUAUUGAUAGACUAAAGAUAUUUAAUCUCCCUGAGUUGCUUAUCAAGACAAUGUGCUAUAGAAUUGUUUGAAGAUUACAUGUAGUUAUCUACAAUUUUUGUAAGCUAAAAAAAAAUACAAUCUAUCUGAAUAUAUGAGAAUACCUUUUUUAUAUUUCAGAAAUAAUAAACCUAAAAUGUGUAUUCUGCUGGAGUAAAGAUUUCAUGUCAAUUCAAAAAUCUUGAACCUGUACAUGCAAUCAAGAUUCUGAAACUUCUACAUACUUAAUGUUCAGAAGAAUAUCUUAAUUGUUUAGGGUAAAUCAUUAUCAAAAAAACAAAAACUUAUAAAUAAAUAAAUAUGUCUAUAUGUAUGUGAGAGCUGAUCUCUAUAGAGGUUACCAAUUCUACCCAUUGCCUUUUUUUCUAAUUUUAAUCCAAAAAUUGUGUUCUAAUUUAGUCAAGUGCCACUUGUGCAUUCUUGAACACAGUCAUUUCACAUGCCUUGUCUCUUAAAUAGAGAAUUAAAAAUAAAAUAAAACGUAAUGGUUUUCAAUAUAGUGGUGCCCUUUUGUUUCCAAAUUUAAAAUGAAAUGAUGUACCAGUUAAAAGAUUACGUUUGUAUGAGCAUCUUUCUUUAGGCUCUCUAAACUGUGUGGAUGUUUUGUAGAAAAUGUAAUGGUAGACCUAAAGACCAUGCUCUAAUAUAGAUAACCAAUAUGGUAGAAUACAUAUGCAUCACAAUCUGAAUCAGUCACUGGUGUGUGAGUGUGUAUUUGUAUCUAGAUAACAGGUCAACCUCUGUUCAAUAUCAUCAGCAAGCAGAGUUUAUAGGUGACUGCUUUCAGUCAGAUAACAGUACUGUUUGUGAAAGGAUUGUGUGAUAAGGAAGAAAUUAUUAUGAGCUAUUUAACAAAAUUUAUGAUGUGACACAGAUAAUAUGUUCUAUGCUGUUGUGGUAUUUCAUCCCUCUUUUUUUUCUCAUCCUUUCUCAAUUUUUUCCUUGUUGAGAUUCCCUCUCAAUUUAAUUUCAGCAUCCUUAUUGAAAUCCACAUCCUAUUUGAAGCCCACAAAUUCCUUUUAUAUUGCUUUAUUUGGUUCAUCAAAAUUGGUUCCCUCUUGUUUUCAGAUUUACUUCCUUUCUUGGCAGUCUAAUAAUGUAAUUUGUAUUCCAGUUUUACCUAUACGCUGUUGACUUUCAAAUAUUUUUUUGUUGUUGUUGCUCUCUACUAGGUGUGCCUAUUUUUUAAACUUCUAAGUUGUCUUUGCCAUUAAAGUAGCUUUGUCACUGCCUACACCCCCAAAUGAGUAUUUAAUAAAAAUAUAUCUGUGGCGAAAGUAACCUCGCCACUUGUGCUUGGAGAGGCCUGCUUGCCAGCCUCUUGCUCUGUGACUAUGGCCCCUGGGAUAUAUUGCCCUUUAAAAACACUAUUUGGUAUAUUGGAUUUUAAAGGCACUGUUUCUGCCCCUUGGACAUACUGGACCAGAUUCAAACAUGUGGCGGUGGCAGCCAUCUUAAAUUGUCCAGCAGGGUUUUGCCAUAGAGAGUAUGGAACUGUUUUGGACUUGGGACCAUGUGCACAGUGGGGAAAAAAAUAAGACUUCAAGGAAAUUCCUGAACCCAUGAACCGAUCUGGGUGAUUUUUGGAUAUGUUGUUCACCCAGAUCGGGGUGGGGAUAUGUUAUAUUUUGGGGCACUUUUUGGGGUUUGUAAAAAUGUAUGUUUUUUUUCUGCUUAGAGUUAAUUGAGUUAGUCUGUUAUCUUAGUUAAUUGUAUCACAAGCAGAGGGGAGGGCUUAUGUGCUGGAUGUGGGAGUGUUGGACAUUGUUGUAUUGUUCUGAUUGGUUUGUGUACCUGUGUUCCAUCAGGCCCAGGGGUUGUGCCUCUGGCCUGAGGAAUUGUAUAAAUUGUGAGUGCUGGCUUGCAUUAAGCAGACCUGCUUGACCCUUUCUUGAAGCCUUGGCUCAUGCUUGGGGGAUGGGAUAACUACACUCUUGGGGAUUGCUAUAUCACAAUACUCCCCUGAGUAUAAGCUCUUGUAAGAACUUGUUCCUGAUACGCUCUCGGGAUUAGGAGAGGUCUACCCACUGGAAGCUGGAUCCUGGUCUUGGGUCCAGGGAGGGUGGAGGACGGAGAGUCCCCGGCACAGCUGCAAUGCUGGAAGUGGGGUCUGCAGUGCUUAUGGUGUCUGGUGGGGUGCUUGGAGUCCUCGGCAAGCACUAGGAGCAUCGAUUGGUGGAGAUACUCGGUCGGAGUGCCAGCGGUCUGUCAAAAUAUCUUUAUAAAAUACAUUCCCUGUGUUGUAAUUUUACCGAAAUGCCAACACGGUGAAGACUACCUCGGUUUUAUGUAUAUUCCCUCCACCUGACAAAAUUUGACAAAAGGCUCAGUUAUCACUGUGAAGUUUUGUUAUGUUCCCGAGCCAUCACUAGUGAUGAGUGUGGGGAAAAAAGGCUCUCUCUAUGGAGGCUCACACAAUCUCGUGGGAUACUCCAUACACCUUGUUGUUUUUCUCACGUAAAUGCAAGAGUACAACACUGACGUGGGAUUCUAGCAGAUAAAGCACCAUGAGCUGAAGAGAACCCACCGGAUAAAGAUAGUUGUGACCAUGAGGGACAUCUACAGGUAUGUAAAAUGUAACUUCCCCUGCACCUUUAGACCCUGCCACUGGUGUACAUAUAGGGGUCACAGGGGUCGCAGCUGUAUCUAAUUGAUAUAUGUCUGCAUUGAUGGUUUUAUACAUGCUUAAAUCAUCACAUUUCUACAUGUGUAUAAAUAUGGUUUUAUGUUGCAAUAUACAAAAAGAUUUGGCUAUUCAUAUGCCCAGUAAGUAAUAUACUUCUAAAGUCAUUCUUUUUAGAGGGAGAUACACUAUACAAUAUAGGGAGAUAUAUUGAUUAUAACAGACAAAACAAAAUAGAAAAAAAAAAUAAAGGGUUUGUGCUCCUCCAGUUUCGUGCACUCAGCAUGCUUUAAUUGGGGUAUUAAGUUCAACAUAUUCAACGGUAUGUCAAGACCACUGGUUGGUGUAAACAUAGUGUUUUAUUUGUAUUUGUUAGCAUAAAAUAUAGAUAUUAGAAUUGUGCUAUACCUUCCCCCAUCCCACCCCCUGAGCUGGUGGUCAUUGGCAUGUUUUCAUUCCACAAUGAUAGUACGUACUAACCUUUUUUCUAUUUAUUUAUAUGUUAGUUUUUUUUUUUUUUUUUAGGAUUUGUGUUCCCACAAUUUUAGUUAAGAAUGCUAUAAUGUUGAACUAUAUAAUCAUAUACAUUUUUUUACCUUUAAGCAAGUCGCACACUGUUCAAAUCCAAGCAGCCGUUUGAUACAUCUAUGGAAAACAAUCAAAACAUAAAUUAAAAUAACUGAUGUCCGUAUUGAUGUAGUAAAUGUAUAAAAUUAUCCUUCAAGACAUAAUGAAGAGAUUUAAUACAUUAAAAAACUGAACAAUUUAAUUAUGCAUUGAAUCGUGUAUUUUCCUUUAAUCACUUAAUGUAUGGAUUAUUGAUAUUCUAUAACUAUUGUCUUUUAAAAUACCGUUUGGGUUGCUUUCAUUCUGAUAUAUGUAAAAUGUACAACCAAAGCAUUGUCAAUGAUCUAGAGAACUGCUGUCAAUGUAGAACCUUUAUUUUAAUAAGUACUGCUUUCUCUUUAAAUACAACUUCCAUCUAACAAUCCCUGCUGAGAUCUAAAUCAUCAAAAAGACAAGUUUAGUUUGAGAUUGAUGUUCUUUACAGCAAAUGUAACAUUUUACAGUCAUUUUCAGCACUUUGGUAUCAUUUUCUGAACUCCUGACACCUUUUAAUGUUAGGUAAAAAACAAAAGCCAGUGUUUACUGUGAAUUUGUUAUCCGAAAACCUUUGUGUCGAAUAGCUAGAGGGCUUUAAGUAAAGUCAUACUGCCUACUUCACUGCAUAACAGCAGUUGGACUAUUAUUGAUACAAGUGACUGAUGAUGAACUGAAUGGAAAAUGCCACAACAAGACAACCACUGAACUGAAUGAUAAAUUAAAGUGUCAGAUCUCGGUUUCAUUUUCUUUCUUUUUUUUUUCUUUUUUCAUUUCAGAUCUGCUCUAAGUAAAGUUUGACAGAAAAUGUUACUAAGACUCUGGAACUUCCUAGCUUUUGUCAUAGUAUUAACUAGUUACUUUGAAUGUGGUUCGUCACAAAAUGAAGAUG
This 171017-nucleotide long non-coding RNA is filed under the name Pelobates cultripes (western spadefoot toad). Lineage: Eukaryota; Metazoa; Chordata; Amphibia; Anura; Pelobatidae. The record is from RNAcentral.